RNAcentral lists this long non-coding RNA (105552 nucleotides) under Triticum aestivum (bread wheat). RNAcentral's name for it is "long non-coding RNA (TAES_LNC009234)". The record is from RNAcentral. Lineage: Eukaryota; Viridiplantae; Streptophyta; Magnoliopsida; Poales; Poaceae.
UUUCUCUCUUUCCAAGUCAAUCUGCGCCUGAAACAAACUACAGACCCGAGUCGCAGAGGAAGAGCUCCAUAAUGAGGUCCGCUUGUUGUCGGGACAAACUGAGUACUCAUAGCAAUUCCAGUUGUAAAUAUGCUUUCGAGAAGCAAAUGGAAACAAAACAAACUCAAAACAUCAGAUGCAUGCCAGAAAAGAAGGAACAGGCAGGGCAACAAAUCAAAAAUAGACGAUAAUACUUCUUAAGCCGAAUAUCCAGCCUUCAAGGAAAGCAUAUAAUUAUCCUCAUGUUACAAGGGUGGGCAUCCCCAAAACAUCAGAACAACCCAGACAUAUCAGGAACCAAAAGACCCUGUCAUCCCAACAGACUGGUGUAGUGAUACAAGGUUAAGCUUUCUCCUCGUUGUUCGCCUACUUGGAUCGCUGCCUCAUCUUUCGGCGCUUCCUCUUGAGCCUCCUCAUCCUCUUCUUCUUCCACUGCAAAUUUUAGUAACCACAGAUUUCAUCAGCAGAAAUUGUGUAGUACUACUCUAGGAGAUGCACGUGAACAUAACAAGAAAGUAUCCUCGCAAAAAAAUAACAAGUACAAUUUGUUUUGGAAUCAGAAGAUAGAGUGUUUCAUUGGAUAUCAUCACGUGAUUUUCAGAAACACGGACCAAUUGUUCUUCAUCAUUUCCCAAACUAAAGUGGAUUUCAAAGGCAAAUAGGAAACAAUUAUGCUAAGAUAUCUAAAUAACUAGUUAAGCAAAGUAGAGAUCUGCAGUCCGUUUGACAUUCAGAAUGAGUAGGAGGAUUUUAUCUUCAAAUAGAUCAGACAGCAAUUGUCUUCCUCAUCAUGCCAACCAACACAAUUAUUUAUACAAAAAAAAGGUGGGGAGAAUGAGCACUCUAGGAGAUGCAUAGGAACAUAACAACAAUUCCAAAAUGAAAAUGGAAAGAUAGUUCAUGUGAUUUAGAAUCAGAAGAUUUGAGUGUUUCAUUGGAUAUCUUCACAUGAUUUUCAGAAACACGGACCAAUUGUUCUUCAUCAUUUCCCAAACUAAAGUGGAUUUCAAAGGCAAAUAGGAAACAAUUAUGCUAAGAUAUCUAAAUAACUAGUUAAGCAAAGUAGAGAUCUGCAGUCCGUUUGACAUUCAGAAUGAGUAGGAGGAUUUUAUCUUCAAAUAGAUCAGACAGCAAUUGUCUUCCUCAUCAUGCCAACGACGCAAUUAUACACAAAACAGUGGGGAAAACGAGCAAAGCAAAUGGCUAAGCAAUCAGUGUUCUCUCAGACAAAUGCCUCGAUUGUCCACAUGGCGUAAUAGAAUGGAUUACAUCAGACUCGUCAUCUGUUUUAAUCAUCAGAGAGAACAAACACAACAAUAACAACUUUGUACCUAACACCAGCAGUCAAGCAAAUCUAAUGAAGACACCUGCAGACAUUGUGGCAAAUGAAAAAGAAGCGAAAGGCAAUAGGGGCAUUGACAUGUAUUCUCUCAGACAAAUGCCUCGAUUGUCCACACGGUUCAAUAGAAUGGAUUACAUCAGACUCGUCAUCUGUUUUCAUCAUCAUAGAGAACAAUAGCCCAGUUGACUUGAGUGACACAGGCGGCCAAGCAAAUCUAAUCUUAUCCUACAUCUACGCAGCAGCAAUAACAAAAUUAAAAGCUUAGAAAAAAAACCAGAGUUCUCUCAGACAAAUGCCUCGUGUUGUCCCCACGGUUGAAUGGAAUGGAUUGUAUCGGACAUCUAAUCAGUGUUGAUCAUCACGGAGAACCCACAAACAAAAAGAACCCGAUCAAUGCAAAGCACAUCUAGACUCAGACGAACAAGCUGCAUCUACAAAAUCUAAUGUUCUCUCAGACAAAUGCCUCGAUUGUCCACAUGGUUUAUAGAAUGGAUUGCAUCGGACUCGUCAUCUGUUUUCAUCAUCACAGAGAACCGCAAACAAGCAACUACUACUACUACCGAACGCGGGCUCUACAUGGUGAGCAACAGCAGGGAAUCACUAGAUCGCAUCGAGCAGUCGGAUCAAGAGGUAAGGUAGAGGUGAAUCGGGAACGAACCUUGGCCCUCAUCGCGGAGGUGGCGGCGGCGCAGCAGGCGGACUGGGUCUCGGUAUCUGCUUGGUGCGGCGGCGGAGGUGUACGAGGACGGCUCUCGCGUGGUACUUAUAGAGGUCGGACAGGAACCCUAACCAGGAUGGAUGGACGGCUCAGAUCGGGACGCGCUGAGUUGGGCCUUAACUCUUCGGCCCAUAUGUAUUUGUAAGAGAUGAUGAUUAGAAUUUUUGGGAGCAACUUUCCUUGGGCCACAGCGGCCUGUUUGGGACUACUUCGCUCCUUAAAAUUUAGCUCCGCUCUAGAAAACGCAAGAAAUAGGGUAGCUCCACGAUAUACCGCUCCGUAAAAAAACUAGAAUCUGAGAGUGUGUCGUGCAUCCAGCCGCCGCCACGUGUCGCGUGUUGUGCGCAUCUUUGGGAUUUUAUUUUUUAUUUUUGCACGUGUUUUUGGAUUUUACAUGGUUUUUGGGCUUUUGCUUGGCUUCCUCUUUAUUUUGGCAUAUUUUUUUUCUUCUGAAAGCAACACAUUUGGGCGAGGAGCACAGCAUGUGCUUCUCCGAGAAGCGCAUUUGUGCUUCCUAGAAAUAAAAACAGUCAUAAAAAGUACAGCCUUGCUUCCGUGAGAAAUACAACCUUGCUUCCGCAAGAAGAAUAUUUGUGCUUCCCAAAAAGGAAAAAUAGAGCAAUGCUUCCUUAAAAAAGGGAAAAGCACAGUUUGUGCUUCUGCGUGAGAACCACACAUUAUGCUUCCACGCGCUUCUCCGAAAAAAGGGAAAAGAAAAGCCCGUGCUUCCUAAAAAAAGGCUAAAAUGAAACUAUGCUUCUGGGCUUCGGUUUUAUUCCUUUUUGGGUUUUUAUUACCGUUUUUCUUUCAGUUUCCUACUAUUUCUUGGUUUUCCUUUUUUCGUAAAAAAAGUUUGUUGAAACAUUGACAUGGGAUCUAGUUUUGAAUCUCGAGGCGAGAAAUUCAACGGUGUAAAUGGUUCGGGAUUUGGAUGCAUGGUUCAAAAGAUGAACUAUUUUGAAAAAACAAAUCUAUAAAAAAAAACUCCUAGAUUGUGAGAAGUGACGUACAUGGACUGUGGCACUAAUUAGCACCAUAGAAGGUAGAGAAUGACCUUUGAAAUGGGGUACCUCUUAAUUAGUGAUUUUGAGAAUUUUGUAUCCUAUUGUUCAUACCUUCGUUUUGUUUACCCCGCAUUUGGUCCAUGUUCAUUUUAUAAGUCGUAUUUUGGCUUAUCACAGAAAUUGUUUUUAAGAUACUUUUUUUUGAGUUCUUUCAAGAUAUUAGUGAUCAUGCAAUUACAGGUGGACAUAUUAGAGCACCUACAACCAUAACGCCACUUCCCCCUGAUGUCCGAACGAACAACUUGGACAUUGCUCGGAUCCAAAAAACGCUACCCGACCGGACCCUCCAAAGCCAACUCGUACGUUCGGCUUGUCUGCCAUCCCUCAUAUCCAACCUAUGUGAGGCGGGUUUGAGCCCGCCUAGACGCACUUGCCAUGUCGGACCAGCAUGCAGGACCCGUGUAGAAAUGCAUCGGUCUGCCCCGAGGCUUAAUAGUUUGGUGUUCGCAUUCAUGGCGCCACUUCGGCGCGCCGUGUGAGAGGUCAAGCCCUGCCUAUUAAGUAAGACAAACCCUAGGCACCCUCACAUCGCCUCCCCCGGUCUGGGUCUUCACACCGUGUGCACGGCCACUUCCCGUCCGCGCCCGAGCUCGUCGAGUGAAAGGGUGCGCACAAAGAUCACAUACUACAAGCUUUUGACGUCAGAUCGUGGCAGUGGUUCGUCCGCGUUGGCCAGGCAUGUAGCCCGCAUAGCGGACACUCUUUCUCUGACCUCGGAUGAGGACGGGGCUUUACGCUCGAAUGUGGCUAGGUGAUACAUCUCCGUCAUAUCUAUAAUUUUUUAUUGUUUCAUGCCAAUGUUUUACAACUUUCAUAUACUUUUGGCAACAUUUUAUAUCAUUUUUUGGGACCAACAUAUUGAUCCAGUGCCCAGUGUCAGUUCCUGUUUGUUGCAUGUUUUUUGUUUCGCAGAAAAUCCAUAUCAAACGCAGUCCAAACGCGAUAAAAUUUACGGAGUUUUUUUUUAAUAUAUGUGAUUUUUAGGAAGCGGAAUCAAAGCGAGAUGAUGUCGGAGGGGCCCACAAGCCCUUGAGGCGCGCCCCCUACCCAGGGCGCGGCCAGGGGGCUUGUGGCCACCCCGAAGGUCGGUUGGAGGUGUCCUUUGGUCGCAAGGAAGCUUAUAUCCGGAUAAAAACGUGUUAAAAUUUCAUCCCAAUCGGAGUUACGAAUCUCUGAAUAUUUAAGAAACGUUGAAAGGGCAAAAUCUGGGUCGCGGAACAGAAGAGAAACAGAGAGACAGAUCCAAUCUCGGAGGGUCUCUCGCCCCUCCGCCGCCCGCCGCCAUGGAGGCCAUGAACCAGAGGGGAAACCCUUCUCCCAUCUAGGGGGGAGGUCAAGGAAGAAGAAGAAGGAGGAGGAGGAGGGCGGCUCUCUCCCCUCGCUCCCGGUGGCGCCGGAACGCCGCCGGGGUAAUCAUCAUGUGAAGGCGAUCUACACCAACACCUCUGUCAUCUUCCCCAACAUCUUCAUCACCUUCCCCCAUCUAUAUAUUCAGCGGUUGAGGGAGUCCUGGACUAAGGGGUCCUCGGGCGUCCGACCUAUUAGACAUGGGCCGGACUGAUGGGUUGUGAAGAUACGAAGGCCGAAGACUUUCUCCCGUGUCCGGAUGGGACUCUCCUUGGCGUGGAAGGCAAGCUUGGCGACCAAAUAUGAAGAUUCCUUUCUCUGUAACCGACCUUAUGUAACCCUAGAUCCCUCCGGUGUCUAUAUAAACCGGAGGGCUAGGUCCGUAGAGGCCAAUCAUCAUAUUCAUAGUCAUACAAGCUAGACUUCUAGGGUUUUAGCCAUUACGGUCUCGUGGUAGAUCAACUCUUGUAACACUCAUAUUCAUCAAGAUCAAUCAAGCAGGAAGUAGGGUAUUACCUCCAUAGAGAGGGCCUGAACCUGGGUAAACAUUGUGUCCCCUGUCUCCUGUUACCAUCAACCUUAGACGCACAGUUCGGGACCCCCUACCCGAGAUCCGCCGGUUUUGACACCGACAGCGGUCCACUCUCCCAUAGCCCGAUGUACGCUUUACUUGAACAUGGUGCUUUAUGCUUCGUACUAUUAUCCAUUGAUAUGUUGCCAUCCUAUGAUGCUUGAGUAGAUUUUUGUUGUCCUAUCGGUGAUUGAUGAAUUGCUAUGAUUGGUUUAAUUUGCUUGUGGUUAUGUUGAUGCCCUUUGGUGCCCAUCAUAUGAGCGCGCGUGUGGAUCACACCAUAGGGUUAACUGUAUGUUGAUAGGACUAUGUAUUGGAGGGCAAGGGUGACAAUGAUACGUCCAUUUUGCAUCAUGUUUUCCUACUAUUAUUUAUGAUGUUUUUAUGCAUAAUAAUGCUUUUUGGAGUAAUUCUAAUGCCUUUUCUCUCAUAUUAUGCAAGGUACACUCAAAGAGGGAGAAUUCCGGCAGCUGGAAAUCUGGACCUGGAAAAGCUAUGUCAGGCCACCUAUUCUGCACAACUCCAAACAAGCUGAAACUUUACAAAGAAUUUUUAUGGAAUAUUUGAGGAAUAUUGGAGCCAAUAAGUACCAGAGGGGGCCCACCAGGUGGGCACAGCCCACUUGGGCGCGCCAGGGAGCCCAGGCGCUCCCUGGUGGGUUGUGCUCACCCAGGCCCACCUCUGGUGCCCAAAUUCUGGUAUAUAAGUCAUUUUGACCUAGAAAAAAUAAGGGGAGGACUUUCGGGAUGGAGCGCCGCCGCCCCAAGGCGGAACUUGGGCAGGAGCACUUUUGCCCUCCGGCGGAGCGAUUACGCCGGGGGAACUUCCCUCCCGGAGGGGGAAAUCAUCAUCAUCAUCAUCACCAACAACUCUCCCAUCUUGGGGAGGGCAAUCUCCAUCAACAUCUUCAACAGCACCAUCUCCUCUCAAACCCUAGUUCAUCUCUUGUGUUCAAUAUUUGUACCGAAACUAUAGAUUGGUGCUUGUGGGUGACUAGUAGUGUUGCUUACAUCUGGUAGUUGAUUACUAUAUGGUUUAUUUGGUGGAAGAUUAUAUGUUCAGAUCCAAUAUGCUAUUUAAUACCCCUUUGAUCUUGAGCAUGAUUAUCAUUUGUGAGUAGUUACUUUUGUUCUUGAGGUCACGGGAGAAAUCAUGUUGCAAGUAAUCACGUGAACUUGAUAUGUGUUCGAUAUUUUGAUAGUAUGUAUGUUGUGAUUCCCUUAGUGGUGUCAUGUGAACGUCGACUACAUGACACUUCACCAUAUUUGGCCCUAAGGGAAUGCAUUGUGGAAUAGUUAAUAGAUGAUGGGUUGCGAGAGUGACAGAAGCUUAAACCCUAGUUUUUGCGCUAUUCCGUAAGGGAUCGAUUGGAUCCAAAAGUUUAGUGCUAUGGUUAGAAUUUAUUCUUAAUACUUUUCUCGUAGUUGCGGAUGCUUGCGAGGGGGUUAAUCAUAAGUAGGAGGUUUGUUCAAGUAAGAACAACACCUAAGCACUAGUCCACCCACAUAUCAAAUUAUCAAAGUAGCGAACACAAAUCGAAUCAACAUGGUGAAAGUGACUAGAUGAAAUUCCCGUGUACCCUCAAGAACGCUUUGCUUACUAUAAGAGACCGUUUUGGCCUGUCCUUUGCCUCAAAAGGAUUGGGCUGCCUGUUGGGAAAAGUAGUAAUUUCAACAAAAAUCCUAUGCACACACAAGAUCAUGGUGAUGCAUAACAACAAGAGGGGAGAGUGUUGUCUACGUACCCUCGUAGACCGAAAGCGGAAGCGUUAGCAGAAGGCGGUUGAUGUAGUCGUACGUCUUCACGAUCCGACUGAUCAAGUACCGAACGCACGGCAUCUCCGAGUUCAGCACACGUUCAGCUCGAUGACGUCCCUCGAACUCCGAUCCAGACGAGCUUUGAGGGAGAGUUCCGUCAGCACGACGGCGUGGUGACGAUGAUGAUGUUCUACCGACACAGGGCUUCGCCUAAGCACCACUAUGAUAUUAUCAAGGUGGAUUAUGGUGGAGGGGGCACCGCACACGGCUAAGAGAUCAAGAGAUCAAUUGUUGUGUCUAUGGGGUGCCCCCUCCUCCGUAUAUAAAGGAGGGGAGGAGGAGAGGGCCGGCCAAAGGGGUGGCGCGCCCUAGGAGGGGGAAACCUACUCGAAGUAGGUUUGCCCCUCCCUUUCCUAGUCCAAGGAGGGGGAAGGAAGGAGUGGGAGAGGGGAAAGGCAAGGCCCCCCCCUUCCUUGUCCUAUUCGGACUCAAGGGCAGGGGGCGCGCCUCUUGCCCUGGCCGGCCCCUCUCUCUCUCCACUAGGGCCCAACAAGNNNNNNNNNNNNNNNNNNNNNNNNNNNNNNNNNNNNNNNNNNNNNNNNNNNNNNNNNNNNNNNNNNNNNNNNNNNNNNNNNNNNNNNNNNNNNNNNNNNNNNNNNNNNNNNNNNNNNNNNNNNNNNNNNNNNNNNNNNNNNNNNNNNNNNNNNNNNNNNNNNNNNNNNNNNNNNNNNNNNNNNNNNNNNNNNNNNNNNNNNNNNNNNNNNNNNNNNNNNNNNNNNNNNNNNNNNNNNNNNNNNNNNNNNNNNNNNNNNNNNNNNNNNNNNNNNNNNNNNNNNNNNNNNNNNNNNNNNNNNNNNNNNNNNNNNNNNNNNNNNNNNNNNNNNNNNNNNCCUGGUACUCCGAUAAAUGUUCGAAACCUUCCGUAACCUUUCCGGUGUCCAAACAUAGUCGUCCAAUAUAUCGAUAUUUUCGUCUCGACCAUUUCGAGACUGCUCGUCAUGUCCGUGAUCACAUCCAGGAGUCCGAAAAACCUUCGGUACAUCAAAACACAUAAAUUCAUAAUAUAACUGUCAUCGAACUUUAAGCGUGCGGACCCUACGGGUUCGAGAACUAUGUAGACAUUACCGAGACACGUCUCCGGUCAAUAACCAAUAGCGGAACUUGGAUGCUCAUAUUGGCUCCCACAUAUUCUACGAAGAUCUUUAUCGGUCAAACCGCAUAACAACAUACGUUGUUCCCUUUGUCAUCGGUAUGUUACUUGCCCGAGAUUCGGUCGUCGGUAUCUCAAUACCUAGUUCAAUCUCGUUACCGGCAAGUCUCUUUACUCGUUCUAUAAUACAUCAUCCCGCGACUAACUCAUUAGUUACAAUGCUUGCAAGGCUUAUAGUGAUGUGCAUUACCGAGUGGGCCCAGAUAUACCUCUCCGACAAUCGGAGUGACAAAUCCCAAUCUCGAAAUACGCCAACUCAACAAGUACCUUUGGAGACACCUGUGGAGCACCUUUAUAAUCACCCAGUUAUGUUGUGACGUUUGGUAGCACACAAAGUGUUCCUCCGGUAAACGGGAGUUGCAUAAUCUCAUAGUCAUAGGAACAUGUAUAAGUCAUGAAGAAAGCAAUAGCAACAUACUAAACGAUCAAGUGCUAAGCUAACGGAAUGGGUCAAGUCAAUCACAUCAUUCUCCUAAUGAUGUGAUCCCAUUAAUCAAAUGACAACUCAUGUCUAUGGCUAGGAAACAUAACCAUCUUUGAUCAACGAGCUAGUCAAGUAGAGGCAUACUAGUGACACUCUGUUUGUCUAUGUAUUCACACAUGUAUCAUGUUUCCGGUUAAUACAAUUCUAGCAUGAAUAAUAAACAUUUAUCAUGAUAUAAGGAAAUAAAUAAUAACUUUAUUAUUCCCUCUAGGGCAUAUUUCCUUCAGUCUCCCACUUGCACUAGAGUCAAUAAUCUAGUUCACAUCGCCAUGUGAUUUAACAUCAAUGGUUCACAUCUUUAUGUGGUUAACACCCAUAGUUCACAUCGACAUGUGACCAACACCCAAAGGGUUUACUAGAGUUAGUAAUCUAGUUCACAUCGCUAUGUGAUUAACACCCAAAGAGUACUAAGGUGUGAUCAUGUCUUGCUUGUGAGAUAAUUUUAGUCAACGGGUCUGUCACAUUCAGAUCCGUAUGUAUUUUGCAAAUUUUUAUGUUAACAUUGCUCUGCACGGAGGUACUCUAGCUAAUAGCUCCCACUUUCAAUAUGUAUCUAGAUCGAGACUUAGAGUCAUCCAGAUCGGUGUCAAAGCUUGCAUCGACGUAACCGUUUACGACGAACCUUUUGUCACCUCCAUAAUCGAGAAACAUAUCCUUAUUCCACUAAGGAUAAUUUUGACCGCUGUUCAGCGAUCUACUCCUAGAUCACUAUUGUACUCCCUUGCCAAAAUUUAGUGUAGGGUAUUCAAUAGAUCUGGUACACAGCAUGGCAUAUUUUAUAGAACCUAUGGCUGAGGCAUAGGGAAUGACUUUCAUUCUCUUUCUAUGUUCUGUCGUGGUCGGGCUUUGAGUCUUACUCAAUUUCACACCUUGUAACACAGGCAAGAACUCUUUCUUUGACUGUUCCAUUUUGAACUACUUCAAAAUCUUGUCAAGGUAUGUACUCAUUGAAAAAACUUAUCAAGCAUCUUGAUCUAUCUCUAUAGAUCUUGAUGCUCAAUAUGUAAGCAGCUUCACCGAGGUCUUUCUUUGAAAAACUCCUUUCAAACACUCCUUUAUGCUUUGCAGAAUAAUUCUACAUUAUUUCCGAUCAACAAUAUGUCAUUCACAUAUACUUAUCAGAAAUGUUGUAGUGCUCCCACUCACUUUCUUGUAAAUACAGGCUUCACCGCAAGUCUGUAUAAAACUAUAUGCUUUGAUCAACUUAUCAAAGUGUAUAUUCCAACUCCGAGAUGCUUGCACCAGUCCAUAGAUGGAUCGCUGGAGCUUGCAUAUUUUGUUAGCACCUUUAGGAUUGACAAAACCUUCUGGUUACAUCAUAUACAACUCUUCUUUAAUAAAUCCAUUAAGGAAUGCAGUUUUGUUUAUCCAUUUGCCAGAUUUCAUAAAAUGCGGCAAUUGCUAACAUGAUUCAGACAGACUUAAGCAUAGAUACGAGUGAGAAACUCCCAUCAUAGUCAACACCUUGAACUUGUCGAAAACCUUUUGCGACAAUUCUAGCUUUGUAGAUAGUAACACUACUAUCAGCGUCUGUUUUCCUCUUGAAGAUCCACUUAAUCUCAAUGGCUCGCCGAUCAUUGGGCAAGUCAAUCAAAGUCCAUACUUUGUUCUCAUACAUGGAUCCCAUCUCAGAUUUCAUGGCCUCAAGCCAUUUUGCGGAAUCUGGGCUCAUCAUCGCUUCCUCAUAGUUCGUAGGUUCGUCAUGGUCAAGUAACAUGAUCUCCAGAACAGGAUUACCGUACCACUCUGGUGCGGAUCUUACUCUGGUUGACCUACGAGGUUCGGUAGUAACUUGAUCUGAAGUUUCAUGAUCAUCAUCAUUAGCUUCCUCACUAAUUGGUGUAGGUGUCACAGGAACCGGUUUCUGUGAUGAACUACUUUCCAAUAAGGGAGCAGGUACAGUUACCUCAUCAAGUUCUACUUUCCUCCCACUCACUUCUUUCGAGAGAAACUCCUUCUCUAGAAAGGAUCCAUUCUCAGCAACGAAUAUCUUGCCUUCGGAUCUGUGAUAGAAGGUGUACCCAACAUUUUCUUCUGGGUAUCCUAUGAAGACGCACUUCUUUGAUUUGGGUUUGAGCUUAUCAGGUUGAAACUUUUUCACAUAAGCAUUGCAACCUCAAACUUUAAGAAACGACAGCUUAGGUUUCUUCCCAAACCAUAGUUCAUACGGUGUCGUCUCAACGGAUUUAGAUGGUGCCCUAUUUAACGUGAAUGUAGCUGUCUCUAAUGCAUAACCCCAAAACGAUAGUGGUAGAUCGGUAAGAGACAUCAUAGAUCGCACCAUAUCUAAUAAAGUACGGUUACGACGUUCGGACACACCAUUACACUGUGGUGUUCCAGGUGGCGUGAGUAGUGAAACUAUUUCACAUUGUUUUAACUGAAGGCCAAACUCGUAACUCAAAUAUUUUACCUCUGCGAUCAUAUCGUAGAAUUUUAUUUUUGUUACGAUGAUUCUCCACUUCACUCUGAAAUUCUUUGAACGUUUCAAAUGUUUCAGACUUGUGUUUCAUCAAGUAGAUAUACCCAUUUCUGCUCAAAUCAUCUGUGAAGGUCAGAAAAUAAUGAUACCUGCCGCGAGCCUCAAUAUUCAUCGGACCACAUACAUCAGUAUGUAUGAUUUCCAACAAAUCUGUUGCUCGCUCCAUUGUUCCGGAGAACGGAGUCUUAGUCAUCUUGCCCAUGAGGCAUGGUUCGCAAGCAUCAAGUGAUUCCAAAAGUCCAUUAGCAUGGAGUUUCUUCAUGCGCUUUACACCAAUAUGACCUAAACGGCAGUGCCACAAAUAAGUUGCACUAUCAUUAUUAACUUUGCAUCUUUUGGCUUCAAUAUUAUGAAAAUGUGCAUCACCACGAUCGAGAUCCAACAAACCAUUUUCAUUGGGUGUAUGACCAUAGAAGGUUUUAUUCAUGCAAACAGAACAACAAUUAUUCUCUAGCUUACAUGAAUAACCGUAUUGCAAUAAACAUGAUCCAAUCAUAUUCAUGCUCAACGCAAACACUAAAUAACAUUUAUUUUAGGUUCAACACUAAUCUUGAAAGUAUAGGGAGUGCGUGAUAAUGAUCAUAUCAAUCUUGGAACCACUUCCAAUACACAUCGCCACUUCACCCUUAACUAGUCUCUAUUCAUUCUGCAACUCACGUUUCGAGUUACUACUCUUAGCAACUGAACCAGUAUCAAAUACCGAGGGGUUGCUAUAAACACUAGUAAAGUACACAUAAAUAACAUGUAUAUCAAAUAUAACUUUGUUCACUUUGCCAUCCUUCUUAUCCACCAAAUACUUGGGGCAGUUCCGCUUCGAGUGACCAGUCCCUUUGCAGUAGAAGCACUCAGUUUCAGGCUUAGGUCCAGACUUGGGCUUUUUCACUUGAGCAGCAACUUGCUUGCCGUUCUUCUUGAAGUUCCCUUUUUUUCCCUUUGUCCCUUUACUUGAAACUAGUGGUCUUGUUAACCAUCAACACUUGAUGCUCUUUCUUGAUUUCUACCUUCGUCGAUUUCAGCAUCGCGAAGAGCUCGGGAAUUACUUUCGUCAUCCCUUGCAUAUUAUAGUUCAUCACGAAGUUCUAAUAACUUGGUGAUAGUGACUAGAGAAUUCUGUCAAUUACUAUCUUAUCUGGAAGAUUAACUCCCACUUGAUUCAAGCAAUUGUAGUACCCAGACAAUCUGAGCACAUGCUCACUGGUUGAGCUAUUCUCCUCCAUCUUGUAGGCAAAGUACUGUCAGAGGUCUCACACCUCUCGACACGGGCAUGAGUAUGAAAUACCAAUUUCAACUCUUGGAACAUCUUAUAUGCUCUGUGACGUUCAAAACAUUUUUGAAGUCCCGGUUCUAAGCCGUAAAGCAUGGUGCACUUAACUAUCAAGUAGUCAUCAUACCGAGCUUUUGUCAAAACGUUCAUAACGUCUGCAUCUGCUCCUGCAAUAGGUCUGUCAUCUAGCGGUGCAUCAAGGACAUAAUUCUUCUGUGCAGCAAUGAGGAUAAACCUCAGAUCACGGAUCCAAUCCGCGUCAUUGCUACUAACAUCUUUCAACUUAGUUUUCUCUAGGAACAUAUAAAAAUUAAACGGGGAGCAACAUCGCGAGCUAUUGAUCUACAACAUACAUAUGCUAAUACUACCAGGACUAAGUUCAUGAUAAAUUAAAGUUCAAUUUAUCAUAUUACUUAAGAACUCCCACUUAGAUAGACAUCCCUCUAAUCAUCUAAGUGAUCACGUGAUCCAAAUCAACUAAACCAUGUCCGAUCAUCACGUGAGAUGGAGUAGUUUUCAAUGGUGAACAUCACUAUGUUGAUCAUAUCUACUAUAUGAUUCACGCUCGACCUUUUGGUCUCAGUGUUCCGAGGCCAUAUCUGUUAUAUGCUAGGCUCGUCAAGUUUAACCUGAGUAUUCCGCGUGUGCAACUGUUUUGCACCCGUUGUAUUUGAACGUAGAGCCUAUCACACCCGAUCAUCACGUGGUGUCUCAGCACGAAGAACUUUCGCAAUGGUGCAUACUCAGGGAGACCACUUAUACCUUGAUAAUUUAGUGAGAGAUCAUCUUAUAAUGCUACCGUUGAUCUAAGCAGAAUAAGAUGCAUAAAAGAUAAACAUCACAUGCAAUCAAUAUAAGUGAUAUGAUAUGGCCAUCAUCAUCUUGUGCUUGUGAUCUCCAUCUCUGAAGCACCGUCAUGAUCACCAUUGUCAUCGGCGCGACACCUUGAUCUCCAUCGUAGCAUCGUUGUCGUCUCGCCAACUAUUGCUUCUACAACUAUCGCUACUGCUUAGUGAUAAAGUAAAGCAAUUACAGGGCGAUUGCAUUGCAUACAAUAAAGCGACAACCAUAUGGCUCCUGCCAGUUGCCGAUAACUCGGUUACAAAACAUGAUCAUCUCAUACAAUAAAAUAUAGUAUCAUGCCUUGACCAUAUCACAUCACGACAUGCCCUGCAAAAACAAGUUAGACGUCCUCUACUUUGUUGUUGCAAGUUUUACGUGGCUGCUACGGGCUGAGCAAGAACCGUUCUUACCUACACAUCAAAACCACAACGAUAGUUUGUCAAGUUGGUGCUAUUUUAACCUUCGCAAGGACCGGGCGUAGCCACACUCAGUUCAACUAAAGUUGGAGAAACUGACACCCGCUAGUCACCUGUGUGCAUAGCGCACGACGGUAAAACCAGUCUAACGUAAGCGUACGCGUAAUGUCAGUCCGGGCCGCUUCAUCCAACAAUACCGCCGAACCAAAGUGUGACAUGCUGGUAAGCAGUAUGACUUAUAUCGCCCACAACUCACUUGUGUUCUACUCGUGCAUAUUACAUCAACGCAUAAAACCUGGCUCGGAUGCCACUGUUGGGAAACGUAGUAAUUUCAAAAAAAUUCCUACGCACACGCAAUAUCAUGGUGAUGCAUAGCAACGAGAGGGGAGAGUGUUGUCUAUGUACCCUCGUAGACCAAAAGCGGAAGCGUUAGCACAACGCGGUUGAUGUAGUCGUACGUCUUCACGAUCCGACCGAUCAAGUACAGAACGCACGGCACCUCCGAGUUCAGCACAUGUUCAGCUCGAUGACGUCCCUUGAACUCCGAUCCAGCCGAGCUUUGAGGGAGAGUUCUGUCAGCACGACGGCGUGGUGACGAUGAUGAUGUUCUACCGACGCAGGGCUUCGCCUAAGCAUCGCUACGAUAUUAUCGAGGUGGAUUAUGGUGGAGGGGGCACCGCACACGGCUAAGAGAUCAAGAGAUCAAUUGUUGUGUCUAUGGGGUGCCCCCUCCUCCGUAUAUAAAGGGGGGGAGGAGGAGAGGGCCCGCCCAAGGGGGUGGCGUGCCCUAGGAGGGGGAAACCUACUCCAAGUAGGUUUGCCCCUCCCUUUCCCAGUCCACGAAGGAGGGGGGAGGAAGGAGUGGGAGAGGGGAAAGGCAAGGGGGGCGCCGCCCCCCCUUCCUUGUCCUAUUCGGACUCAAUGGCAGGGGGCGCGCCUCUUGCCCUGGCCGGCCCCUCUCUCUCUCCACUAGGGCCCAACAAGGCCCAUUAGUUCCGGGAGGGGGGGUUCCGGUAACCCCCGGUACUCCGAUAAAUGUCCGAAACCUUUCCAGUGUCCAAACAUAGUCGUCCAAUAUAUCGAUCUUUACGUCUCGACCAUUUCGAGACUCCUCGUCAUGUCCAUGAUCACAUCCGGGACUCCGAACAACCUUCGGUAUAUCAAAACACAUAAACUCAUAAUAUAACUGUCAUCGAACUUUAAGCGUGCGGACCCUACGGGUUCGAGAACUAUGUAGACAUGACCGAGACACGUCUCCGGUCAAUAACCAAUAGCGGAACCUGGAUGCUCAUAUUGGCUCCCACAUAUUCUACGAAGAUCUUUAUAGGUCAAACCACAUAACAACAUACGUUGUUCCCUUUGUCAUCGGUAUGUUACUUGCCCGAGAUUCGAUCGUCGGUAUCUCAAUACCUAGUUCAAUCUCGUUAUCAGCAAGUAUCUUUACUCGUUCUAUAAUACAUCAUCCCGUGACUAACUCAUUAGUUACAAUGCUUGCAAGGCUUAUAGUGAUGUGCAUUACCGAGUGGGCCCAGUGAUACCUCUCCAACAAUCGGAGUGACAAAUCCCAAUCUCGAAAUACGCCAACUCAACAAGUACCUUUGGAGACACCUGUGGAGCACCUUUAUAAUCACCCAGUUACGUUGUGACGUUUGGUAGCACACAAAGUGUUCCUCCGGUAAACGGGAGUUGCAUAAUCUCAUAGUCAUAGGAACAUGUAUAAGUCAUGAAGAAAGGAAUAGCAACAUACUAAACGAUCAAGUGCUAAGCUAACGGAAUGGGUCAAGUCAAUCACAUCAUUCUCCUAAUGAUGUGAUCCCGUUAAUCAAAUGACAACUCAUGUCUAUGGCUAGGAAACAUAACCAUCUUUGAUCAACAAGCUAGUCAAGUAGAGGCAUACUAGUGACACUCUGUUUGUCUAUGUAUUCACACAUGUAUCAUGUUUUCGGUUAAUACAAUUCUAGCAUGAAUAAUAAACAUUUAUCAUGAUAUAAGGAAAUAAAUAAUAACUUUAUUAUUGCCUCUAGGGCAUAUUUCCUUCACUACCUUGCAGCACUUUUGUUACUACUAUCAUUACUUGCUCGUUACAAAUUAUCUGGCUAUCAAACUACUCUGUUACUUACAAUUUCAGCACUUGCUGGCAUUACCUUGCUGAAAACCGCUUGUCAUUUCCUUCUGCUCCUCGUUGGGUUCGACAUUCUUACUUAUCGAAAAGAGCUACAAUUGAUCCCCUAUACUUGUGGGUCAUCAAGGCUAUUUUCUGGCGCCGUUGCUGGGGAGUGAAGCGCCUUUGGUAAGUGGAAUUUGGUAAGGAAACAUUUAUAUAGUGUGCUGAAAUUUAUUGUCACUUGUUACUAUGGAAAACAAUCCUUUGAGGGGUUUGUUCGGGGUAUCUUCACCUCGACCGGAACCAUAAUUAGCUACCCCUCAACCUAUUGCACCUACUGAAAAUAUUGAAUAUGAAAUUACUUUGUUUAUGAUAGAAGAACUGCUAGCUAAUCCUUAUGCAGGAGAUGGAACCGAACAUCCUGAUAUGCACUUGAUAUAUGUGGGACAAAUUUGUGGAUUGUUUAAACUUGCAGGUUUACCCGGAGAUGAAGUUAAGAAGAAGGUUUUCCCUUUAUCUUUGAAGGGAAAAGCAUUGGCAUGGUAUAGUAUAUGCAAUGAUAUUGGAUCUUGGAAUUGGAAUCGAUUAAAAUUGGAGUUUCACCAAAAAAAAAUCCCAUGCAUCUAGUUCAUCGUGAUCGGAAUUACAUAUAUAAUUUUUGGCCUCGUGAAGGAGAAAGUAUCGCUCUAGCUUGGGGGAGGGUUAAAUCAAUAUUAUAUUCAUGCCCCAAUCAUGAGCUCUCAAGAGAAAUUAUUAUCCAGAAUUUUUAUGCUCGACUUUCUCAUAAUGAUCGCCAUGCUUAAUACUUCUUGUGCUGGUUCUUUUAUGAAGAAGACUAUUGAAUUCCGGUGGGAUCUUUUGGAAAGAAUUUAACGCAACUCUGAAGAUUGGGAACUCGACGAAGGUAAAGAGUCAGGUAUUAAGCUUAAGUAUGAUUGUGUUAAAUCUUCUAUGAAUACCGAUGCUUUUCAAAAGUUUAGCACUAAAUAUGGACUUGACUCUGAAAUAGUAGCAUCCUUUUGUGAAUCAUUUGCUACUCAUGUUGAUCUCCCUAAAGGGAAGUGGUUUAAAUAUCACCCACCUAUUAAAGAAGAAAUUAAAGAACCUGUACCAGUUAAAGAGGAAACUAUUCUUUAUAAUGUUGAUCCAAUUGUUCCUACUGCUUAUAUUGAAAAACCACCUUUCCCUAUUAGGAUAAAGGAACAUGCUAAAGUAUCGACUGUGGUCAACAAAAGUUAUAUCAGAACACCUAAACCUGAUGAACAAAUUAAAGUAGAGCCUAGUGUUGCUAUGGUUAAAGACCUCUUGGAAGAAAAUAUAGAUGGGCAUGUUAUUUACUUCUAUAAUGAAGCUACUGUAAUUGUCAAACCCGAUAAAAUAGAUAAUCAUAGACCCGUUGUUGGCAUGCCCGUUGUCUCAGUUAAAAUAGGAGAUCACUGUUAUCAUGUUUUAUGAGACAUAGGUGCUAGCGUAAGUGCUAUUCCUUACACCUUAUAUCAAGAAAUUAUGAAUGACAUAGCACCCGCAGAGAUAGAAGACAUAUCUGUUACUAUUAAACUUGCUAAUAGAGAUACUAUUUCACCAACUGGGAUUAUUAGAGAUGUUGAAGUCUUGUGUGGGAAAAUAAAAUACCCUACUGAUUUUCUUGGUCUUGGUUCCCCAUAAGAUGAUUUUUGUCCCAUUAUUUUCAGUAGACCUUUCUUGAACACCGUUAAUGCUCAAAUAGAUUGUAAGAAACAAAUUGUCGGUGUCAGUUUUGGUAAUGAGUCUCAUGAGUUUAUUUUUUCCAAGUUUAGUAGAAAGCUUCAUGAAAAAGAAUUGCCUAGUAAGGAUGAAAUAAUUGGCCUUGCUUCUAUUUUUGUGCCUCCUACUGAUCCUUUAGAACAAUAUUUGCUAGACCAUGAAAAUGAUUUACAUAUGCAUGAAAGAAAUGAAAUAGAUGAGAUUUUCUUUGAACAACGUCCUUUGCUUAAACACAAUUUGCCUAUUGAAACUCUAGGAGGUCCUCCUCCACCUAAAGGUGAUCCUGUGUUUGAAUUAAAACAAUUUCCAGACACUUUGAAAUAUGCUUAUCUUGAUGAAAAGAAGAUAUAUCCUGUUAUUAUUAGUGCUAACCUUUCAGAACAUGAAGAAGAAAGAUUAUUGAAAGUUCCAAGGAAGCACCGAGCUGCUAUUGGAUAUACUCUUGAUGAUUUAAAGGGCAUUAGUCCCACUCUAUGCCAGCACAAGAUUAAUAUGGAACCUGAUGCUAAACCCGUCGUUGAUCACCAACGUCGGUUAAAUCUGAAGAUGAAAGAAGUGGUAAGAACGAAGAUAUUAAAACUUCUGGAAGCAGGUAUAAUCUAUCCUAUAGUUGAUAGUAGAUGGGUAAGCCCUGUUUAUUGUGUUCCUAAGAAAGGAGGUAUUACUGUUGUUCCUAAUGAUAAGAAUCAACUUAUUCCACAAAGAAUUGUUACAGGCUAUAGAAUGGUAACUGAUUUUAGAAAAUUAAACAAAGCAAUUAGAAAAGAUCAUUACCCUCUGCCUUUUAUUGAUCAAAUGCUAGAGAGAUUAUCUGAGCACACACACUUUUGCUUUCUUGAUGGAUAUUCUGGUUUUUCACAAAUACAUGUUUCUCAACCUGACCAAGAAAAGACCACUUUCACUUGUCCCUUUGGAACUUAUGCUUAUAGACGUAUGCCUUUCGGUUUAUGCAAUGCACCUGCUACCUUUCAAAGAUGUAUGAUUGCUAUAUUCUCUGACUUUUGUGAAAAGAUUGUUGAGGUUUUCAUGGAUGACUUCUCUGUUUAUGGGAAGUAUUUUGAUGAUUGUUUAAGCAAUCUUGAUUGAGAUUUGCAGAGAUGCGAGCAAACAAAUCUUGUCUUGAAUUGGGAUAAGUGCCACUUUAUGGUUAACGAAGGUAUUGUUUUGGGCCAUAAAAUUUCUGAAAGGGGUAUUGAAGUGGACAAAGCUAAGGUGGAUGCAAUUGAGAAAAUGCCAUGUCCUAAAGAUAUCAAAGGUUUUCAUAGCCUAGGUCAUGCUGGUUUCUAUAGGAGAUUUAUCAAAGACUUUUCUAAACUUUCUAGGCCUCUUACAAAUCUUUUGCAAAAGGAUGUUCCUUUUGUUUUUGAUGAUGAUUGUUUAGAAGCCUUCGAAACACUCAAGAAAGCCUUAAUUUCUGCACCUAUUGUUCAACCACCUGACUGGAACUUGCCUUUUGAAAUUAUGUGUGAUGCCAGUGAUUAUGUUGUUGGUGCUGUUCUAGGACAAAGAUUUGAUAAGAAACUGAAUGUUAUUCAUUAUGCUAGUAAAACUCUAAAGUUAUCAUUCACACCGACCAUGUUGCUAUUAAAUAUCUUAUGGAAAAGAAAGAUACUAAACCUAGACUAUUAUUCGAUGGGUUCUCUUGCUACAAGAAUUUGAUUUACAUGUUACUGAUAGGAAAGGAGCUGAGAACCCAGUGGCUGAUAACUUGUCUAGGCUUGAAAAUGUGCUUGAUGACCCACUACCUAUUGAUGAUAGUUGAUAACCCACAAGUAUAGGGGAUCGUUUGUAGCCUUCUUCGAUAAAUAAGAGUGUCGAACCCAACGAGGAGCUAAAGGCAGAACAAAUAUUCCCUCAAGUUGUAUCGACCACCGAUACAACUCUACGCACACUUGACGUUUGCUUUACCUAAAACAAGUAUGGAACUAUUUUGCAAGAAUAAAACUACGAGUACUUUGCGACAAUAAAACUACGAAUAAAUUUCAAGGUAAUAGAAGUGGAUAGCUUUUGUCAACAAGAAAGUCAUUUGUCCCUAGGCAAUCGAUAACAAGUACCGGUAAUCAUUCUUGUAAUUUUAUAUGAGGGAGAGGCAUGAGCUAACAUACUUUCUCUACUUGGAUCAUAUGCACUUACGAUUGGACCCCUAGCAAGCAUCCGCAACUACUAAAGAUCAUUAAGGUCGAGAAACCCAACCAUAGCAUUAAGUAUCAAGUCUUCUUUACUCCCAUACGUCAUAAGCCACUUAUCCGCGUUUAGGCUCCUGUCACCCCCGCAACACUGACAAUAAGCAAACCAUGAACGUAUUGCAACACCAUACAACGGGGGCCCCUCACGUUUGCGUGAGACGAAGGGCACCGUAGGACAAUGCCAUAAAUAAAAUAUACAAUCAUACCAACCAAGAUCACGAUUAACCCAUAGGACAAAAUGGAUCUACUCAAACAUCAUAGGAUAGCGAAAUAUCAUUGGGAAAUAAAUAUAUGGAGUUGAGCACCAUGUUUAAGUAGAGAUUAGAGAUUACAGCGGGGGGGGGGGGAGAGGUGUUACACCACUGCAGAUAGGGGAAAGUUGCUAUUGAUGGUAGGAAGGUUGUUGAUGUAGAUCGCCUUCACGAUCCUAGCCCCGGCGGCACUCCGGUGCCACCGAGAGAGAGGGGGAGAGAUCCCUUCUUCCUUGGCCUCCCCCCUAGAUGGGAGGAGAGUUCCCCCUCUGGUCCAUGGUCUCCAUGGCGGCGGAGGGGCGGGAGCCCCUCCGAGAUUGGAUCUCUCUCUCUGUUCUCUUCUAUUUCGCGCUCUCCUGAUCUAGCCGGGGUAUAAGCUUCCUUGCGCCCGAAGUAGAGCUCCAACCGACGUACGAGGUGAGCACAACCCACCACCGCGAGCCUGGCUCCCCUGGCGCGCCCUGGUCUCUUGUGGGCUGUGUGGGCCUCCGUUUGCGGUGAUUCCAACUCCCAAAAAUCACAUAUAUUCCCAAAUAAUUCUCCGUAAAAUUUUAUUGCAUUUGGACUUCGUUUGAUAUGGAUUUUCUGCGAUACAAAAAAUGCAACAAACAUGAACUGGCACUGGGCACUGGAUCAAUAGGUUAGUCCAAUAAAUCAUAUAAAAAGUUGCCAAAAGUAUGUGAAAGUUGUAUAAUAUUUGCAUGAAACAAUAAAAAAUUAUAUAUACGACGGAGAUGUAUCAGCAUCCCCAAGCUUAAUUCCUGCUCGCCUCGAGUAGGUAAAUGAUAAAAAUGUUAAUUUUUGAUGUGGAAUGCUACCUAGCAUAAACUUGAUCAUAUAUCUAAUCAUGGCAUGAAUAUUAAGACAUAAGUGAUUCAAAGCAGUAGUCUAUAAUUUGACAUAAAUACAUCAAUACUCAGGCAUCCCAACAAACAAUCAUGUCUUUCAAAAUAUCAAUGCUAAAGAAAGCUAUCCCUACAAAAUCAUAUAGUCUUGUCAUGCUCUGUCUUCUUAACACAGUAUUAUCAUGCACAACCCCGAUGACAAGCCGAGCAAUUGGUUCAUACUUUUUAAUGCGCUUCAACUUUUUCAACCCUCACACAAUACAUGAGCGCAAGCCAUGGAUAUAGCACUACAGGUGGAAUGGAGUAUGAUGAUAGGGGUAAAUAUAGAGAAGACAAAAAAGUAAGAAAGUCUCACAUCGACGCGGCUAACCAACGGGCUAUGGAGAUGCCCAUCAAUCGAUAUCAACGUGAGGAGUAGGGAUUGCCAUGCAACGAAUGCACUAAGAGCUAUAAGUGUAUGAAAGCUCAAUAUGAAAACUAAGUGGGUGUGCAUCUAAUCCUAUAAUGAAAAAUUCCCACUAGUAUAUGAAAGUGACAACAUAGGAGACUCUCCAUAUGAAAAACAUGGUGCUACUUUGAAGCACAAGUGUGGAACUAGCAUGCCCCUUCUCUCUUUAUUUCUUUAUUUCUUUUUAUUUUUUUAUUUUUUUAUUUCUCUCAUUGUCCAGAGUCUCAUCCUGACUUGUGGGGGAAUCGUAGUCUCCGUCAUCCUUUCCUCACUGGGGCACUGCUCUAAAAAUGAAUAAUGAUGAUCAUCACACUUCUAUUUACUUAUAACUCAAAAGAAAUAAAAAUUACAACUCGAUACCUAUGACAAAGUAUGACUCUAUAUGAAUGCCUCUGGCAAUGUACCAGGAUGUGCAAUGAUCUAGCAUAACAUGUAUGAAAAAUGAUGAACAGUAGCUGAGCCACAACUACUAUGUCAGCUAUAUGAUCAUGCAAAGCAAUAUGACAAUGAAUGCUCAAGUCAUCAAACGGAAGCGGUGGAAGUUGCAUGGCAAUAUAUCUCGGAAUGGCCAUGGAAAAGCCAUAAUAGGUAGGUAUGGUAGCUGUUUUGAGGAAGAUAUAAUAAGGAUUAUGUGUGAUAGAGGGUAUCAUAUCAUGGGGUUUGGAUGCACCUGCGAAGUUUGCACCACGUCUCGAGGUGAGAAAGGGCAAUGCAUGGUACCGUAGAGGCUAGCAAAUUGCCGAAAGGUAAGAGUGCGUAUAAUCCAUGGACUCACAUUAGUCAUAAAGAACUCAUAUACUUAUUGCAAAAGUUUAUUAGCCCUCGAAGCAAAGUACUACUACGCAUGCCCCUAGGGGGUAGAUUGGUAGGAAAAGACCAUCGCUCGUCCCCGACUGCCACUCAUAAGGAAGAUAAUCAAUAAUAAAUCAUGCUCCAACUUCAUAGCAUAACGAGAGACUAUACGUGCAUGCUUCGGGAAUCACAAACCUUAACACCAAUAUUCUUACUAACCACAACCGUUUACUAGUACCUCCCACAUAUUCCAUCUCUAUAUCGCAAAACUAUUGCAAGGAAUCAAACAUAUCAUAUUCAGUGAUCCAUAAGUUUUAUGUAGGAUUUUAUGAAUAACCAAGCAAUUGACCAAUUCCUGUUGACUCUCUAAAUAGAUAUACAUGAAGCAUGAGAGUUUAAUUCUUUCUACAAAAGAUCAUGCUCUAACAAAUAUAAGUGAAGCAAAAGAGCAUUCUAUGAACAUCAGUUUUCUAUGUGAAGAGAAACAGGCAAUCCAAACUUCAAAUGAUAUAAGUGAAGCACAUGAAACAUUCUAUAAAGCCAUACUCAAAAGAUAUAAGUGAAGUGCAAUGAGAAUUCUAUACAUCAACCAUGGACUAUCUCAUACCAGCAUGGUGCAUAAAAUAAAAGUGAAAAAUAAAUGCAAAAUACGCUCCAAGAUUUACACAUAUCACGUGAACGAAACAAAGACGAAAGCAUACCGAUACUUGUUGAAGAAAGAUGGGAUGACUUCCGGGGCAUCCCAAGCUUAGACGCAUGAGUCUCCUUGAAUAUUUACUUGGGGUGCCUUGGGCAUCCCCAAGCUUGAGCUCUUGCCUCUCCUCCUUCUCCUCAUAUCGAGACCUCCUCGAUCUUUGAUCACUUCAUCCACACAAAACUCAACAGAAAGCUCGGUAAGAUCGGUUAGUAUAAUAAAGCAAAUCACUACUCUAAGUGCAGUUGCAAACCAAUUCAUAUUUUUUUUGCAUUGCAGCUACUGUAAUAUAACUUUUCCAUGGAUUAUACCACCGAUAGAAUCGAUAGUUUCAUCAAAACAAGCAAAACAAUGCAUCAAAAACAGAAUCUGUCUUAAACAGGACAGUCUGUAGCAAUAUGAAGAUCUACCAUACUUCUGGUACUCCAAAAAUUCUGAAAAAUUAGGAAAACGUAAAAAAAUUGUAUAUGAAGACAGUGCAAAAAGUUUCAGAAACGUUUGACGUUCCAGGAAAAAAUUAAAAUUCAUGCGCUACAGCCAAAGUUUCUGUUUCUGCACCGCAUGUACCAACAAGCAAUCUAAUCAUCCUAAAGGCAAAUCUUGGCACAUUAUUUUUAUAAUACAAUCGAAGUGUACAAGGGGAUAAUUUUUGUUGAAAAGUUUCUGUAAUUCAAGAUUCACAAAGUUUCCAUGGGCAUGAACAAAGUUCAAGGCAUGCUCCCGCUUUCACGGUGCUCGUCCUUCUCACUUUCACUUUUCUUUUUGUGAAGUUUUAAGUUCCCCUCUAUAUUUUUUGUUUUUAAACUAUAUAAAAGCACUCAACAGAAAUAAAUGACUCUCUAAAACUUCCGGGUUGUCUCCCUGGCAGCGCUUUCUUUAAAGCCAUUAAGCUAUGCAUAAAGUGCUCAAGUAAUGGAUCCACCAAGAUCCCAAGGUAUAUCAAGGCCAAUUUUAAUUAGCAAUGAUUUGGCAUUUAGUAAUGAGCACAAAGCAACAUAUAUCAAGAAAUGAUGAAGUCUAACUCUCUUUCUAUGCAUCGGCAUGUCAUACAAGAACAAUUCAUGCACAUCAUGUAAAGGCCAAUACAUAGCAUAAACAGUUUCUUGCAAUUCUAUCAUGUUGGAAACACAGAGAGGCGGAGAUGUGGUUCCUCUCUCAUAAUAAUUGCAAGUAGGAGCAACAAGCACAUGCAUAUUAUUGAUACGUCUCCAAUGUAUCUAUAAUUUUUUAUUUUUCCAUGCUAUUAUAUUAUCUGUUUUGGAUGUUUAAUGGGCUUUAUUAUGCACUUUUAUAUUAUUUUUGGGACUAACCUACUAACCGGAGGCCCAGUGCAAAUUGCUGUUUUUUGCCUAUUUCAGUGUUUCGUAGAAAAGGAAUAUCAAACGGAAUCCAAAUGGAAUGAAACCUUCGGGAGAGUUAUUUUUGGAACAAACAUGAUCCAGGAGACUUGGAGUGGAUCAAGGAAGCAACGAGGCGGCCACGAGAUAGGGAGGCGCGCCUACCACCACCCUCGUGGGCCCCUCGUGGCUCCACCGACCUACUUCUUUCGCCUAUAUAUACUCAUAUACCCUGAAAACAUCCGAGAGCACCACGAAACCCUAUUUCCACUGCCGCAACCUUAUGUACCCGUGAGAUCCCAUCUUGGGGCCUUUUUCGGCGCUCCGCCGGAGGGGGAAUCGAUCACGGAGGGCUUCUACAUCAACACAAUAGCCUCUCCGAUGACGUGUGAGUAGUUUACCAUAGACCUUCGGGUCCAUAGUUAUUAGCUAGAUGGCUUCUUCUCUCUCUUUGGAUCUCAAUACAAAGUUCUCCUCGAUUCUCUUGGAGAUCUAUUCGAUGUAAUUCUUUUUGCGGUGUGUUUGUCGAGAUCCAUGAAUUGUGGGUUUAUGAUCAAUAUUAUCUAUGAACAAUAUUUGGUUCUUCUCUGAAUUCUUAUAUGUAUGAUUUGAUAUCUUUGCAAGUCUCUUCGAAUUAUCAGUUUGGUUUGGCCUACUAGAUUGAUCUUUCUUGCAAUGGGAUAAGUUCUUAGCUUUGGGUUGAAUCUUGCGGUGUCCUUUCCCAGUGACAGCAGGGGCAGCAAGGCAUGUAUUGUAUUGUUGCCAUCGAGGAUAAAACGAUGGGGUUUAUAUCAUAUUGCUUGAGUUUAUCCCUCUACAUCAUGUCAUUUUGCCUAAUGCGUUACUCCAUUCUUAUGAACUUAAUACUCUAGAUGCAUGUUGGAUAACGGUCGAUGUGUGGAGUAAUAGUAGUAGAUGCAUAAUCGUUUCGGUCUACUUGUCGCAGACGUGAUGCCUAUAUACAUGAUCAUGCCUAGAUAUUCUCAUAACUAUGCACUUUUCUAUCAAUUGCUCGAUAGUAAUUUGUUCACCCACCGUAGAUUAUGCUAUCUUGAGAGAAGCCACUAGUGAAACCUAUGGCCCCCGGGUCUAUUUUCCAUCAUAUGAGUUUCCGAUCUAUUUUAUUUUGCAAUCUUUACUUUCCAAUCUAUAUCAUAAAAAUACUAAAAAUAUUUAUCUUAUUAUCUCUAUCAGAUCUCACUUUUGCAAGUGGCCGUGAAGGGAUUGACAACCCCUUUAUCGCGUUGGUCGCAAGGUUCUUAUUUGUUUGUGCAGGUACAAGGCGACUUGCGUGUAACCUCCUACUGGAUUGAUACCUUGGUUCUCAAAACUUGAGGGAAAUACUUACGCUACUUUGCUGCAUCACCCUUUCCUCUUCAAGGGAAAACCAACGCAUGCUCAAGAGGUAGCAAGAAGGAUUUCUGGCGCUGUUGCUGGGGAGGCUUACGCCAAGUCAAGUCAAGAUUUGAUCUCCCAGCAACUAGCCAUUUCUGGCGCUGUUGCCGGGGAGUCUACACACAAGUCAAGACAUAGCAUGUACCCAUCACAAACUCUUAUCCCUCGCAUUACAUUAUUUGCCAUUUGCCUCUCGUUUUACUCUCCCCCACUUCACCUUUGCCGUUUUAUUCGCCCUCUUUUUCUGUUUGUCUCUUUUCGCUUGCUUCUUUGUGUGCUUGUGUGUUGGAUUGUUUGUCACGAUGGCUCAAGACAAUACUAAAUUGUGUGACUUUUCGAAUACCAACAACAAUGAUUUUCUUAGCACGCCGAUUGCUCCUAUUACCGAUGCCGAAUCUUGUGAAAUUAAUGUUGCUUUCUUGAAUCUUGUCAUGAAUGAUCAAUUUUCUGGCCUUCCUAGUGAAGAUGCCGCUACUCAUCUAAACAACUUUGUUGAUUUGUGUGAUAUGAAAAAGAAGAAAGACGUGGAUAAUGAUAUUGUUAAAUUGAAGCUAUUUCCGUUUUCGCUUAGAGAUCGUGCUAAAACUUGGUUUUCGUCUUUGCCUAAAAAUAGUAUUGAUUCAUGUAAUAAGUGCAAAGAUGCUUUUAUCUAUAAGUAUUUUCCUCCCGUUAAGAUCAUCCCUCUUAGAAACGAUAUUAUGAAUUUUAAGAAACUUGAUCAUGAACAUGUUGCACAAGCUUUGGAGAGAAUGAAAUUAAUGAUACGUAAUUGCCCUACACAUGGUUUGAAUUUAUGGAUGAUUAUACAAAAAAUUUAUGCCGGAUUGAAUUUUGCUUCUAGAAAUCUUUUAGAUUCGGCCGCGGGAGGCACUUUCAUGGAAAUCACUUUAGGAGAAGCUACUAAACUCCUAGAUAAUAUUAUGGUUAAUUAUUCUCAAUGGCACACCGAAAGAUCUACUAGUAAAAUGGUCACGCGAUAGAAGAGAUUAAUGUCUUGAGUGGAAAGAUGCAUGAACUUAUGAAGUUGUUUGCUAAUAAGAAUGUUUCUUCUGAUCCUAAUGAUAUGCCUUUGUCUACUUUGAUUGAGAAUAAUAAUGAAUCUAUGGAUGUGAAUUUUGUUGGUAGGAACAAUUUUGGUAACAACGCGUAUAGAGGAAACUUUAAUCCUAGGCCGUUUCCUAGUAAUUCCUCUAAUAAUUAUGGUAAUUCCUACAACAACUCUUAUGGAAAUUUUAAUAAGAUGCCCUCUGAUUUUGAGACUAGUGUUAAAGAAUUUAUGAUUUCGCAAAAGAAUUUCGAUGCUUUGCUUGAAGAAAAAUUGCCUAAGAUUGAUGAGUUGGCUAUGAACGUGGAUAGAAUUUCUCUUGAUGUUGAUUCUUUGAAACUUAGAUCUAUUCCACCUAAGCAUGAUAUCAAUGAGUCUCUCAAAGCCAUGAGAAUUUCCAUUGAUGAGUGCAAAGAAAGAACCUCUAGGAUGCGUGCUAAAAAAGAUUGCUUUAUGAAAGCGUGUUCUUCUGGUUUUCAUGAUAAUAAGGAUGGAGAUCUAAAAGUGAUGGAUGUGUCUCCUAUUAAAUAUUUGUUUGCAAUUUUAACCUUGAUAAUGAUGGAACUGGAGAUGAGUCAACUUUCAUUAGAAGGCCUCCCAAUGAUUCGGAGUUUUUAGAUCUUGAUGCAAAAAUUGGUAAAAGUGGGAUUGAAGAGGUCAAAACUUUACAUAGAAAUGAACCCACUAUUUUGGAUUUCAAGGAAUUUAAUUAUGAUAAUUGCUCUUUGAUAGAUUGUAUUUCCUUGUUGCAAUCCGUGCUAAAUUCUCCUCAUGCUUAUAGUCAAAAUAAAGCUUUUACCAAACAUAUCGUUGAUGCUUUAAUGCAAUCUUAUGAAGAAAAACUUGAAUUAGAAGUUUCUAUCCCUAGAAAACUUUAUGAUGAGUGGGAACCUACUAUUAAAAUUAAGAUUAAAAAUCAUGAAUGCUAUGCUUUGUGUGAUUUGGGUGCUAGUGUUUCCACGAUUCCAAAAACUUUGUGUGAUGUGCUAGGUUUCCAUGAAUUUGAUGAUUGUUCUUUAAACUUGCAUCUUGCGGAUUCCACCAUUAAGAAACCUAUGGGAAGGAUUAAUGAUGUUCUUAUUGUUGCAAAUAAGAAUUAUGUGCCCGUAGAUUUCAUUGUUCUUGAUAUAGAUUGCAAUCCUUCAUGUCCUAUUAUUCUUGAUAGACCUUUUCUUAGAACGAUUGGUGCAAUUAUUGGUAUAAAGGAAGGGAAUAUUGGAUUCCAAUUUCCAUUAAGGAAAGACAUGGAACACUUUCCUAGAAAUAAAAUUAAAUUACCUUAUGAAUCUAUUAUGAGAGCCACUUAUUAUUUUCUUACCAAAGAUGACAAUACCAAGAUCUAUUCUUGCCUUUAUGCCUACCUAGGGGCGUUAAACAAUAGCGCUUGUUGGGAGGCAACCCAAUUUUAUUUUUGUUUCUUGCUUUUUGGUUCUGUUUAGUAAUAAAUAAUUCAUCUAGACUCUGGAUAUAUGUGGUUUUAUGUUUUAAUUAGUGUUUGUGCCAAGUAAAACCUAUAGGAUCUUCUUGGAUGAUAAUUAUUUGAUCUUGCUGAAAAAGACAGAAACUUUCUGCUCACUAAAACAAUUGUUAAAAAUCACCAGAACAUGAUAAAAUACUGAUUCCAAUUGAAGUUGAUCAAUAAACAAAUUAUUUAGGUCGUCCUAUUUUGGAAGAAUUUUUGAGUUAGAGAAAGUUUGCGUUUGAUACAGAUUACUACAGACUGUUCUGUUUUUGACAGAUUCUGUUUUUCGUGUGUUGUUUGCUUAUUCUGAUGAAUCUAUGGCUAGUAUCGAGGGGUAUGAACCAUAGAGAAGUUGGAAUACAGUAGGUUUAACACCAAUAUAAAUAAAUAAUGAGUUCAUUACAGUACCUUAAAGUGGUGGUUUGUUUUAUUUCGCUAACGGAGCUCAUGAGAUUUUCUGUUGAGUUUUGUGUUGUGAAGUUUUCAAGUUUUUGGGUAAAGAUUUGAUGGAUUAUGGAAUAAGGAGUGGCAAGAGCCUAAGAUUGGGGAUGCCCAAGGCACACCCAAGUUAAAAUUCAAGGACACCAAAAGCCUAAGCUUGGGGAUGCCCUGGAAGGCAUCCCCUCUUUCGUCUUCGCCUAUCGGUAACUUUACUUGAUGCUAUAUUUUUAUUCACCACAUGAUAUGUGUUUUGCUUGGAGCGUCUUGUAUGAUUUGAGUCUUUUCUUUUUAGUUUACCACAAUCAUCCUUGCUGUACACACCUUUUGGGAGAGACACACAUGAAUCGGAAUUUAUUAGAAUACUCUUUGUGCUUCACUUAUAUCUUUUGAGCUAGAUAAAUUUUGCUCUAGUGCUUCGCUUAUAUCUUUUAGAGCACGGUGGUGGUUUUAUUUUAUAGAAAUUAUUGAUCUCUCAUGCUUCACUUCUAUUAUUUUGAGAGUAAUAUAAAACAUCAUGGUAAUUUGCUUUGGCUAUAAAAUUAGUCCUAAUAUGAUGAACAUCCAAGAUGGGUAUAAUAAAAACUAUCAUAUGAAGUGCAUCGAAUACUAUGAGAAGUUUGAUACUUGAUAAUUGUUUUGAGAUAUGAAGAUGGUGAUAUUAGAGUCAUGCUAGUUGAGUAGUUGCGAAUUUGAGAAAUACUUGUUCUAAAGUUUGUGAUUCCCGUAGCAUGCACGUAUGGUGAACCGUUAUGUGAUGAAGUCGGAGCAUGAUUUAUUUAUUGAUUGUCUUCCUUAUGAGUGGCGGUCGGGGAUGAGAGAUGGUCUUUUCCUACCAAUCUAUCCCCCUAGGAGCAUGCGCGUAGUACUUCGGUUCGAUAACUAAUAGAUUUUUUCAAUAAGUAUGUGAGUUCUUUAUGACUAAUGUUGAGUCCAUGGAUUAUACGCACUCUCACCCUUCCACCAUUGCUAGCCUCUCUAAUACCGCGCACCUUUCGCCGGUAUCAUGCACCCAUAUACCUUCCUCAAAACAGCCACCAUACCUACCUAUUAUGGCAUUUCCAUAGCCAUUCCGAGAUAUAUUGCCAUGCAACUUUCCACCGUUCCGUUUAUUAUGACACGCUCCAUCAUUGUCAUAUUGCUUUGCAUGAUCAUGUAGUUGACAUCGUAUUUGUGGCAAGGCCACCCUUAUAAUUCAUUCAUACAUGUCACUCUUGAUUCAUUGCAUAUCCCUGUACACCGCCGGAGGCAUUCACAUAGAGUCAUAUUUUGUUCUAAGUAUUGAGUUGUAAGUAAAUAAAAGUGUGGUGAUCAUCAUUAUUAGAGCAUUGUCCCAAGUGAGGAAAGGAUGAUGGAGACUAUGAUUCCCCCACAAGUCGGGAUGAGACUCCGGAUGAAAAAUAAUAAAAAAGAAGAAAAAAAAGAGGACAUAAAAAAGAGAGAAAAAGGCCCAAAUAAAAAAAUAAAAAAAUGAGAGAAAAAGAGAGAAGGGACAAUGUUACUAUCCUUUUACCACACUUGUGCUUCAAAGUAGCACCAUGAUCUUCAUAAUAGAGAGUCUCCUAUGUUGUCACUUUUUCAUAAACUAGUGGGAAUUUUACAUUAUAGAACUUGGCUUGUAUAUUCCAAUGAUGGGCUUCCUCAGAUUGCCCUAGGUCUUCAUGAGCAAGUGAGUUGGAUGCACACCCACUUAGUUUCUUUUGUUGAGCUUUCAUGCACUUAUAGCUCUAGUGCAUCCGUUGCAUGGCAAUCCCUACUCACUCACAUUAAUAUCUAUUGAUGGGCAUCUCCAUAGCCCGUUGAUACGCCUAGUUGAUGUGAGACUAUCUUCUCCUUUUGGUCUUCUCCACAACCACCAUUCUAUUCCACAUAUAGUGCUAUGUCCAUGGCUCACGCUCAUGUAUUGCGUGAAGAUUGAAAAAGUUUGAGAACAUCAAAAGUAUGAAACAAUUGAUUGGCUUGUCAUCGGGGUUGUGCAUGAUUUAAAUAUUUUGUGUGAUGAAGAUAGAGCAUAGCCAGACUAUAUGAUUUUGUAGGGAUAACUUUCUUUGGCCAUGUUAUUUUUAGAAGACAUGAUUGCUUUGUUAGUAUGCUUGAAGUAUUAUUAUUUUUAUGUCAAUAUUAAACUUUAUCUUGAAUCUUUCGGAUCUGAACAUUCAUGCCACAAUAAAGAAAAUUACAUUGAGAAUUAUGCUAGGUAGCAUUCCACAUCAAAAAUUCUGUUUUUGUCAUUUACCUACUCGAGGACGAGUAGGAAUUAAGCUUGGAGAUGCUUGAUACGUCUCCAACAAAUCUAUAAAUUUUUAUUGGCCAUGUUAUUAUAUUAUCUGUUUUGGAUGUUUAAUGGGCUUUAUUAUGCACUUUAUAUUAUUUUUGGGACUAACCUACUAACCGGAGGCCAGUGCAAAUUGCUAUUUUUUGCCUAUUUCAGUGUUUCGCAGAAAAGGAAUAUCAAACGGAAUGAAAAAUUCGGGAGAGUUAUUUUUGGAACAAACGUGAUCCAGGAAACUUGGAGUGGACGUCAAGGAAGCAACAAGGCAGCCACGAGAUAGGGAGGCGCGCCCAAGAGGGUAGGCACGCCCCCCACCCUCGUGGGCCCCUCGUGGAUCCACCGACCUAGUUCUUCGCCUAUAUAUACUCAUAUACCCUGAAAACAUCUGAGAGCACCACGAAACCCUAUUUCCACCGCCGCAACCUUCUGUACCCAUGAGAUCCCAUCUUGGGGCCUUUUCCGGCACUCCACCGGAGGGGGAAUCAAUCACGGAGGGCUUCUACAUCAACACCAUAGCCUCUUCGAUGACGUGUGAGUAGUUUACCACAAACCUUCGGGUCCAUAGUUAUUAGCUAGAUGGCUUCUUCUCUCUCUUUGGAUCUCAAUACAAAGUUCUCCUCGAUUCUCUUGGAGAUCUAUUCGAUGUAAUUCUUUUUGCGGUGUGUUUGUCAAGAUCCAAUGAAUUGUGGGUUUAUGAUCAAGAUUAUCUAUGAACAAUAUUUGGUUCUUCUCUGAAUUCUUAUAUGUAUGAUUUGAUAUCUUUGCAAGUCUCUUCGAAUUAUCAGUUUGGUUUGGCCUACUAGAUUGACCUUUCUUGCAAUGGGAGAAGUGCUUAGCUUUGGGUUCAAUCUUGCGGUGUCCUUUCCCAGUGACAGCAGGGGCAGCAAGGCACGUAUUGUAUUGUUGCCAUCGAGGAUAAAAAGAUGGGGUUUAUAUCAUAUUGCUUGAGUUGAUCCCUCUACAUCAUGUCAUCUUGCCUAAUGUGUUACUCCGUUCUUAUGAACUUAAUACUCUAGAUGCAUGCUGGAUAGCGGUCGAUGUGUGGAGUAAUAGUAGUAGAUGCAGAAUCGUUUCGGUCUACUUGUCGCCGAUGUGAUGCCUAUAUACAUGAUCAUGCCUAGAUAUUCUCAUAACUAUGCGCUUUUCUAUGAAUUGCUCGACAGUAAUUUGUUCACCCACCAUAGAUUAUGCUAUCUUGAGAGAAGCCACUAGUGAAACCUAUGGCCCCCGGGUCUAUUUUCCAUCAUAUAAGUUUCCGAUCUAUUUUAUUUUGCAAUCUUUACUUUCCAAACUAUAUCAUAAAAAUACCAAAAUAUUUAUCUUAGUAUCUCUAUCAGAUCUCACUUUUGCAAGUGGUCGUGAAGGGAUUGACAACCCCUUUAUCGCGUUGGUUGCAAGGUUCUUAUUUGUUUGUGCAUGUACAAGGCGACUUGUGUGUAACCUCCUACUGGAUUGAUACCUUGGUUCUCAAAAACUGAGGGAAAUACUUACGCUACUUUGCUGCAUCACCCUUUCCUCUUCAAGGGAAAACCAACGCAUGCUCAAGAGGUAGCAAUUAUAUUCAUCAAAAUCAUCAUGUGCAACGGUAAAAGGCAACCCAUCAAUAUAAUCCUUAAUAAAAACAAACUUCUCCGAUAUAGUGUAGUUUUGAGAAUUCAAAAAGAUAAUAGGACUAUCAUGUGUGGGUGCAAUAGCAACAAUUUCAUUCUUGACAUAAGGAACUAUAGCAAGUUCAUCUCCAUAAGCAUAAUUCAUAUUGGCAUCAUGGCCACAAGCAUAGCAAGCAUCAAGUUCAUCAAAAAGGGAUAUUUCAAAAGAAUCAACGGGAUCAUAGCAUUUAUCAUAGCAUUCAUCCUUCGGUAAGAACGAAGGGACAUUAAAUAAUGUAUGAGUUGAAGAGUUACUCUCAUUAGAAGGUGGGCACGGGUGAUCAAUCCGCUCUUCCUCCUUUUGUUCUUCGCUCUCCUCCUCAUCUUUUUCAUCCAAUGGCACUACUAGGAAAAAGGCUACUAGUAGCGUGGGUAAAUUAGCUACUAGUAGCGCGGGGUACCCGCGCUACUAGUAUCGCACUACAACUAAAUGGUUAGUUGUAGCAUGGGUGCACCCGCGCUACUACUAAUCAUUUAGUAGUAGCGCAGGUGCACCCGCGCUACUACUAACCUAACACCCACGCUACUACUAACCUAACUACUAGUAGCGCUCACUUUUACCCCACGCUACUACUAACAAUUUAGGAAUUAAAAAAAUAAAAGUUAUAUGUAGUAUUCAUGAAUGGUAAUACGUCCACUGCAAACCAAACCAAUGUCACAAGAACCAUCUCAAGAUUCCAUUUAACAUCACACACACAACCAUCAUCGAAGUACCUCCCCUAGUGGUCCACCACCAACCUAAACAGAUCACUUCUCUAGAUGUAUCUACCAAGGCUCGGAGUUCAGACGCCAAUGUACCUGAAUCCUCCCUCCCCCGGACGGUGGCGUCAAGGACCUCCACCUCGGAGACCUCCGGUGUCAAAAUCACCUGGACGAGCAUCUGUUCGACGUGGCCACCGGGCUUCACGGCAAAGUCCGCCUCCAAGUGGUUGAAGAGCACAAUGCCCACCGGGCCGCGCUAGUCAGCGUUGAUCACCCAUGCGCCCACGUCGGGAAAGUGAAAACUUGUUAGUACGCAAAUUGCAUCAGUUAAACUAAAUAGUAUAUUACAAUUCACAAGACCCAUUAAGUUAAGAUUCCUUCUGAUCUAGCAAUUUAAAGGGGCUCAUGCCGAAAAUAUAUGCUUAAUUCCUCACUGCCUAUUCAAACUAAAUAUAUAGAUUUGACAAGUACAUAGAAAAACAUAAAGUCCAAAAAACACAAAAAUGUAUAUGUGAACUAAAUUACUUUGUGUGUUAGCAGAUUUCUUGUUAGGUUAUUCGCUAUAUAUAGUACCACAUCAUGCAGGGUGUUGUGUUUACUUCGCGCCACAAUGUUUGGCACGAAGUUCAGUCUUUGCAGACAAAUAGAAUACAUUGCUGGGCGGGACAAGGCAAAGAAAAACACAUAAAUUUGUAGUCACUAAAUCAUUAGCAUUAAUCCGCGGGGGUCAUGUGUCAACUGACUUCAAAUAUGUUCUUGCAAGCUACAAAGAUGUUCAGAAUUACUUGCAAUCUGGUUUUUGCAAGCUACAAAGAUGUUCAGAAUUACUACUUAUCUAGUAGUACUAAUGUUGAAAACAGAUUAUGAAGUAGUCCAUACUCUACAUACAUGUAUGUGAUGAGCAUUGAAGCAUUCACUCUCCCAGGCUGUUUAGGAUCAUCAACCUGGUGUAUGCCAUCCGGCAACAGAGGAAGUGCAUCCUAUAUAAGGCACCCAACAAAAAGCUAAGUGACGGCUACUGCUUUCUCAGGCAGGCUGUACAAACUUAACAAAAAUGGAAGUUCACUAGCACUAUAGAGUCCAGUAUAUCCAGUUGCUAGGGCAAGUACUAAGGUCUAAGAAUGAUAUGCUACUAAAUGAUUGAUUUUGCUGUUGCUCAUGGACAUAGACAGGAGCAACACAUGGCAGGGCCAUGAACCUAUGCAAAGCAUCAAUUGUUUUCAGCUCCAUGGCAACAUGUCCAGUGGAUAUCAAGAUACUACCCAUGUGCACAACUGAAUAGGCUACAGCUUCCUCAAAAAACAAGUAAAUAAGAGCAUCAUGGUUUCCUCACCCGAAUACAGUGACCCAGUCGCCAUCUGACUUCCCUUCGAUGGCCGGAGCCACCGGCUCCGUCCUGGCAGCCUCCGUCGUCGGGGUCACAGAGAAUAGAAUGGUCCAUAGCUCUGCAGGAACAUCCAACAUAUAUCUGAUAGAAUUACAUAUGAAGAAAGCAUCACUCCUGACAAUUUCAUCAAGAGAAGGGAAGUUAGCUAACUUUGUAACAUCCCAAAUUUUCAAUUUGGUAUGUUAUACAUAGAUCAUCAUUGCAUAUCAUGUUUUAUUGCAUUUUGACAAAUCCUCAAUAAAUCCUAAGCAACUCAAGGACCCUCGGAGAGAGUUGGGGAUUUUCUCGAAUUUUCAUCUUUGAUUUUCAUCAAAUAAUAAGACGAGGAUUUUGGUUUUAAUUAUUUUCUCUUCGGAAAAAUAUUUCAUUCUAAAAAUAAACGAGAGGAGAAAACAUGACUUCUCCAAAAAAAUUGAAAUACUGGAGGAAAAGGUUAAAAUCAUUUAUUGAAUUUAUUUGGAUUUUAUUUGCAAUUUUUAUUGCUUUAAAAAUAUUGCAUGUUUUCAAAAUAUUUAUUUUGAUUUAAAAAAAAUGUUCACCCUAUUAUAGAUUUUCUAACUAGACGGGGAAAAUUUAUUUCAUAUUUUUCUGAUUUAUAUUUAUUUUUCUACGAAUUGUUUUCCGCGGAACUUAUUUUAAAAAAAAAACUGCGCGCGCCCGACCGGGCCGCAGCCCAGCCAGGCCGCCGGCCCACCCCGCGCCCCUCUCCUCCUCGCGCACGAGACGCCGCCGCCGCCNNNNNNNNNNNNNNNNNNNNNNNNNNNNNNNNNNNNNNNNNNNNNNNNNNNNNNNNNNNNNNNNNNNNNNNNNNNNNNNNNNNNNNNNNNNNNNNNNNNNNNNNNNNNNNNNNNNNNNNNNNNNNNNNNNNNNNNNNNNNNNNNNNNNNNNNNNNNNNNNNNNNNNNNNNNNNNNNNNNNNNNNNNNNNNNNNNNNNNNNNNNNNNNNNNNNNNNNNNNNNNNNNNNNNNNNNNNNNNNNNNNNNNNNNNNNNNNNNNNNNNNNNNNNNNNNNNNNNNNNNNNNNNNNNNNNNNNNNNNNNNNNNNNNNNNNNNNNNNNNNNNNNNNNNNNNNNNNNNNNNNNNNNNNNNNNNNNNNNNNNNNNNNNNNNNNNNNNNNNNNNNNNNNNNNNNNNNNNNNNNNNNNNNNNNNNNNNNNNNNNNNNNNNNNNNNNNNNNNNNNNNNNNNNNNNNNNNNNNNNNNNNNNNNNNNNNNNNNNNNNNNNNNNNNNNNNNNNNNNNNNNNNNNNNNNNNNNNNNNNNNNNNNNNNNNNNNNNNNNNNNNNNNNNNNNNNNNNNNNNNNNNNNNNNNNNNNNNNNNNNNNNNNNNNNNNNNNNNNNNNNNNNNNNNNNNNNNNNNNNNNNNNNNNNNNNNNNNNNNNNNNNNNNNNNNNNNNNNNNNNNNNNNNNNNNNNNNNNNNNNNNNNNNNNNNNNNNNNNNNNNNNNNNNNNNNNNNNNNNNNNNNNNNNNNNNNNNNNNNNNNNNNNNNNNNNNNNNNNNNNNNNNNNNNNNNNNNNNNNNNCGUUGCCGGUUUUCUUUUAAAAAAAAACCGUUCAUUUUAAAAAAAACCCUAGAUCGGUUUUUUUUCGGUUUUAUUAUUUUGCGAGCGUUCACCGAACCGUUCGUUUUAACGAACGCGUUCGUCGGUUUUUCUCUGUUAACGAACGUCCGUUAUUUAACCGUUCGUCCGUUUUUCUUUUUCGUCGGAUUUUUCUCGUUAUUUUCUCAGAUUCGAUUUCUGAUCGAAUCUUCGAUUCUGUUUAACUGCUCGCUCGUUUAUCGGAAUCAGGCGAUUCAAUCGCCUAGAGUUUUGUCUCGAAAUUCUCUUUCCGUUUAACCUACUCAAACAAGUUUUUGCAACAGUAAAAUUUGACCUAGAUCCAGAUUAGCAAACGAAGUUUCUUUCUUUCGCGGUUUGACUUUCGUUGCUUCUUUCGAGUUGAUUCUUUUUGCAAACCGGAGUUCUUAAGUUGAACUUUCUGGUUGGAUCUUUCAUUCGAGUUUUACCUGUGCAUUAGAAGAGUACUGAUUGUAUGCUUGUUUGUUUGCGAUAGAGUACCCGGAGUGUGCCGCUUGUUACUUCGACUCGUUAGGUUUUGCGGAUCAUCAGCAAGGCAAGUAACACUUUGAUCAUACCCCGUUCAUACCCAGUUUUACUGCAUUAGAUCUGUUAUCCUCAAACAUUGCAUGAUUAGGAUCUAAUUAAAUUGUGGGUAUUGGGAAGUAGUUGAGGUAGUACCUAUUACCUGUUUUCUUACCAAACCCUUGGGAGUUACUUCUACGUUGCUUUUAUUAUUGCCAUGCUAUGCUCGUAGACGUGGAUUUGGGUUUGAGUGAUAUUCACGACAGAUGUGAGAUGUUUAUUAAUGGUUCAACUUAAGGUGGCAACUAAAACUCACAUCUGGGUGGAUUGAGGCACCUGGAGAACCCAGUGUUGUUUGUAUGUAUAAGGUCCGCCACCCAGGCUCAAAGGGAUCAUAAGAUUAUUCAUGCUAGAAACUUCCGUGUGCAGCCACAAGCUAUUAUGGGCUCUAGCAUAGUUGAGUAGGUUACAAGAUCUCUUGAAGAGGUGGGCUAGCAGAUGUAGGGGAAAGUAGGUGUACCGGUCCAUCCAGAGUAAAGAGUGAUUGUUUCUGAAAGGCUGUGUCUCGGUCAUCCGUUUCUCAAACAUCAUGCAGUGCGAGAAUCAAGCGGAGGCGAUCGAGUCUUGUGGGGAAAAGUGCGCAAACCUCUGCAGAGUGUACAAACUAAUCAUGGUUAGCCGUGUCCCCGGUUAUGGACAACUUGAGUAUCUAGUACUUGGAUUAUCAUUUGAAUCUCAUCACCAUGUUACUUAUAAUUAAUUUUGUUGGGUUAAUGAUGACACUUAAUUGGGAUUGAGUUGGGGUACCUUCUCAAUGUUUCACAACCACCAUGAUAGUUAAAUAAAAUUUAUUCCUUUGAAGUAGGAUAAAAUUGGCUUUUUCGCAAAACUGUAACCAUAGAGCUUUCCACCAGCCAUAUAUGCAUAUAGUAUAGCAUUAUUAUUGUUCAUUGCUCUCUAUGUGUUACUUUGCAAGCAUAUUCUAUGUGCUGACCCGUUUUCGAGCUGCAACGUUUCAUGUUGCAGACUUUUCAGACGACGAGUAAGGUGCCUUAGGUCGUGGUCUUAUACUCAGUGAUGCCGCUGGAGUGAUGGACUCACUUAUCUUCCAAGUCUUCCGCUGUUAUCGUUAUUAGAUGGCCUUAAGCCAUGUCUAUCAUACUUAAUCUCUUCGGAGAUAUUCGAUGUAAUAAGUGUGUGAUUGCUACUCUGUUAUAAAUCCUCCAUUUGUACUGUGCGUGUCAGCAUUACUGAUCCAGGGAUGACACUGGUGCACAGCAGCACAGGCCAUUUGAGGUCUGGUCGCUACAAAGUUGGUAUCAGAGCACACGCUGACUGUAGGACACGACCACUAAGCUUAAGCCCUAGAAAGCCUCUCUCUUCUCAUUUCUGACCCCUCUCCUUUUUCUACUCCUUUAGGAAUGGCGAAUGCAAGGAGCAAGUUCAUGCAACCAGAUGAAGACACGCCGUUUGGUCGACACUUGAAGGAAGUCACCAAGUACUUGAACAUAGGAAUACCAAGCAUCACCGGAACCUACAACGCCACAUUACCUGAAGAAGAGAGCUGGAAGAUCCUAGUUCUCAUUCCAGGAAGGACGUUUGUACCAGUUACUGAACCCAUAAGAUUGGUUUUCGAAGCACCAACUUGGAGUUUAGGGAAGAGCAUGGCCGCACAUAUCGCCAUGGGACGCAUUGGAGAAGUCUACCACCAGGAGCUUAAUGAUACAAUUUAUCAGAUUUGUGGACGUCGAGACGCGCAAUGGGAGAUGAUCAGAACCAAGAAGGAUGGAUCAAUUGCAGCUUUCAUCCAGGAGCAGAACCAACAUAUUCGUCGCCAGGAGAACCAGAUGUGCACGGACAAGGAAGAACUAAAGAAGGCAUUAACGAAGAUCAAGGAGCUCCAAGAAGAACUCAAGGCUACACGCGAAGAUUAUUUGGAGGAAAUCAACGCACUAGUAGGGAAGAUUGACGACCUGGAGAAGAAGAUUGGAGCAUUCGUGGGAAAUCCAGUGCCAAAAGCAGAAGUCGAAGAAUGCGCUUGUCCGGAUAACUACAUCAUCAUCGACGACACCGACUCGGAACCAAGUGAAGAUGACUGGGUUGAUGAAGCUGGAGCAGACAUCAUGGAGUCUUCAACGGAUCAGAAUUUCUAGUAGACCACCAUAUCAGUAGUAGUUUUCCCCCAUUUAAUAGUAUAGUUCAAGCACUUUGUAACGCUAGUUAGAUCGAUUGUUUUGCCUUGUUUGAAUUGAUUGAGUGAUAUUGAUUGAAUUUGUCUCAUGAGCAUAUGGGUAGUGUUUUCUCUCUAGACCUCAUUCUAUUCUUAACUCUCAUCUUUUCUAAACCUAUCAGAUGCCUCCGAGAUGCGACACCGGAUUUGUUUUCCCGCCAGAGAUCACCCAGUUGAUUCAGCAACAGAAUGCCUUGAUGCAAGUGUUAGUGCAGAACCAAUGCAACAACAACAACAACAACCCACCGCCACCACCACCUGUUGAUCACUUAGCCCGUUUCUUAAGGCUAAACCCGCCGGUGUUUUCCAGUAGCACCGAGCCGAUUGUAGCAGAUGAUUGGCUCCGCAAAGUUGGAAGGGAGUUGACCACUGCAGGAUGCACAGAUGCGGAAAGAGUGUGUUUUGCCGCACAUCAGCUUGAUGGACCCGCAGCAUCAUGGUGGAAGAAUUAUACAGCCACGCACCCUAUUGACACUAUCACAUGGGACCAGUUUCAGCAAGCUUUCCGUACAGCUCAUGUUUCAGCAGGAGCUAUGGCUAUGAAGAAGCGUGAGUUUCGUAACCUACGCCAAGGAGGACGCACCGUAGGCCAGUAUGUGGAGGAUUUCAGUAAGUUAGCACGUUAUGCACCAGAUGACGUUGCUACAGAUGCUGCCAAGCAGGAGAAAUUUUUGGAAGGACUGAAUGAUGAACUGAGUAUGCAGUUGAUGGUAGCAACCUUCAACAACUACCAGGAGCUGGUAGAUAGAGCUCUCAUGAUUGAAGGGAAGCAACAGCAGAUUGACAACCGUAAGAGGAAGUAUGGACAAGGGAAGUACAAUUCUGGAGCCCAGCAGAAGCCACGAUUUACCCCGAAGCCGGGAGGACAGUUUCAGCAUACCCAUGGAGGAGGUAGUUCGCACAACCAAAAUGGCUCCAAGAAUGGUAAUGGGAAUGGAGGAGGAAACGGACAAAACCACACCAACCCAUCUACCCCAACCAAGAGAGAUCUAAGUCACAUUACUUGUUUCAAGUGCCAGAAGACGGGACAUUAUGCUACUGAUUGUCCCGAAGCCCAAAAUGGAAAUGGCAAUGGAAGCUCUGGGAAGAAGCCGAACCCGUUCAACAAAGGACAUGUGAACCACGUGAGUGUGGAGGAGGUUGAAGCCCAGCCUGAUGCAGUAAUAGGUAAGUUUUUGGUUAAGUCACUUACUGCAACCGUUCUUUUCGAUACUGGUGCAUCGCAUUCAUACAUAUCAAGGGGAUUCGUAAAUAAGUUUAAGAUGUCCACCCAAGUUCUCAAAACCCCUAUGUUAGUAACCUCGCCAGGAGCAGAGUAUAUGGCCACCCAAGGAUGUUUUCAGAUACCAUUGGCCAUUGGUAGGCAUGUUUUCCCCUCAGACCUCACUGUUUUGGAAUCGCAAGGUUUGGAUGUGAUUCUGGGAAUGGAUUGGCUAUCGUUGUAUGGAGGAAACAUCGAUUGUGCCAGCAAGACGAUUUUGCUUACCACCCCGGAAGGAAAAAGGAUCAAGUAUGUAUCCCGGCAUAUGCCGAAGAGGACUCAAGUGAAUUCCUUAUCAGGAGUUGUACAGGAGGAAGUACCAGUGGUGAAGGAUUUUCCGGAUGUAUUUCCAGAAGAGUUGCCAGGCAUGCCGCCAGAUAGAGACAUUGAGUUUUUGAUUGAACUUUUGCCAGGCACAGGGCCAAUAUCUAAGAGACCGUACAGGAUGCCCGCAAAGGAUUUGGAAGAAAUUAAGAAGCAGAUCAAGGAGUUACUAGAUAAAGGCUAUAUUCGCCCAAGUUCGUCACCUUGGGGAUCACCAGUACUUCUAGUGGAGAAGAAAGAUGGAUCACUGAGGAUGGUUGUUGAUUACCGAGGUUUGAAUGAAGUGACCAUCAAAAACAAGUACCCACUGCCGAUGAUCAAUGAUUUGUUUGACCGCUUACAAGGACCUAAAGUAUUUUCCAAGAUCGAUCUACGAUCAGGGUACCAUCAGUUAAAGAUUCGAGAGCAGGAAAUACCCAAGACGGCAUUUACCACCAGAUAUGGAUUGUAUGAGUAUACCGUUAUGUCAUUUGGUCUGACUAACGCACCUGCCUAUUUCAUGAACCUGAUGAACAAAGUGUUUAUGGAGUUUUUGGAUAAGUUCGUCGUGGUGUUCAUUGAUGAUAUUUUAAUCUUUUCCAAGGAUGAAGAAGAGCAUGAGGAGCAUUUACGAUUGGUACUUGAGAAGCUCAGAGAACAUCAAUUAUAUGCCAAGUUCAGCAAAUGUGAGUUUUGGUUGAAGGAAGUUGGAUUCCUUGGACAUGUUAUUUCUGGAGAAGGAAUAGCAGUAGACCCUGCCAAGGUUGACACAGUGACAAGUUGGGAAUCACCCACGACAGUUGGAGAAAUCCGGAGUUUUCUUGGACUUGCAGGAUACUAUCGGAGAUUUAUCGAAAAUUUCUCAAAGAUUGCUAAGCCCAUGACUGAGCUAUUGAAGAAGGACACCAAAUUCAAUUGGACUGAGGAAUGUGAAGCUAGUUUCCAAGAGCUGAAGAAACGAUUGGUUACAUCACCAGUGUUGAUUCUACCCGAUCAACGCAAGGACUAUGAAGUGUAUUGCGACGCUUCUCGUCGAGGACUUGGAGCAGUGCUUAUGCAGGAAGGAAGAGUUGUGUCGUAUGCUUCACGACAACUUAAACCCCAUGAGAAGAAUUAUGCUACGCAUGAUUUGGAAUUAGCAGCCGUGGUGCAUGCAUUGAAAACAUGGAGACAUUUUCUCAUCGGAAACCAUUGUGAGGUGUACACGGAUCACAAGAGUUUGAAGUACAUUUUCACGCAGAAGGAGUUAAAUCUCAGACAGAGGAGAUGGCUGGAGCUCAUCAAAGAUUAUGAUAUGAGAUUGCAUUAUCACCCAGGAAAGGCUAACGUAGUAGCAGACGCGUUGAGCCGCAAGAGUCAUGUCAACACCCUCAUGACAGGAGAAUUACCUCAGGAGUUAGCCGAGGACCUUCGCGAGCUAUCUUUGGAGAUGGUCCCUAGAGGCUAUUUAGCGACAUUGGAGAUUCAGACUACCUUGAUGGAAAGGAUCAGAGAAGCUCAAAAGACAGACAAGGAGAUUCAAGAGAUAAAGGAGAAGAUGAGCAAAGGAAAAGCCAAGGGAUUUCGAGAGGAUGAGCACGAUACCUUAUGGUUCGAGGACCGCGUAUAUGUGCCAAAUGAUCCGGAGAUCAGGAAGUUGAUUUUGCAAGAAGCCCAUGAUUCACCGUACUCGAUUCACCCAGGGAAUACCAAGAUGUAUUUGGAUUUGAAGAAUACUUUCUGGUGGACCGAAAUGAAGAAGGAUAUUGCGGAGUAUGUAGCAGUUUGUGAUGUAUGUCAGAGAGUGAAGGCAGAGCAUCAGAAGCCAGCAGGAUUGCUGCAACCAUUGCCGGUACCCGAAUGGAAGUGGGAUAAAAUAGGCAUGGAUUUUAUCACAGGAUUACCCAGGACUCGCUCAGGCUAUGACUCGAUAUGGGUUGUAGUCGACCGUUUGACGAAAGUGGCUCAUUUCAUUCCAGUGAAGACCACUUACACCAGUGCUAAGUUGGCAAAGAUAUACAUGACCAGGAUCGUAUGUUUGCAUGGAGUUCCGAGGACCAUUGUAUCAGACAGAGGAACCCAAUUUACCUCGAAGUUUUGGAAGCAGUUACAUGAAACAUUGGGAACCAGGCUGGAAUUUAGUACAGCUUUCCACCCACAGACAGAUGGACAGACCGAAAGAGUCAACCAGAUUUUGGAGGACAUGUUGAGAGCAUGUGCACUCGAUUAUGGAUCCAGCUGGGACGACAAUUUGCCAUAUGCGGAUUUUUCGUAUAACAACAGUUAUCAAACCAGUUUGAAGAUGGCCCCUUUCGAAGCCUUGUACGGAAGGAGGUGUAGAACACCGUUGUUAUGGGACGAAGUUGGAGACCGUCAGUUGUUUGGAUCAGAUUUGAUUAAGGAGUCUGAACAGAAAGUAAGGUUGAUUCGCGAUAGGCUCAAGGUAGCCCAGUCCAGGCAGAAGAGUUAUGCUGAUUCUAAACGAAAGGAGACCGUUCACGAAGUCGGAGACAGAGUGUAUCUUCGAGUAUCACCCCUUCGAGGAGUGAAGCGCUUUGGAGUUAAAGGAAAGUUAGCGCCCCGUUUUAUCAGACCAUACAGAGUGUUGGAACGUAUGGGAGAAGUUGCCUACAAGUUGGAAUUGCUCGAAGGAUUGUCUGGAGUACAUGAUGUAUUUCACGUUUCGUAGUUGAAGAAGUGCCACGCAGAGAUGGCAGAGAUACCACUGAGAGAUACUGUGCCACUGGAAGCAAUUCAGCUGGAAAGUGAUUUGACUUAUGAGGAGAAGCCACUUAAGAUUCUCGAGUAUGCCAGGCGAGUUACCCGCAGCAAGGUUAUCAAGUUUUGCAAAGUUCAGUGGAGUCACCACACAGAAGAUGAAGCCACCUGGGAGCGAGAGGAAGAUCUACGGAAAGACCACUCCCACCUGUUUUCUAGCCAACCCGAAUCUCGAGGGCGAGAUUCAUCUUAAGGGGGGUAGGUUUGUAACAUCCCAAAUUUUCAAUUUGGUAUGUUAUACAUAGAUCAUCAUUGCAUAUCAUGUUUUAUUGCAUUUUGACAAAUCCUCGAUAAAUCCUAAGCAACUCAAGGACCCUCGGAGAGAGUUGGGGAUUUUCUCGAAUUUUCAUAUUUGAUUUUCAUCAAAUAAUAAGACGAGGAUUUUGGUUUUAAUUAUUUUCUCUCCGGAAAAAUAUUUCAUUCUAAAAAUAAACGAGAGAAGAAAACAUGACUUCUCCAAAACAAUUGAAAUACUGGAGGAAAAGGUUAAAAUCAUUUAUUGAAUUUAUUUGGAUUUUAUUUGCAAUUUUUAUUGCAUUAAAAAUAUUGCAUGUUUUCAAAAUAUUUAUUUUGAUUUAAAACAAUGUUCACCCUAUUCUAGAUUUUCUAACUAGACGGGGAAAAUUUAUUUCAUAUUUUUCUGAUUUUUAUUUAUUUUUCUAAGAAUUGUUUUCCGCGGAACUUAUUUUAAAAAAAAACUGCGCGCGCCCGACCGGGCCGCAGCCCAGCCAGGCCGCCGGCCCACCCCGCGCCCCUCUCCUCCUCGCGCCCGAGACGCCGCCGCCGCCAUGNNNNNNNNNNNNNNNNNNNNNNNNNNNNNNNNNNNNNNNNNNNNNNNNNNNNNNNNNNNNNNNNNNNNNNNNNNNNNNNNNNNNNNNNNNNNNNNNNNNNNNNNNNNNNNNNNNNNNNNNNNNNNNNNNNNNNNNNNNNNNNNNNNNNNNNNNNNNNNNNNNNNNNNNNNNNNNNNNNNNNNNNNNNNNNNNNNNNNNNNNNNNNNNNNNNNNNNNNNNNNNNNNNNNNNNNNNNNNNNNNNNNNNNNNNNNNNNNNNNNNNNNNNNNNNNNNNNNNNNNNNNNNNNNNNNNNNNNNNNNNNNNNNNNNNNNNNNNNNNNNNNNNNNNNNNNNNNNNNNNNNNNNNNNNNNNNNNNNNNNNNNNNNNNNNNNNNNNNNNNNNNNNNNNNNNNNNNNNNNNNNNNNNNNNNNNNNNNNNNNNNNNNNNNNNNNNNNNNNNNNNNNNNNNNNNNNNNNNNNNNNNNNNNNNNNNNNNNNNNNNNNNNNNNNGCCCCUCGCCCCCGAGCCGCCCGAGCCCCGCAGCCCCGUCGCCGGAGCCUCGCCGGAGCCCGUCCCCGAGGUAGCCGCACCUCGCCGUUGCCGGUUUUCUUUUAAAAAAAACCGUUCGUUUUAAAAAAAACCCUAGAUUGGUUUUUUCGGUUUUAUUAUUUUGCGAGCGUUCACCGAACCGUUCGUUUUAACGAACGCGUUCGUCGGUUUUUCUCUGUUAACGAACGUCCGUUAUUUAACCGUUCGUCCGUUUUUCUUUUUCGUCGGAUUUUUCUCGUUAUUUUCUCAGAUUCGAUUUCUGAUCGAAUCUUCGAUUCUGUUUAACUUCUCGCUCGUUUAUCGGAAUCAGGCGAUUCAAUCGCCUAGAGUUUCGUCUCGAAAUUCUCUUUCCGUUUAACCUACUCAAACAAGUUUUUGCAAUAGUAAAAUUUGACCUAGAUCCAGAUUAGCAAACGAAGUUUCUUUCUUUCGCGGUUUGACUUUCGUUGCUUCUUUCGAGUUGAUUCUUUUUGCAAACCGGAGUUCUUAAGUUGAACUUUCUGGUUGGAUCUUUCAUUAGAGUUUUACCUGUGCAUUAGAAGAGUACUGAUUGUAUGCUUGUUUGUUUGCGAUAGAGUACCCGGAGUGUGCCGCUUGUUACUUCGACUCGUUAGGUUUUGCGGAUCAUCAGCAAGGCAAGUAACACUUUGAUCAUACCCCGUUCAUACCCAGUUUUACUGCAUUAGAUCUGUUAUCCUCAAACAUUGCAUGAUUAGGAUCUAAUUAAAUUGUGGGUAUUGGGAAGUAGUUGAGGUAGUACCUAUUACCUGUUUUUCUUACCAAACCCUUGGGAGUUACUUCUACGUUGCUUUUAUUAUUGCCAUGCUAUGCUCGUAGAGGUGGAUUUGGGUUUGAGUGAUAUUCACGACAGAUGUGAGAUGUUUAUUAAUGGUUCAACUUAAGGUGGCAACUAAAACUCACAUCUGGGUGGAUUGAGGCACCUGGAGAACCCAGUGUUGUCUGUAUGUAUAAGGUCCGCCACCCAAGCUCAAAGGGAUCAUAAGAUUAUUCAUGCUAGAAACUUCCGUGUGCAGCCACAAGCUAUUAUGGGCUCUAGCAUAGUUGAGUAGGUUACAAGAUCUCUUGAAGAGGUGGGAUAGCAGAUGUAGGGUAAAGUAGGUGUACCGGUCCAUCCAGAGUAAAGAGUGAUUGUUUCUGAAAGGCUGUGUCUCGGUCAUCCGUUUCUCAAACAUCAUGCAGUGCGAGAAUCAAGCGGAGGCGAUCGAGUCUUGUGGGGAAAAGUGCGCAAACCUUUGCAGUGUACAAACUAAUCAUGGUUAGCCGUGUCCCCGGUUAUGGACAACUUGAGUAUCUAGUACUUGGGUUAUCAUUUGAAUCUCAUCACCAUGUUACUUAUAAUUAAUUUUGUUGGGUUAAUGAUGACACUUAAUUGGGAUUGAGUUGGGGGUACCUUCUCAAUGUUUCACAACCACCAUGAUAGUUAAAUAAGAUUUAUUCCUUUGAAGUAGGAUAAAAUUGGCUUUUUCGCAAAACUGUAACCAUAGAGCUUUCCACCAGCCAUAUAUGCAUAUAGUAUAGCAUUAUUAUUGUACAUUGCUCUCUAUGUGUUACUUUGCCAGCAUAUUCUAUGUGCUGACCCGUUUUCGGGCUGCAACGUUUCAUGUUGCAGACUUUUCAGACGACGAGUAAGGUGCCUUAGGUCGUGGUCUUAUACUCAGUGAUGCCGCUGGAGUGAUGGACUCACUUAUCUUCCAAGUCUUCCACUGUUAUCGUUAUUAGAUGGCCUUAAGCCAUGUCUAUCAUACUUAAUCUCUUCGGAGAUAUUCGAUGUAAUAAGUGUGUGAUUGCUACUCUGUUAUAAAUCCUCCAUUUGUACUGUGCGUGUCAGCAUUACUGAUCCAGGGAUGACACUGGUGCACAGCAGCACAGGCCAUUUGAGGUCUGGUCGCUACAAACUUAUAGGGGAAAGAAAACAUGACGAGUGAACUAUGUAAUUUAAAUAGCACGAAGCAAACAACUAUAAAAUGACGAGUGAACUAUGAUCCAAUACUAUGUAGAAUAUUAAAAUGAAGGUGGAUUUUUCAUAUUCGAGUUUUUCUUAGUAGUAAGUUGAAAAAUAAAUGAAUAUAUACAUAUGGUGGAUUUUCACAUGCAACCUGUGGUAGUUUCAGUUUGUGUUGGCUUCAAUUGUCACUCCAAACCUCUAUUUCUCUUGUGGGCAACUCAAAAUUGUUCACAAUCCAUUAUCUGCAACAAAUAAAAUGGACUGGACUGAGUUAAAAUAAACACAUUACAUGAACUUGUUCAUCCCAGACUAAGCAAACUGUACUUGUUAGUGUUAGUUUUCUCAGAGAAUUUAGCGUUAGUUGGUCACCAUUUUGAUCCUUUUUAACUACAUAUAGUUAUAUAUUUGCACUACAUUAUAGUCAAUCAUUCGUUACCUGCAAGUAAAUAUAUGACCUUUGCAUUGUUGAAUUACAGGACACCUACGAGAAUGUGGUUCAGAAUCAUAGUAAUUUAAAGAAGGAGGUGCGGUCACUAAAGGUACACUCAUGUUCUGACCCACACCCACCUCCUCUAUUCCACCACUCUUCAGCUUCUCUGCCAACAGAAAUUGCUCCUGUGGAGUCAAAAUGGAACACAACAAUUUAGUCCAGGAACACAGAUAGCCUAGGACAGAGUUCAGUGAUCCUAUUCAGAGUAUGCAAGAGGGGCUCUGCUACGGUGCUACCUACCUUCAAAGACAAGAAGGAUCUAGAAAUAGAAGCCAUCUGCUCCUCCAGCUUAUCAUUCUUUUCAACUACAAAAUCAUACUUAUCCUGAAAAAGAACCCAGCUAGCUCAUCUUAGUUACUAGUGUCAGAAUGUACUACAGAGUAGAAUAAGCAGAGAACAUGUUGGCUAAAUCAAGACAUUCUUAAGAACCCUCAUGGCCUAGUUAGAUAGAUAUCACAAUGCAAUAGUGGUGUGAAAAUUCAGUUAGCAACAUGAGUGUAGUCCUCUCCUACCUCACCUCACCUCACCGGCUGCCUCACGCAACAAGUUAGCAACGCUGCUGUGUGUGUGCGCCUGCGUCUGUGCACUGCAAGGAAACCAAAGCAGGCUGCGCGUGAGGGAGGGAAGGGAAAGGGAAGCAGAUCGAGAGAGUACCUUGGCGGCCAUGGCGUCGUCGGCCGAGCGGAGCGGAAGCAGACGGACGGACGAAGGUCGUGUCCAGGUGCGCGAGCUCGCGAUUGGGGAGAUGCAGCCGACGCCAUGGAGGUGGAGCUCCAGGUCCUAGCCCUCGGCCAUGGAUGUGGAGCUUCAGGUCCAAGCCCUCGGCUAUGGACAUGGAGCUCUAGUUCCAAGCCCUUGACGGAUCUGGGAUUGGGAGCCACCGCCUGGCCUAUUCUCUUCUCGUCGUCUUCUGGUGAGGGGAGGGGCGAGGGUGGCGGUGGCGGUGGCGGAGGUCGCGAGGAGGCCUGGCCGGCCGGCUGCAGCGCUCGGGGCUUCACACACUCGUGGAUUGGGAGAGGAGACGAGGUGUAAGGAGGCCGGAAGUGGAGGGGAUCUGGAUUGGGGCUUGGGUGGAUUUUUUUUGAGAUAAACGUGGGCGGGUGGACGGUGGAGUGGGACGGUUGGUGGGUUGGGGUGGGGGUGGGAGUAUAGUAGUAGCGCGGGAGCCUCACCUACGCUACAACUAUCCACAUAGUAGUAGCGCCGGUUUUAUAAUCCGCGCUACUACUAUGGUCUGUUCACAGGGCACGGUUGAAGAUAUUUACUAGUAGCGUGUUUUUUCUGGCCACGCGCUACCAAUAAAUAUUAAUAGUAGCGCGGUCAAUAUAGCACGCUACUAGUAAGUAGCAGUAGCGCGGGGCAAUAUAGCGCGCUACUAGUAAGCGUCUGUCUAUAAGCUUUUCCCUAGUAGUGUGGGCUCACAAUAUCAUCAAUCUCUUCUUCCAUAGACUCCUGCAAAAUAUUAGUCUCUUCCAAGGCAACAUACAUUCUCUCCAUAAAUACAUCAAUAUCGUAAUUGCAUUUAUAAUUAUCAUGGCAAUAUUUAAGGAUAGCAAAAUUUUCACGUCUAUAAACUGAAUCAUCAAAAUCUUCAGACUUAUCAAACAAAGAUUCAAUUUCAUAAGCACCCUUAAAAGCAACAAAUUCUUCUAUUCGUUCCACAUCAUAGUAAUCAUAUAUACCUCUAGCAUAAGAAGCCAAGGUUUCAUUAUCAUUAUAUUUGCAUGAAAAGGAAGGUGUGGAGCAUUCAUCCUAGAGCAACAAGUAAAAUCAUAUCUCAAGCAUAAAUCCUGAGCAUACUAAUGCAACAUAUAAAUUUGAUCCCAUAAAAGUUUCCAUUUUUGUGUCAAGCGAUAAUCCCUAAAGUAUUCAUAUUGAUCCAACGUUACUCCCAUUAUAUAGUUGAAUGGGGUUUUCUCAGGAUUAUCAAAGUAGUGCAUAACAUCUUUCACAUAACGAGCAUCGAGGGUUUCAGGAGGUUCCCCAUCUCCAUGAGUAGCAAGUACCUCUAAUUUUUUUGGUGAUUCGUGUUCCAUAUCCAUAACAAAAGAUAGAGAACAACUUAGAACAGGAAAUAAAACCUACUUAGUGAUAAAGCAAACAAGCACACACGAGAAUAUUCACCCCACGCUAUUGCUCCCUGGCAACGGCGCCAGAAAAAGGUCUUGAUAACCCGCAAGUAUAGGGGAUCAUUUGUAGCCUUCUUCGAUAAAUAAGAGUGUCGAACCCAACGAGGAGCUAAAGGCAGAACAAAUAUUCCCUCAAGUUGUAUCGACCACCGAUACAACUCUACGCACACUUGACGUUUGCUUUACCUAAAACAAGUAUGGAACUAUUUUGCAAGAAUAGAACUACGAGUACUUUGCGAGAAUAAAACUAUGAAUAAAUUGCAAGGUAAUAAAAGUGGAUAGCUUUUGUCAACAAGAAAGUCAUUUGUCCCUAGGCAAUCGAUAACAAGUACCGGUAAUCAUUCUUGUAAUUUUAUAUGAGGGAGAGACAUGAGCUAACAUACUUUCUCUACUUGGAUCAUAUGCACUUAUGAUUGGACCCCUAGCAAGCAUCCGCAACUACUAAAGAUCAUUAAGGUCAUGAAACCCAACCAUAGCAUGAAGUAUCAAGUCCUCUUUACUCCCAUACGUCAUAACCCACUUAUCCGCGUUUAGGCUGUUGUCACCCCCGCAACACUGACAAUAAGCAAACCAUGAACGCAUUGCAACACCCUACAGCGGGGGCCCCUCACAUUUGCGUGAGACGAAGGGCACCGUAGGACAACACCAUAAAUAAAAUAUACAAUCAUACCAACCAAGAUCACGAUUAACCCAUAGGACAAAACGGAUCUACUCAAACAUCAUAGGAUAGCCAAAUAUCAUUGGGAAAUAAUAUAUGGAGUUGAGCAUCAUGUUUAAGUAGAGAUUACAGCGGGGGAAAGAGGUGUUAGACCGCUGCAUAGAGGGGGAGAAAGUUGGUGUUGACGGUAGCAAGGUUGUUGAUGUAGAUCGCCGUCACGAUCCUAGCCCCGGCGGCACUCCGGCGCCACCGGGAGAGAGGGGGAGAGAGCCCCCUCCUUCUUCUUAUUCCUUGGCCUCCCCCCUAGAUGGGAGGAGAGUUCCCCCUCUGGUCCAUGGUCGCCAUGGUGGCGGAGGGGCGGCAGCCCCUCCGAGAUUGGAUCUCCCUCUCUGUACUCUUCUGUUUCGCGCUCUCCUGAUCUGGCCGAAAACUGUUACUUAUAUUCCGGGAGAUCCAUAACGCCGAUUGCACUGAGAUUUUAGCACGAUUUUUUCCGGAUAUAAGCUUCCUUACGCCCGAAGUAGAGCUCCAACCGACGUACGAGGUGAGCACAACCCACCACCGCGAGGCUGGCUCCCCUGGCGUGCCCUAUUGUCUUGUGGGCUGUGUGGGCCUCCGUUUGCGGUGAUUCCAACUCCCAAAAAUCACAUAUUUUCCAAAAUAAUUCUCCAAAAAAAUUUAUUGCAUUUGGACUUCGUUUGAUAUGGAUUUUCUGCGAUACAAAAACAUGCAACAAACAGGAACUGGCACUGGGCACUAGAUCAAUAGGUUAGUCCAAUAAAUCAUAUAAAAAGUUGCCAAAAGUAUGUGAAAGUUGUAUAAUAUUGGCAUGAAACAAUCAAAAAUUAUAGAUAUGACAGAGACGUAUCAAUAGUAUUUCUGAUGAGCAGUUAGCUGCAAUAAAUGUUUCUAAUAACACUCCUUGGUAUGUUGAUUGUGCUAAUUACGUUGUUGCUAAAUAUUUACCACCUAACUUUACAUACCAACAAAAGAAAAAUUCUUCUAUGAUUUAAGACACUACUUUUGGGAUGACCCACAUCUUUAUAAUGAAGGAGUAGAUGGUAUUAUUAGACAUUGUGUACCUGAGCAUGAACAGGGACAAAUCCUACGGAAAUGUCACUCCGAAGCUUAUGGAGGGCAUCAUGUUGGAGACAGAACUGCUCACAAGAUAUUGCAAUCUGGAUUUUAUUAGCCUACUCUCCUCAAGGAUGCCCGUAAGUUCGUCUUAUCUUGUGAUGAAUGCCAAAGAAUAGGUAAUAUCAGUAAGCAUCAAGAAAUGCCUAUGAAUUAUUCACUUGUUGUUGAACCAUUUGAUGUUUGGGGAUUUGAUUACAUGGGACUUUUUCCUUCCUCUAAUGGGUAUACACAUAUUUUGGUUGCUGUUGAUUAUGUUGCUAAAUGGGUAGAAGCUAUUCCAACCAGUAGUGUUGAUCACAACACCUAUAUUAAAAUGCUUCAGGAAGUUAUUUUUCCUAGGUUUGGAGUCCCUAGAUAUUUAUUGACUGAUGGUGGUUCACACUUUAUUCAUGGUGCUUUCCGCAAAAUGCUUGCCAAGUAUGAUGUUAACCAUUUGCAUCACCUUAUCAUCCUCAGUCUAGUGGUCAAGUUGAACUUAGCAAUAGAGAAAUAAAAUUAACUUUGCAAAAUAUGUUAAUAGGUCCUGGAAGAAUUGGCCUAAGAAAUUAGAUGAUGCACUUUGGGCUUAUAGAACAGCAUAUAAAAAUCCUAUGGGUAUGUCUCCUUAUAAAAUGUUUUAUGGAAAGGCUUGUCAUUUACCUCUUGAGUUAGAACAUAAAGCAUAUUGGGCAAUUAAAGAACUCAACUAUGAUUUUAAACUUGCCGAUGAAAAGAGGUUAUUUGAUAUUAGCAAAUUAGAUGAAUGGAGAACCCAAGCUUAUGAAAAUGCCAAAUUAUUUACAGAAAAAGUUAAAAGAUGGUAUGAUAAAAGAAUUCAAAAGCAUGAGUUUAAAGUCGGAGAAUAUGUUCUUUUGUACAACUCUCGUUUGAGGUUCUUUGCAGGAAAACUCCUCUCCAAAUGGGAAGGACCCUAUCUUAUCGAGGAGGUCCAUCGGUCUGGGGCCAUCAAAAUAAAUAAUGCCGAAGUGACUAACCCGAAGGUUGUUAAUGGGCAAUGAAUAAAACAUUAUUUCUCAGGUAUGCCCAUUAAUGUUGAAAGCAAUAUUAUCCAAACUUUGACACCGGAAGAACACAUAAAAGAGUCCUUCCGGAACACACCAGAAUCGUGAAAAUAAGGAGGUACGUGAUACGGUAAGUAAACGGACUCCGAAAAAUCCGCAAAAAUAUUUUUUGUUAGUUUUGGAAUAUUUAGAAAAUUAGGAAAAUAAGAAACUUCCAGGAAGCGUACCCUGGUGGGCACAAGACACCAGGGCGCGCCUGGCUGGUGGGUUGUGCCCACCUGGGGCACCUUCCGGACUCCAUUUUCUUUCGUUUGCUUGUUUCCAAGAUAAAAAAUCUUUAUAUACCUCCCAAACCUAUUGACCACCGUAUCGCGGAGAAAUCUUCUGUUCUCUUUUCUUGCUAUUUUUUGUCAAAUCUGUUAAGCCAAGCAUCAUGUCUUUCCCCUCUUCCAACAAUGGAGAAGACGAUGCAGGGUUAAUGCAGGAGGAGCUAGAGGGCGAGGAAGUUCAGGAAGUUACCAUGGAGGAAGAUGAAGGGGAUUCACUACAAAAAAAAUACACUUCCGUGAUGAUACGUGUUUGUCACAGUAGGUCACGUUUUCUGUCAUGCAUGUACAUCCAUGACAAAUUUAUGACAGAAUCAAGAUAGUCAUACCUGUGCUGUCGUAGAAGUGUUCCAUGACAUUACCAAAAUUAUCAUCACGGAAGUGUCCACUUCCAUGACGAUAAAUCGCGCGUCACAGAAGUGCUUUUGUCAAGGGUGACCGGCACAUGGCAUCCACCGUAACAGAACGCCGUUAAGCUAUCGGGUCCGGUUUUGGAUCCGAUAACCCGUUAAUAGCCCGGACCAAUGGGGAUUUUCCACGUGUAAAACCAUCAUUGGCCGGAGCAAACACGUGUUGCCUCACCGUUGGGACAUAUGUCAUCCACUCAUUGGACAGGAGGCGCCUAUGAUAGGUCGACACAUGGCACGGCCCAACAGUGGCCCAUUCCGGUGAUAAAGGCCAGCCCAUAUAAGGCCUACUUGUGUCAGGUCCAUUUAAGCCCACGGCCCAUACGAGAUGUGCCAAUUCGGCCCGUCAACGGCCCGUUACAGACUUGACACCAUUGCAGCCCAUCGUCAAUUCGAGCCCAUUAACAGCCCGCUAUAUAUAUGGGCUGAAUAUCGGCCCGAUGAGAUUUCGGCCUGUUAACGGCCCAUUCAGUGGAUGGGCCAAUUUUCAUGAUGUACAUCUUUUGGCCUUUUAGCGACCCAUUUAAAUGUUGGGCUAAUUUCCGGCCCGGUGUGUCUUUCAGCCUGUUGACGACCCAUAAAUCAGUUGGGCCAUUUGUAGUCGGACCUGAGUUUCUGCCUUUUAGCGACCCAUUUAAGUGUUGGGCCAAUUUCCGGCCCGGUGUGUCUUUCAGCCUGGUGACGGCCCAUAUAUCUGUUGGGCCAUUUGUAGUCGGACCUGAAUUUUGGCCUUUUAGCGACCCAUUUAAGUGUUGGGCCAAUUCCCGGCCCUGUGUGCCUUUCAGCCUGUUAACGGACCAUAAAUGAGUUGGGCCAUUUGUAGUCGGAGCUGAGUUUUGGCCUUUUAACGGCCCAUGCCCUUCAUGGUCCAAUACCAGCCCGGUUUCUCUUUCGGCCUGCUAAAGGCCCACAACACAGUUGGGCCAUUUACAAUACGACCCGACUUUCGGCCUCUUAGCGGCCCAUGCUCUUCAUGGUCCUGUACAAGCCCGAUGUCUCUUUCGGCCUGCUAAAGGCCCACAGUAUAGUUGGGCCAUAUGUACCCCGAACUUAGUAACGGCAUGUUAACGGCCCGUGAAAUCAAUUGGGCCCACCUGUUUCCCGCUUCGAUGUCAGCCUGUUAACGACCCGGGAGUUAAGAGGGCCGACCAUUAACUUUCGGCCUGGUAACGACCCAUGAACUUAAUGGGCCCACUAAAGUUCGUACAUGUCUUUAGGCCAAAUUAGAUAAUUUGAGCCCAUUACGACGAGCAAUUAUGCACAGGACCAAAACCGAUCAAGCAAAGGUACGGCAUACAGGGAAAAACAUUGCACAUCCAGCAUAUAUUAUAGGAAAUUACAUCCACUGGGCAAUCAAAGAUCAAUGCCAGUGCAAAUAAAUGAACAGAACCUAACGAUCUACAACGUCACAAUCUGCAACCUCAGCACGGAUGACGCCCAUAAGCAUGUGGGCAAGUUCUUGCUGCUAUGCUACACUGUCUCUGUAAACAUUGAUCAGUUGUUGUGUCGCAUGACUCUGCACCUCUGAUUCCUCCACCAUUCCCAUCAUUCCUUCAGCCAUUAAUUGGUUCACAAACAUACAUUUUUUCCUGUUGCAUUCGAGACAGAGGACACUGAACAGAUUCAGAUGGCGAUUUUGGUAGGCUUGUAUUAUUGAUAGUGGAGAGUGUCUCGACCACUGCAUCAUAACAUAAACUAGGAGGGGAACCAAACAGAUUAAUCAUGAGUUGUUGGCAUAUUACCUGGCCUAGAUUUAUUGGAAAGAAACAAUGGGGUUCCCUUGCUGUUUUCAGAGUUUGUCUUCUUAUCUUCAGCAGCCUGCACCAAAUUAAGACACUAGCAUUGCUACCAUUGGCCAAGUCAGAUAAUACGAAAGCAACAUUGGCACAACGAACGUUUGGGCAACUAGCCAACACCAAAUUAACACAAUAUGGCACAACUAUCAUCAGCCAGGUAAGGUAAUACGAAAGCAACAUUGACACAAUGAAUGAAUGGGCAACCGGAGCAACACUACAAUUUAGUAAUGUGCAUGAUAUGAGAUAGUACACUCAUGCAGCUCGGUAUGCAAAGCUACCAGGCAGUUUUCUUUACAAAAAUCAACAUUGGCGCCUUUAACAUUUUGCUACAACUAAUUUUAGAUCAGAUAAAGGUUGGAUUCACGCCGAUUAACAAAAUACAUGCUGAUGUAAAAAUAUAGUGAUAUACAACAGGUACUUACAUCAGCAUUGGAGCACAGAGAAUUCCCGCAAGAUAUUUUCCUCGGAUACAAUCCCAAUGAAGGAAGUCUUCUAUCAUUUAACCUUAUUUUCUAAAAGAGAGAUGGGUAAGAAACAUGUAGAAAAUAUGAUCAGAAUGCUAUAAAAUUUCAUGAUGCGAGGAUACGCACACGCUUCUUAGAAUGGAGUUGACAUUCUUUUGCUGGACUGGAGCGGACUAGUUCUUUGGCCACUGGAAUCUGCUUAUUAUCAGUGGGAGUUGGGUUUCUCUGUGCUGGAGCAGUAUCUAUGAAAAAUGGAGUUGGUUUAUUAUCUCUUGGCGUUUGGAUCUUUUGCAAAGACCUGGUUUGUUACCCUUCAGAUUCUAACAUAGUCGUCUUCCCCUUGCAUUCCUUAUAUAGAAGAAUGGUGCUUUAAUUAUAAAACAUGCUACAGCAGAGAUGGAAUAGGUACUGAAGAAUAGAAAGGCAUGACAUAUUGACAUGUAUUCCCUCCAUUCAGAAAUAAAUGGAUGGGUCUAGGCGUAUUUCAGUUCUAGAUACAUCCAGUUUUAUCCAUUUCUGUGACAUGUAAUCCGGACGGAGGGAGUAUGAUGUAAGAGCUAGGGAUACGACAGGAAAACACAGUAAAAAAACACUGAAACCCCACUGCAGAACCAAAGUAAUCAAACCCACUGAUAUGAGAUAGUACACUCAUGCAGCUCAGGAUGCAAAACUACCAGGAAGUUUUCCUUACAAAAAUCAACAUUAUGGCCUUUAAUCAUACAUUUUGCUACAACUAAAUUUAGAUCAGAUAAAGGUUGGAUUCACGCCAAUUAACAAAAUACAUGCUGAUGUAAAAAUAUAGUGAUAUACAACAGGUACUUACAUCUGCAUUGGAGUACAGAGAAUUCCUGCAAGAAUCUUUCCUCACAGACGAUACCAGUGCAGAAAUUCUUCUAUCUGUUAAGCUUAUUUUCUAAAAGAGAGAUGCGUAAGAAACAUGUAGAAAAUAUGACCAGCAUGCUAUAAAAUUUCAUGAUGCAAGGAUACGCACACGCUUCUUAGAACGGAGUUGACAUAUUUUUGCUGGACUGGAGCAGACUAGUUCUUUGGCCACCGGAAUCUGCUUAUUAUCAGUAGGAGUUGGGUUUGUUUGUGCUGGAGCAGUAUCUAUAAAAACUGGAGUUGGUUUAUUAUCUCCUGGCAUUUGGAUCUUUUGCAAAGACCUAGUUUGUAACCCUUCAGAUUCUAACAUAGUCGUCUUCCCCUUGCAUGCCUUGUAUAGAAGAAUGGUGCUUCAAUUAUAAAACAUGCUACAACAGAGAGAUGGAAUAGGUACUGAAGAAUAUAAAGGCAUGACAUAUUGACAUGUAUUCCCUCCAUCCAGAAAAAAAUGGAUGGGUCUAGGCGUAUUUCAGUUCUAGAUACAUCCUUUUUUAUCCAUUUCGGCAACAUGUAAUCCGGACGGAGGGAGUAUGGUGUAAGAGCUAGGGAUACGACAAGACAACACAGUAAAAAAACACUAGUUGAAUGUAAAACUGUAUGCUAGCGGAAUACGUACAGAAAAAACUAAGGCAACAUACACGUGUAUGAUUGGGAAACUAAGAUGGCAUUGCAACAGAGCACUAGAACAACACUUCAAUGUAAAAAAACAUGGUAUGGUAGACAGAUGAAGUACAUAUUGAUGAAUAACAAUGCAUAAGAUAUUCAGAAGCAUGAUGUCCAAAUUAAGCAGAUGGCAUUGCGAUAGAGUAGAAUGACAGUACUUGAAUUUGAAAACAUGUUAUCAUGAAUGGAAUAGGUACUGAAAAACAGGAAGGCAUGACAUAUUUACAUGCAUGAUCAGCAUGCUAAGCACAUGGCAUUGCAACAGAGUAGAUACACUCCAGGACAUUAUAUGCAUGUUGUACCCAUAUCACGGGCCAAGUUAGAGCAAGGACCUUAUGGGGUGAAGAGGAUUCAACAUCUUUCUGCAAGUCUUCAGAAGAACCGCCUUUACAUGUUCCAUCAUAUUGGGUAUCAUUGACAUCAAGUUUAUUGGCCUUUACAUUGCUCCGUGAGGUUCUUAUGGAUAUAUCAGUGUGUGCAAUUAUAUCUGACAUGCAUGGAAGACAACUAGUAGUUAGAUUUAUGUAAUGAGUGCCUGUAGGAGACAACAUAAAUAGUAGGACCGGGGUUAACUAGCAGCAACAGGUCUCAAAAACUAAAGGGAGAACACAGAUGAAAGCUACAGAAUAUGUAUCGUUUGUACUCGAGAUUAACUGGAUGGCACACAAAAGUAUUAAAGAACAACAUAGGUAAUACUAGAAGUGGUAUAAUACUAUAAUCACCAGCCUGUGGGAUAGCAUUGGCUGAUGGAUGAUAACUAUGGAACAGCGUUACCUAAAGAACAAGUAUCUUAGCUGAACUAUGGAACAACGUUAACUCCUGAACAAGACUCAUAAGAGAUCAGCAUGAAUAUACAGUGAAAUGUGAUAAUCUAUUUUCCAUGCUUAGAUGAAUAACAAAGCCAUAAAUGUUGCACACAAGUAAGAUGAGGGUACAACCUAUCUGGCUGCCAUCCAUAGGAGUGAGCAUCAUGUGCUGACUUGUCGAUGGCCCUGCAGUUGUUGUGGCUGUCCAUGUCGGGCACGCGCAUUCGAUGCAAGGAACUGUUGAGUGGGGACUAUAGAUCCCUUCUGGUGUAUGCUUCCCUUGUUGGAGCAGCUGCGGUGAGUCGGAAGACGGUGUGACUUGCGGCCCCGCACCCUUACAUUAGACACCAGCCAACCGGCAGCCUAGGAUCUCCGCCGCCUCGAGGGGUGCUGCUUCCCAUUGGGAAUCGAUUGGCCCAGAAUAAAAAUUCAGACAAUUGACGCCUAAAUAAAGUGAUUUGAGAUGAGGGUGUGACCUAUGUGGCGGCAUGGUGAAGUAGGCAGGUCCAGCUGCCGAGUCGGUGAGGCCGGCGCGGUUGCGGUGGCCACCGGCGGCAGGGAAACAACGAUGUCGCGAUGGUCGACAGCUACGGGGAAGCAGUGUCGGGACUCUGGACGGAUCCGAAGUUGGAGCCGCUCCGGCGCCGUGAACAGCGGCCGGGGUGAAUCGGCUCCGGUACGGUUCACGCGGCCGUCGUCGAGGCAGCUCCAGCAGCACGGAGUAAGAGGCACACGACCCAGUGCAUGACGGCAAAUGGACAGUGUCUCCGGCAUUAGGGAGGAGGGCAGCUGUGAAAUUGGUGUGGUGGGGGCGCCAUGGAGGAGGGGCUGAGGUUUCGCGGCUCGGGAGAAGGGAGCUUCUGGGGAGAAGGUGAUUUGGCGCCCACGAGGUAUGUAUGGGGGGGGAUUGGGAGGGGAGUGGAACCAUGUUUUAGGGACGCAUUUGUCUGAAAUGUGAGGGGGAGUUAUAGUUCUACCCCUACCUUUAGGCUUCUCGGCUUGGGUCUGUGUACUGAGGGUCGGGGAUAGUAGAGUAACUUUGCUUCUCCCCAAAUAGUGGGCGGGAGCUAUUUCGGGCGAGGAGGGCGUGUUUUGAAAUAUAGUGGGCGCGAGCGAUUUCGGGCGAGGAGAGCGUGUUUUGAAAUAGUGGGCGCGAGCUGUUUCGGGCGAGGAGAGCGUGUUUUGCCGACCAUGGUUUAUGAAUUAUUCGGCACAUGUCAUUAUGGCCGAGGAGAAGGCGCGCUUGGAUGAAGUUACGAACCUACCCUCGAUGUACAACGGGCCAAUUAAUGCGUCUCCCACAUAGGACGGUAAUUUCGUGUCUCCCAUUUAUUUGCUCGGGCGAAUUCCACCGAGCAGAGGAUGUUUAACAGUUUGUUCAAAAAUUGGGAGAACGAGCAACCACGUCUACCUUACCAAGUCGAUUCGAAUCAAAUUUUGAAAUAUUAGCUUGCCACUUCUUUUUUAGAUGGAGAGAUGAUGCUCGGGAGUAAUGUGUUUUUACAUGCUCGUUGCUAGCGAUUUACUAUAUGACAAAUAGUUGACCCACUCAAAAACGGGAAUUAAACCCAAAAUGAAAUAUCUCGAUUCAAUGAAAUAGGUCGUUCACCAGGUCAAAAUAGUGAACUAAAUCCAAGAUUGAACACCUCAAUCGAAUAGCAUGUUGUACAGUAUUAUAGUACUCCAUGAACAUGUUGAAAGUCAAAUUAAUGAACUUGUUUGAUAUACUCAUAUAUCCGUUCAUGUGUGGAUUGCAGACAACAUGUUCUCCAAUUUAAAUAUUUGAAUGCAAGUUUAUAUCGAAACAUGGUUUAUAUCAGUCUUUGAUGCAUAAAACGCGACCUCCCCCUCUCCCGGACUCCUGCUCUCUCUCUCUCUCUCUCUCUCUCUCUCUCUCUCUCUCUCUCUCGCCGACAAUCUUCAAUUCUGUCGCACGCAUCCAACACACAAACCUUGUUGGUCCCUCUUGCUUUCUCUCCAUCUCUCUCUCUCUCUUUGUGUGUGUGCGUGGGAGGGGGUCUUUCUAGUUCGCAUGCAUAUAUACUCCAUCUAUAGGUCUCUCUCGCACACUAUGUAUGAUUCUCUAGUCCAAGCUAGAUAUCUUGGGUGCACUCAUCGUACGCACACAAAUUCCACUGCUCGUUGCCCGUAACUCUCUCACGCACCACUCUGUCGUCUCUGAGCUCUUCCCCCUCUCUCUCAAACUCUCCAUCUACUUGGGUCACACAUACACAUGCAUAUCUCACUCGCACUCGGUAGGCCCAUCUAAAACUCUAUCUCUCUCCCUCGUUCUCUCUCCAUCUCACACGCACACACACAAUCUCAUGCCUAGAUAGCCAAGUAUGAUGGUCUCUCACUCAAUUGUAGGCACACGCAGUCCCCCCUAUAUGUAUAUGACUAGCUAAACUUAGUCUCCAUCACAAACAUGUGCAUGGUCUAUCUCGAUUUCUCUCGGGGCAUCUUUCUAUCGCGCACGCACCUCCCUCGAUCUCCCACCCAUAUAGUCCCCUCACGAUCUCGAGGGGGUCUCUCUAUCACAAACACACUCUCUCGCCCUUCCCAUGCGUCCAUGUUCUCCAUGUGUCCCUCUCGACCUUUGUUCCUUGUUGGCCAGACCUCUAUUGGACAUGUGCUAUAGGGGUGUCUCUCUCCGUUGCAAACAAUCACACACUAGCUAUCUUCGUGUAUCUCCUCGCCAGCUACCUCUUGAGCACUGCGUUGGUUUUCCCUUGAAGAGGAAAGGGUGAUGCAGCAAAGUAGCGUAAGUAUUUCCCUCAGUUUUUGAGAACCAAGGUAUCAAUCUAGUAGGAGGCUACACACGAGUCCCUCGCACCUACACAAACAAAUAAAUCCUCGCAACCAACGCGAUAAGGGGUUGUCAAUCCCUACACGGUCACUUACGAGAGUGAGAUCUGAUAGAUAUGAUAAGACAAUAUUUUUGGUAUUUUUAUGAUAAAGAUGCAAAGUAAAGAAAGUAAAAUAAAAACGGCGCCAGAAAUAGCUUGUUGUCGGAAGAUUAAUAUGAUUGAAAAUAGACCCGGGGGCCAUAGGUUUCACUAGUGGCUUCUCUCGAGAGCAUAAGUAUUUACGGUGGGUGAACAAAUUACUGUUGAGCAAUUGACAGAAUUGAGCAUAGUUAUGAGAAUAUCUAGGCAUGAUCAUGUAUAUAGGCAUCACGUCCGAAACAAGUAGACCGACUCCUGCCGGCAUCUACUACUAUUACUCCACACAUCGACCGCUAUCCAGCGUGCAUCUAGAGUAUUAAGUUCAUAAGAACAGAGUAACGCUUUAAGCAAGAUGACAUGAUGUAGAGGGAUAAACUCAUGAAAUAUGAUAUAAACCCCAUCUUGUUAUCCUCGAUGGCAACAAUACAAUACGUGCCUUGCUGCCCCUACUGUCACUGGGAAAGGACACCGCAAGAUUGAACCCAAAGCUAAGCACUUCUCCCAUUGCAAGAAAGAUCAAUCUAGUAGGCCAAACCAAACUGAUAAUUCAAAGAGACUUGCAAAGAUAACCAAUCAUACAUAAAAGAAUUCAGAAGAUUCAAAUAUUGUUCAUAGAUAAACUUGAUCAUAAACCCACAAUUCAUCGGUCUCAACAAAUACACCGCAAAAGAAGAUUACAUCGAAUAGAUCUCCACAAGAGAGGGGGAGAACAAUGUAUUGAGAUCCAAAAAGAGAGAGAAAGCCAUCUAGCUAAUAACUAUGGACCCAAAGGUCUGAGGUAAACUACUCACACUUCAUCAAAGAGGCUAUGGUGUUGAUGUAGAAGCCCUCCGUGAUCGAUGCCCCCUUCGGCGGAGCUCCGGAACAGGCCCCAAGAUGGGAUCUCACGGGUACAGAAGGUUGCGGCGGUGGAAUUAGGUUUUUGGCUCCAUAUCUGGUAGUUUGGGGGUACGUAGGUAUAUAUAGCAGGAAGGAGUACGUCAGUGGAGCAACGUGGGGCCCACGAGGGGUAGGCGCGCCCCCCUACCUCGUGGCUUCCUGGUAGCUUUCUUGACGUAGGGUCCAAGUCCUCUGGAUCAUGUUCGUUCCGAAAAUCACGUUCCCGAAGGUUUCAUUCCGUUUGGACUCCGUUUGAUAUUCUUUUUCUGCGAAACUCUGAAAUAGGCAAAAAACAGCAAUUCUGGGCUAGGCCUCCGGUUAAUAGGUUAGUCCCAAAAAUAAUAUAAAAGUGUAUAAUAAAGCCCAAUAAUGUCCAAAACAGAAGAUAAUAUAGCAUGGAGCAAUCAAAAAUUAUAGAUACGUUGGAGACGUAUCAAGCAUCCCCAAGCUUAAUUCCUGCUCGUCCUCGAGUAGGUAAAUGAUAAAAACAGAAUUUUUGAUGUGGAAUGCUAUUUGGCAUAAUUUCAAUGUAAUUCUUCUUAAUUGUGGUAUGAAUAUUCAGAUCCGAAAGAUUUAAGAUAAAAGUUCAAUAUUGACAGAAAAAUAAUAAUACUUCAAGCAUACUAACUAAGCAAGUAUGUCCUCUCAAAAUAACAUGGCCAAAGAAAGUUCAUCCCUACAAAAUCAUAUAGUUUAGUCAUGCUCCAUUUUCGUCACACAAGAAUGCUCUCAUCAUGCACAACCCCGAUGACAAGCCAAGCAAUUGUUUCAUACUUUAGUAAUCUCAAACUUUUUCAACCUUCACGCAAUACAUGAGCGUGAGCCAUGGACAUAGCACUAUGGGUGGAAUAGAAUAUGAUGAUGGGGGUUAUGUGGAGAAGACAAAAAAGGAGAAAGUCUCACAUCAACGAGGCUAAUCAAUGAGCUAUGGAGAUGCCCAUCGAUUGAUGUUAAUGCAAGGAGUAGGGAUUGCCAUGCAACAGAUGCACUAGAGCUAUAAAUAUAUGAAAUCUCAACAAAAGAAACUAAGUGGGUGUGCAUCCAACUUGCUUGCUCACGAAGACCUAGGGCACUUGAGGAGGCCCAUUGUUGGAAUAUACAAGCCAAGUUCUAUAAUGAAAAAUUCCCACUAGUAUAUGAAAGUGACAAAACAAGAGACUCUUUAUUAUGAAGAUCAUGGUGCUACUUUGAAGCACAAGUGUGGUAAAAGGAUAGUAACAUUGUCCCUUCUCUCUUUUUCUCUCAUUUUUUUUGGGCCUUCUCUUUUUAUUAUGGCCUUUCUCUUCUUUUUUAUUCCUCACUUGGGACAAUGCUCUAGAAAAUGAUGAUCAUCACACUUCUAUUUAUUUACAACUCAAUGAUUACAACUCGAUACUAGAACAAAGAAUGACUCUAUAUGAAUGCCUCCCGCGGUGUACCGGGAUAUGCAAUGAACCAAGAGUGACAUGUAUGAAAGAAUUAUGAACGGUGGCUUUGCCACAAAUACUAUGUCAACUACAUGAUCAUGCAAAGCAAUAUGAACGUGUCAUGAUAAAUGGAACGGUGGAAAGUUGCAUGGCAAUAUAUCUCGGAAUAGCUAUGGAAAUGCCAUAAUAGGUAGGUAUGGUGGCUGUUUUGAGGAAGAUAUAAGGAGGUUUAUGUGUGAAAGAGCGUAUCAUAUCACGGGGUUUGGAUGCACCGGCGAAGUUUGCACCAACUCUCAAUGUGAGAAAGGGCAAUGCACGGUACCGAAGAGGCUAGCAAUGGUGGAAAGGUGAGAGUGCGUAUAAUCCAUGGACUCAACAUUAGUCAUAAAGAACUCACAUACUUAUUGCAAAGAUCUACAAGUCAUCAAAAACCAAGCACUACGCGCAUGCUCCUAGGGGGAUAGAUUGGUAGGAAAAUAUCAUCGCUCGUCCCCAACCGCCACUCAUAAGGAGGACAAUCAAAGAACACCUCAUGUUUCAAAUUUGUUACAUAACGUUUACCAUACGUGCAUGCUAUGGGACUUGCAAACUUCAACACAAGUAUUUCUCAAAUUCACAACUACUCAACUGGCACAACUUUAAUAUCACUACCUCCAUGUCUCAAAACAAUCAUCAAGCAUCAAGCUUCUCUUAGUAUUCAACGCACUCAUAAGAAAGUUUUUACUAUUCUUGAAUACCUAGCACAUUAGGAUUUCUUAAGAAAAUUACCAUGCUAUUUAAGACUCUCAAAAUAAUCUAAGUGAAGCAUGAGAGAUCAAUAGUUUCAAAUCCACCACCGUGCUCUAAAAGAUAUAAGUGAAGUACUAGAGCAAAAACUAUAUAACUCAAAAGAUAUAAGUGAAGCACAUAAAGUAUUCUAAUAAUUUCCGAAUCAUGUGUGUCUCUCUCAAAAGGUGUGUACAGCAAAUAUGAUUGUGGUAAACUAAAAAGCAAAGACUCAAAUCAUACAAGACACUCCAAGCAAAACACAUAUCAUGUGGUGAAUAAAAAUAUAGCUCCAAGUAAAGUUACCGAUGGAAGUAGACGAAAGAGGGGAUGCCUUCCGGGGCAUCCCCAAGCUUUGGCUUUUAGGUGUCCUUAGAUUAUCUUGGGGGUGCCAUGGGCAUCCCCAAGCUUAGGCUCUUGCCACUCCUUUUCCAUAAUCCAUCAAAUCUUUCACCCAAAACUUGAAAACUUCACAACACAAAACUCAGCAGAAAAUCUCGUGAGCUCCGUUAGCGAAAGAAAACAAAAGACCACUUCAAGGUACUGUAAUGAACUCAUUCUUUAUUUAUAUUGGUGUUAAACCUACUGUAUUCCAACUUCUCUAUGGUUUAUAAAAUCUUUUACUAGCCAUAGAUUCAUCAAAAUAAGCAAACAACACACGAAAAACAGAAUCUGUCAAAAACAGAACAGUCUGUAGUAAUCUGUAACUAACGCAAACUUAUGGAACUCCAAAAAAUCAUCCAAAAUAGGAAGACCUAGAAAAUUUGUUUAUUGAACAGCAGCAAUUGGAAUCAAUAUUUUAUCAUGUUGUGGUGAUUUUUAACAAUUAUUUUCGUGAACAGAAAGUUUCUGGAAUUUUCUGCAAGAUCAAAUAACUAUCAUCCAAGAAGAUCCUAUAGGUUUAACUUGGCACAAACACUAAUUAAAACAUAAAAACACAGCUAACCAGAGUCUAGAACAAAUAUUUAUUCCUAAGCAGAAGCAAAAAGCAAAAAACUGAAAAUAAAAUUGGGUUGCCUCCCAACAAGCGCUAUCGUUUAACGCCCCUAGCUAGGCAUAAUAGCAAGGAUAGAUCUAGGUAUUGCCAUCUUUGGUAGGCAAUUCUUCAAUGAGGCAUCUAUCAUCCUUGGGAAAUUCUUUCUUUUUGUUAAUUAACAAACUUUUAGGCACAAGAUCGAAAAAUUCAUUUAUAGCAAAUGGUUCCUUAAUGAUAGCAAAAAGAUCGGGAUGAAUACUUAUAGAUUUGAGAUCCGCAGUUUCCUUACUAGAGGGUUCACCCUUAUUUUUAGGAACAUACAUAAGCUUGGAAAUUUUUGUUGGAGGACUAGGAGUAUUUUUUUACGGAAGAAAAAGCGGUUCCCAAGUUGGUAAUGAUACCCUCAAGUUUAUCGAUUCUAGUAGAAUCCUGAUUUAUUCUUUCAUUAACUAUGGGUUCCUUCUCCUUAAUGUUUUUCAAAGUGACUCCUACUUUAGAUCCGUAUUGGGUAAUUUGGUUGUGGAUCUUUUUAUCCAAAUUUUCAAUUAGUUCUACGGUAGCAACUUUAUUUUCAAUAAUUUCAAGUCUUUGCAUUACAUGCUCCAAAGUUAAAAUAGUUCCAUUAACCAAAAGAGGUGGUGAGCCGAACAAAUCUAUCAUAGCAUUAUAAGAGUCAAAAGUAUGGCUACCCAAGAAAUUCCCUCCGGUAAUGGUGUCAAGAAUAUAUCUAUACCAAGUAUUAGCACCUACAUAAAAAUUGCGGAGAAGAACGGAAGUAGAUUGCUUCCUGGUAGAUCUAUUUUGAGCAUUGCAAAUUCUAUACCAAGCGUCUUUUAGAUUUUCUCCCUCCCUUUGUUUAAAAUUGAGAACUUCAUUUUCGGGAGACAACGGAGAAGAUAAGGGACUAGCCAUGACGACAAGGCAAGCAAGAAAGCGACGAACGGAAAGAGAGGGCAAAUAAAACGGCAAGGGUGAAGUGGGGGAGAGGAAAACGGGAGGCAAAUGGCGAAUAAUGUAAUGCGGGAGAUAAGGGUUUGUGAUGGGUACUUGGUAUGUUGACUUUUGCGUAGACCUCCCCGGCAACGGCGCCAGAAAUCCUUCUUGCUACCUCUUGAGCACUGCGUUGGUUUUCCCUUGAAGAGGAAAGGGUGAUGCAGCAAAGUAGCGUAAGUAUUUCCCUCAGUUUUUGAGAACCAAGGUAUCAAUCCAGUAGGAGGCUACACACGAGUCCCUCGCACCUACACAAACAAAUAAAUCCUCGCAACCAACGCGAUAAGGGGUUGUCAAUCCCUACAUGGUCACUUACGAGAGUGAGAUCUGAUAGAUAUGAUAAUAUAAUAUUUUUGGUAUUUUUAUGAUAAAGAUGCAAAGUAAAGAAAGUAAAAUAAAAACGGCGCCAGAAAUAGCUUGUUGUCGGAAGAUUAAUAUGAUGGAAAAUAGACCCGGGGGCCAUAGGUUUCACUAGUGGCUUCUCCCAAGAGCAUAAGUACUUACGGUGGGUGAACAAAUUACUAUUGAGGAAUUGACAGAAUUGAGCAUAGUUAUGAGAAUAGCUAGGCAUGAUCAUGUAUAUAGGCAUCACGUCCGAAACAAGUAGACCGACUCCUGCCUGCAUCUACUACUAUUACUCCACACAUCGACUGCUAUCCAGCAUGCAUCUAGAGUAUUAAGUUCAUAAGAACAGAGUAACGCUUUAAGCAAGAUGACAUGAUGUAUAGGGAUAAACUCAUGCAAUAUGAUAUAAACCCCAUCUUGUUAUCCUCGAUGGCAACAAUACAAUAUGUGCCUUGUUGCCCCUACUGUCACUGGGAAAGGACACCGCAAGAUUGAACCCAAAGAUAAGCACUUCUCCCAUUGCAAGAAAGAUCAAUCUAGUAGGCCAAACCAAACUGAUAAUUCGAAGAGACUUGCAAAGAUAACCAAUCAUACAUAUAAGAACUCAGAAGAUUCAAAUUAUUGUUCAUAGAUAAACUUGAUCAUAAACCCACAAUUCAUCGGUCUCAACAAACACACCGCAAAAGAAGAUUACAUCGAAUAGAUCUCCACACGAGAGGGGGAGAACAUUGUAUUGAGAGCCAAAAAGAGAGAGAAAGCCAUCUAGCUAAUAACUAUGGACCCGAAGGUCUAAGGUAAACUACUCACACUUCAUCGGAGAGGCUAUGGUGUUGAUGUAGAAGCCCUCCGUGAUCGAUGCCCCCUCCGGCGGAGCUCCGGAACAGGCCCCAAGAUGGGAUCUCACGGGUACCGAAGGUUGCGGCGGUGGAAUUAGGUUUUUGGCUCCGUAUCUGGUAGUUUGGGGUACGUAGGUAUAUAUAGGAGGAAGGAGUACGUCGGUGGAGCAGCAUGGGGCCCACGAGGGUGGAGGGCGUGCCCAGGGGGGUAGGCGCGCCCCCCUACCUCGUGGCUUCCUGGUAGCUUUCUUGACGUAGGGUCCAAGUCCUCUAGAUCACGUUCGUUCCGAAAAUCACGUUCCAGAAGGUUUCAUUCCGUUUGGACUCUGUUUGAUAUUCUUUUUCUGCGAAACUCUGAAAUAGGCAAAAAACAACAAUUCUGGGAUGGGCCUCCGAUUAAUAGGUUAGUCCCAAAAAUAAUAUAGAAGUGUAUAAUAAAGCCCAAUAAUGUCCAAAACAGAAGAUAAUAUAGCAUGGAGCAAUCAAAAAUUAUAGAUACGUUGGCGACGUAUCAUCGCCUCGCUUUUCUAUCUUGAAGAUGCAUGUGUGAUAUGUUCACCUAAGAAACGAAAAAACACACUCUCUCUCUAAUUUAUAGGUUGUUGUCACUUUAUCUUUCACACACAUACUCUUUUUGCACAUUUACUCAUUCUCCUUCACACGCACUUGAUCCCUCUCGACUUAGGCACUCUCCUCGGUCCAUAGCAUAUUGAUUUAUUGAAAAGUCAAACAUCACAAAGUUUGACCAUGUACGUGGAGAAAAACAAUUACAUCUAGAACGGCAAACAAAUACCAUUAGAUUCACCAUGAGAUGUAGUUUCAUAUGAUGUAUCUUUGGUAUUGAAGAUAUAAAUACCAUUUGUGUAAACCUGAUCAAAGUUUCCAAGGUUUGACUUCUAAAAAAAUUACAUGCACUGCAUUAUCGAGCGGAUGGAAUAUCUCUUUCCCCCUCUCAGCUAUCUGACGCACCACUCAGCCUUAUCGGGGCUCCUUAAUCUCUCUCAAACUUUAUAUCUCCCUGGUUCACACAUACACAUGUCUCGCUCGCGCUAUACAUAUAGACCCAUCCAACACUCUCCGCCCUUGUUCUCUCUCUAUGUGAAACGCACCCCCCUAAUAAGUACCAUAAUCCCUCACUCCAUCAUAGGCGCAAGCACUCCCCUCCUAAGUAUGAUUAUCUCUCACUAGCCAUCAGGAACACACGUAUUGUCUCCUUCCAUCCAUACGUCUAUCUCGAUAUCUCUCGGGGUAUCUUCUAUCGCGCACACACCUUGUCACUCGAUCUCCCACCCAUGUAGUCCCAUCACGAUCUCCAGGGGAUCUCUCUAUGACAAACAUACACUCUCUCCUUCCCAUGUCUGCAUUUUCUCCUUACGUCUCUCUCGACCUCUCUCCCUUGUUUGUCAGACCCCUCUUGGCCACGUGCUAGGGGUCUUGCUCUCUCGGUUGCAAACAACCACACACUAUCUCCUCGCCUUGCUUCCGCUGUCGAAGAUGCAUGUGUGAUAUGUUUGCAUAAGACACACACGUUUUUUCUCGACUUUUAUCGAGUGCUGUCCAUGUCUCUUUCACACACGCACACACAUUUUUUCACUCACUCUUUCUAUUUCUCUCUCUCUCUCUCUCUCUCUCUCUAGUUAGGGACUCUCUCACGUCCAUAAGCAUAUGGAUGUUUUGAAAAGUCAAACCUCAGAAAAGUUUGACCAGGUAUAUGUGGAGAAAAACAUUUACAUCUGGAAAGAUCAUUAGAUUCAUCACAACAUGUACUUACUUCAUACUAUCAUUUAUCUUUGGUAUUGUAGAUAUACGUAAUUUAUUUAUGAACUUGGUCAAAGUUUCAAAAGUUUGACUUUUAAAAAAAUGUUGGAACUACAUUAUCAAACGGAGGGUGUAGCUUUCUCUCUCUCUCUACUAUCUCUCACGGGCAUCCCCUCUCACACGAACACUCUAUACCGACGGAUUAUAUGCUCACUGUGUCAGCGUAUAGCUCCGUAUAUUGUUUAGUUGAUCGGUCAACCAGUCCAGAUGCUGCCUUGUCAGCUCGUGUUCUGUAUCUUCGUGUGCUGGCCCAUGUGGCAGUGGGUGAAAAUAAGUAAACUAGAGGCCCAUCUGACAUGCGGUGAAGUAAACAAAGUUGAAACCACUCGGGGUAGCACCCCGCACGCUAGUAAAUUGAGGGCGCAUUGAGGACACACUUCUUCCGCGUGGAGGAUGCACUCGCGCACAAUUCACCACUGCACGGUGGCAUGCACAGAAGGACGCACUCGCGCACACCCAGCACACAACACACACCAGCACACGUGUACACCGGCGUCGCCGCUGGUUGAGAUGGACGGCGAGGCAGCCAACAAGCGGAGGCGGCUCGAGCCAAAACCGCAUCCGGCGAGCCUGGACUUCAUCAGCAGCCUCCCCGACGACAUGCUACUCGUCAUCAUCGGCCUCCUCCCCACCAAAUCUAUCGUGCGGACCGCCCUGCUCUCCCGGCGGUGGCGCCCCCUCUGGCACCGCGUCCCCCUCAACCUCACCGUCGACAGCUGCCUCUGCGACGGGGAUUGCAAACGCAUGGCCGCAGUCUCCAAGAUCCUUUCAUCCCACCUUGGGCCAGCCAGACGCCUUGACAUCCGCAUGUUUAGUACCAACUGCAAGGUCCAACCCAAGUUCGACGAGUGGUUCUUAUCCCCCGCCCUAGAUCAGCUCGAGGAGCUCAGCUUUGAAGCUGGACGAUGUCGCUCUCUGUCACCGUCCGUGCUCCGCUCGCGCCAAUGCUGCGCUGCGCCAGCUUCAGCACCUGCUAUCUUCCCCAGAUUAAUGACGCGCCCGCCCUUCUUCUCCCUCAACUCAAGCAGCUCGACCUCUUCGACGUUGUCAUCUCGAAGAAGGCUAUGGAGCACCUGCUCCGCAGCUGUACUGCGCUCGAGUACCUUCGUCUUGAGCAGAUCCACGGGUUCAUUGGCCUCCACAUCGCCUCGACGAAUCUCCGAUGGAUUUAUAUGUCUUGCUGGCCCCGCAACAAGACAUCAAUUGGGAAGAGAUCACUCCAGCUGUUCCACGUUAUGGUCAUUGAGAAUGCGCCUUUCCUUGAGAGAUUGCUUGUAUCGGAUCUAGAAGGUCCAACAAAAAUCAGGGUCAUUGACGCGCCAAAAUUGACAGCGUUGCUGCACUCGUCUCCCAAAUUCUCCGAACUCUUUAUUGGAUCCGUAAUCGUUCAGGUACAGCACUCAUCUUCUUCUCCGUCUUCUUGAAAUUCACAUUUUUUAAUUUCUUCUUGAUGUAUUUACGACCGUCUUCCAGAAAAUGAUUCCCACAAGCUUGACCCAGUUUAUGCGCACAGUGAAGAUCUUGGCAAUAAAAUCUAUCGGCCCCAAUCUGGAUCAAGUUGUUGGAUUCCUUACAUGCUUUCCGUGCACGGAGAAGCUACUCAUCAAGGUGAAACUUUUCUUUCCUAUUAGUAAACGGUAAUCACAACGUAGCUCAAUUUUUUCGUAAUUUUCCCAAAGUGUAGUGUUCAAAACUGCAUCUACGCACUACACCGAAAGAAAUGUUUUUAGUAUUUUUUCUCACGUGAUCACCUGCAUCAUUUUUUUUGUUGUACUACUAUAGUAGCCUAGGCUAGUCAUAGUGGAAAGUAACUUAGACUACUCUAGUAACUCUAUGGUUACCCUAAGAGCAAGUACUACCUCCGUCCUGGUUUACUCUUCCUAUUUUGUAGUAUCAAAAUUUGACCAUAGAUUUAACUGACAAAAUGUUAAUGCAUGUCACUAAGAACUAUAUUGUUGGAUUCGUAUUUGAACAUAAUUUCAAAUGGUGUAAUUUUUAGUGACAUGCAUUGGCAUUUUCUUACAUUAAUAUAUGGUCAAAAUUUUAUACUAAAUAAGAGGUAGUACAGAAGUGGGCUAUAACGGCCCUCCACUAUGUAGGCCAAAACACGUGCCAAAUUCACUUGUGAUGCAUUUGGCAUCGAUGCCCCUCCAUUGCUCACCUGAUGCCCCAAUCUGGAUCACCUACUUUGCUCCGGUGCCAAAUUAACUCACGCAAUGAAAAAACACUUGCGUGGGAGAGAGAGAGGACUGAGGCAAUAAAAAACACUUGUUUGGGAGAGGGAGAGGCUGGUGUAGUUGGUUUGAUUGAUUUGUUUAUACAUGUGGGUCUGUGUGCACAGCGGUGCCAACUCUCUCACAUCGCGAGAGCGGUGCCAAAAUCUUUUGAUUUGACAUCGAUGCGUAUUAUGUGGCAUACUUUUGCGAAAUAUGGCAUCAGCCACAUAGUGGAAGGCAACAAAUGCCCAAGCUCUUCACAUACUCCUAGGUAAAUGAGAGGAAAGAGAAAGAGAGAGAGAGUGAAAAAAUAUCACUAGCCAACCAACCCUAUCGUAUGAGCGAAUGAUAUUGGUACCUCUUGAUGACACGGCAAUCUUAUACAGCCAGCUGCUCUAAUAUGUUCUCUUCUUUUGCAGAUAAAAAAAGACCCGAAAGUGAAAAAUGUGCUGCACUAUAACAAUCUCAUCGAAUGCCUUGAUCUCCAUCUUACAUAAAUUGAUUUGAUCGAGUACCGAGGCAGCACAUCUGAGAUUAAAUUGGCCAGGUUCUUUGUUCUGAGGCAAGAGUGCUCAAGGUAAUGAGGUUUGGCGUUCUCUGGCGCAACAAUGAAUGGCGUGCUGACCACCGCAAGCGUCUAAGCCUAAAUGACAAAGUCUCUGCAGAAGCUGAAUUUGUUUUUGAAACAUCAAGUGGCCAGAGACUCGAAAACUUAUUUGCCCAUUAGUGACUUGUCAGGGCGGUGGAUUUUAGUUUGUACGAUAAUGCUGCAUCCACCUAAAGUAACAAAAGUUCUUACGUAAACUUCCUAGUAAUUCCCUCUUCGUAUGUGCAGCAUUACUCCUAACAUUUGUAAUAUCAGUUUGAAACUUGUAAUGUUGCCGUGUCCUAUUCCUGCGUUUUCAAAAUCCCGCGAAUCAAACAGGUCCUGAGUUGGUGAUGAUGUUGUGCCUGCCAUCUUUCACCAAUAGCCGUCGGAUCUAGAUCUGACGCAUACAAACCAAACUUCUCCAGUUUUGCAAAAAGAUGCCCGCACUUGUUCCCUAUUUAAAAACAACUCCUUGUCUCUCACAAUUAGCCUAAUCUCCUCCCCACCACAUCUAGAAGGCCAUGGAAAAAUCUGGCGCGAUGGCCGCUGUCGGCGCCGUCCACCCCCAAUCUUGGUGUUCCGUGCAAUGCACGGGCAUCUACGCACGGGAAAUUAUGUCGAACACGGAUAGUUGUAAGUAGGCUAGGUCUACAGCCAUGAUGAUAGUGACUGCAGACGGUGAGGCUGACUAUGGUAUGCCGAACAUGGCGCCUAUACUCAGGUGUCAUCUCUGGCGUAGGGUCUUGUCACUUCAUUGUGAGGAGCAGCACGUAAUAAUUUGACCAACGGGUAGUACAGUGCUACUACAUUGGUAGUACUACUACUAGUAGUACUAGCACCACCGUCUGGAUUUAGUAGUACUACCACGUCCAUCUGGAUUUAGUAUUUGACUAGCAAUAUCUAGUAAUGCAUGUCACAAAAAAUGUACUACUCCCUCUGUAAAUAAAUACGUGGUGUAUUGUUUUAUUCCUAUCGGCGAGAUAACUUAAUGCCUUUUUGCUACUUAAUAGGAUUACAUGCAAUGAACUAACCACUGCAUGUGAUGUUUGGUAGUCUCAAGUCAUUGAAAGCAUGCACAGGCACGGAGGGGGACGCAGCUUCAUUGACUUACUGCACCUGCCUUUGGGUGUAUGACACGUGGGCCCAACGGGUGGCUGGCCAACCUGUCAUACUGCCAAAGGCAGGUGCAGUAGAGGGGCGAGGAGUAGAUGACCAACACGCAUGUGAAUUCAACGCAGUCUGCACUUCUCAUAUAAAGGCUCCCGCCAGUCCAAUCUACGAAAUCCUAUGCACCUAUGCACCCAAGGGCAAGAGUGAUCACUCCAAUCGCAAGAUCAGUUGACUAGAAGCUAGACCCAUGGAGGCGAUGAGCGCGAGCAUCAGCCGGUUGUGCCAGAUGGUCCACGAUGCGGCCCGACACCGAGGAACGUCUCCAGGUAGUGCUUGAGGCCGCCAGGGCGAGGGGCCGCUUGGACGACAGCUUCAUCUCCUUGUUCGACGAGGUCCUCGUUGGCUUCCUCGACAAGUUCACCGUCGUCAAGAAGCUCGCAGACGACCUUGACGUAUGCCUCCAGCCCAGGCUCUGCGAUGACUGACACCCUCAACGGCCUCUAUGGUGACAACCUCUUCGACGCACUGGUGGCCCAUCGACUGCCCGCCAUCGCGUCGGAGAAUGUCCACCUCGAGGUCGCGCUCGCCGCGCAGCGCCUGGCGCAGCAAGACACCAUCGACAUAAUCACCCACGUCUACGCGCAAAUCGUCCACGAGGACUACUACAUGCAAGUGGAGGACGAUAGGACGCUGGCCUUCUUGGACCGCAAGGCAACCUUGGACGGCAUUGUUCAGAAGCACGUUGAGCUUGCCGCCAACGCCGCUGCUCCUCACACGUCGGUUGGUGACCCGGUGCACUAGGGCGUGAGGAUGUCGUUGAUGGAUCCGUAUGUACCUUUAUCUUUCCGUCAAAUCCAUGUAGUAGUAUAUGGUACUACUAGUAAUUAUCUUAGCUUUCACAUCAACUUCAUAAUUUUCCUACGUACUCCAUGCAUGAACCGCGCCAGAACCAAACUUCUCAUUACUCUAGGGAAAAUCGUUAUUUCUAUCUAUUGGUCAUGCCAUGGAGCAGAACCAAAUUUUACAAGUUACAAGUUCAAAAGGAAAAGCCUGCCGUGUUCGCGUCGCACCCCCACACGGUUGGUCCGGCACGCCGCUCAAGGGGGAAUGCGUGUUGUGUUGCAUUUUCACUUACAAGUGGGACCGUAGUUGAUCAAACCGACUAUCGGCAAACCCCCACCCCGCCCACCGCGUGAUGGCUGAGAAAACAGGAGGGAGAAGAGAUGGUUGUAGCAUGGACUCCAAGAAAAUUGGUGUCGGAUGGGACUCGUGUGGGUGGCGUGUGCCGUACUGCUAGACAUGAAUGCUAGUUAUGGCCCAUGCCACCCCACUAUAUCGAGGUGUUGGUUACAUAGAACAAAUUUCCUGGAGUCUGUGCCCAGCCCUCCUCUAUCUCUCUUCUCAGCCAACCAGCAGAUGCGCGGAGCCCAUCGUCUGUUUGCUCAUAUGCGGUCCCACAUGUAAGUGAAAACGCAAGAGGACCCACUGAACCUGCACAUCUUUCACCUCGACGUGCUGGUGAUGAAAAACCAAUCCAAUAAAGAUCUUCGGUGGCCGCUUUUGGAGUUACUCAAGAGUCGUAAGAUUCUAUUUACAGUUUAACCCAAGAUGCACAUCACGUGGCUUCAACUACCACUCUAUUUUCUUGCAUGACACGACCUGGAUGCUGGAUGCCCCACGUGUCGGCAAAAGGAGGAAGAACUCGACCAAAUCUUCGGUUGUGCUCUCGGAUUAGACUAGUUGUGCUAACUUAAAAUUUUAUUGUGUAGAAUGGAUGCAAGUUUUGGUAUGGGAAGAAGAGUACAACGAUAUAUUGAUAGAGUGCAAUUUAGUAGAUGUUCUAGCACUUUUAGCUAGCAUUGAGGCUAGAAAUGAGACUAGUGCACUUGUUGAUAGAAUAGAGGCUAGACACGUCUACUUCUUUACACUCGAAGAAGAAAGAAGCACGCAAGAUCAAGCCUCCGCAGAUCAACAAUGAAUGCAUCGAGAAGGCACUAAUCCAACUUACAGGAGCAGUUAUGGAAGUUGGAUAUCUUCUAAAAUGUAUUCUUGUGGUUCUUGUUUUCUUUGGUCUUGCUUUUCUAGUCAAAAUUUUGGUCAUGUAUUUCCAUGUACCAAAAAAUCAAUGAUGAAAAAAAGAUAUGUGUUUGCAAAGAAAAAUGUACGCGGCCGGGAUGCGUCCGCACGUUCGGCGCACGGCCACCGCAUCCGAGAAAUGGCCCGGACACGACCCCAUUGCCCUACCCAAACGGACAGAAUCCGGGCAAAACGGAGGUCUGUUUGGGGUCGUGCGUUGGAGUUGGCCUUACAAGUGGGACCGCAGUUGAGGAAACCGACUAUCGGCAAACCCCCACCUCGCCUGCCGCGCGAUGGCUGAGUUAGAGAAACGACGAGGUUGAAGAGAUUGCUGUAGCACAGACUCCAAGAAAUAUGGUGUCAGAUGGAAGUCGUGCUGGUGGUGUGUGACGUACUCCUGGACGUGAAUGCUUGUUCUGGCCCAUGCCACCCUACUCCUACUACUUAUAGUAGUAGUAUCGAGGAUUCGAGGUGCUGGUUACGUACAGCGAACACAUUAACAUAUGGCCCACCUCACACUGUGGCCAAAUUUCUUGGAGUCUGUGCUAGGUUAAAAAGUGUUCUUUGUGAGGAUGGGUGGCUGGUCUCAAAUGUAAAACUUGUUGUAUUACGUACGUAGACGUAGAGAUAGUGCAGCAUGUGAAGCUAGUACAAAUAGUGUAAUAUUGUUGAUUGGCCUCAUCCGAUAACCUGUUGCAAUGCACGUACAAUUAUGUAUUCGGAAAAUAUAUUUUUCCUCGUCGCAGCACCCACUCAGAAAAGCGACUCGAAAGCCAUUCAUAAAUUUAGUAAGUUUAUCACAGGCAUAUUAUUUUAUUACAUACAACAGGUCAUCAACCCACAACGACAACGAGGAUACAUUAUAAAUACUAAAGUUUUCAUCACACAACAAAUAACAAGCAAUGAAAUGAACUUCAACUCAACCAAUCCUCGGCGUUGGAAACGCUUGCUUUGAACCACAAGUGAUUCUCUGGGAAGGGCCAGCUACUGUAAAUCUCGAGACCAACGCAGGACUGAUCAUCCAGGCUGAAGCGGCCUACUAUAUCACGACCAGGGUAGGGAACCACCGCAAUGUCCGAUGUAUAGAUACAAUUGCUUCUCAUAAAUGGUAGUAAUGUUGUGUCAACAACAGUUGGAUCGCCUUUCACCAUCAUUGGAUAGUUUUGUCCAAGGAAGAGCGAGUUUGCUCCAAGACUAUCAAUACUGUACCAGGGAGAAGGUGUUGGCGCUAGCACACUAGUAUCCAUCCAGAAUACCAUGCAACGGGUGUUGGAAUAGGUCCGGAGAGUGCGACCAUGGGAGACAACACCUGCUCCCUCAGUAGUAACAUCAGCAGUGGGCUGUAUACAUACAAGAAGUGGUGAUCCAUUGGAAUUAGUUGCCAGCCGCCAGUGAGCAUAUGGGACCUGCUCGUCCUCAUGCUCGUGAUCAUCACCAUCGUCAUCUCCCCCUUGGUUAUAAAAAUUUUCAAGUAUAGGUGGUGGAAUGUUCACAGGACCUUGGAAACACAAGAAGAAGGUUAAUUAGUAGAGAAGGGAAACUUGCUAACUCGCAUGCAUGUGGAUGAAACAAUUAUAAUUACGGUGGAAGACAAACGUACCGAAACUACGAGGAUCCCAUGCAAAAACAGUGCCACGAGUGGUGGCAGCAAACACAAGACCCUCGUAUUCAAUUGCAUCACAGUACACAUCCGUGUAUAGAAACUGUUUUUUGAGCAAUAUCCAUCUAGUCGAACCAUGAAGGACGGCAACAAACUUGUCGAAGAUAGCAACAACUUGAUAGUUCUUGUAAUUCCAAGAGUGGUUGGGAACUCGAGAAAUUGCUAUCUUCCAUAGACGACAGUCACCAUGAUCAUAUUUGAACGUACGUAGAUCAUCUGUGUGCUCAACCUCAAGGCACUCGGAGAUUUUUGGAAGUGGAAUCCGCUGACGAGUGUACACAUUCACAAGUUCCCACUCGCAAUUGUACCCAAUAUAAACAACCCAAUCUCCAUUUGCGCCUGCCCAAGCCUUGCCCUCAAGCGAUGGCAUCUUAACAUUAUACGUAUCAUUAUCAAGCGGCAUCAAAUUGCACAAGGCGAGGCUUCCCUCGUCCCCGCGCCAAUCAGCAGGGUCACGGCGAAGAAGAUAGGGGAGAUCAAACCGCUCCUGGAGCCUUGGGUUCCUUGUAAUGAUGUUAUUAGUUGAGUCGAGAAUGGUCUUGAAUGAACCUGCCAUGCUAGCCGAGGUGAUGACGUCGCACCGAUCAAUGAGUUCCCCCACCACGUCAUCUUUCAGAUCGGGGCAAGAAUAACGGGGUCGUUUCUGGCUUGUUCCCUCCAUGGAGAAGAUGAUCGAACAAUGGCAGAAGGAAGGGUGAAGGAAAAUGGAGGAGGGAGGAAGAGCGUGCAACAGCGGUUCCAAAUCGAGAGGGAAAGGCGAAGAGUCGGUGGACGGUUGCCAGUUUGCCACGGUACAUGAAGAGGCGCCCCGGCCUACACGUCCUUUCAUAAAUUGUACAAAAGGACUCGCCGUCGUCUCACUGACAUGUUGGAACGGGACCACAUGUCAACGAAACAUGGUGUGUAAUUUCUCAUGCAAAAUGCGAUCUGGCUGCGUUGGCGCGAGGUGCCGCAUUAGUUAUCGACCUUUAUUUUUUAACAUACAAUCUGAGUUCCUGUGGUCAUCACACGUGAGCGGAUAUAUAGGUGGGCUAGGUGGGCAGGCGGCAACAAUCUAAGUUCUAAAAGAGUUGAUCCAAUGCUUGGUUUUGUUUGGAUUUUCCAACUAUGACCAUUGGAUAGAGUGAAUCAAUGGCUUACGUUCAAAGUUAUUCUCAUACUAUAGAAUGGUAUAGGAACGUGGAGAGAUUUGGUUGAUUUUAUAUCGCUGAAUAAUAUAAAAUAUUAUGAGUGCAGACGCUCCACCCCGAGGUUUGUAGCUCCUUCUCGGUUGUCGGGAAUCUAUGUUCUUCCACUCUUUCGUUUAAGACAUGAGCUUUGUUCAUCCUGUUGCCGACACGCGGGACAUCUAUAUGCCUCCAUUUUACGAAAUCAUACUAUAUGCCUCCAUGACACGCGGGACAUCUAGCAUCAAGGUGGCGUGUCAUGCAAGAAAAUGGAGAUAUGCAGUGCGUAAGUGAGUCGUGCACUUCGAUGGCACCUAGUACUACGCAAUAAUUUUUCUCCUCGAUGGCACGUGAAUAGUGCACGUACACAAUGACAGAGCACGGGAUGGUAGCCAUGGACAUGGCCGGCCCUUUUUGAAGAGAGUACUAAUAAAUACGUAACUUUCAUGUGUCCCAUCAACUCGCAGAACGACGAGAAUAAAUACUGAAGUUUUCAUCACACAACAAAUAACAAGCAAUGAAAUGAACUUCAACUCAACCAAUCCUUGGCGUUGGAAACGCUUGCUUUGAACCAUAGGUGCUCUGGGAAGGGCCAGCUAUUGUCAAUAUCGAGAGCAACGCAGGACUGAUCAUCCAGGCUGAAGCGGCAUAUAUCGGGAGCAGGGUAGGGAACCACCGCAAUGUCCGAGGUAUAGAUACAGUUGCUUCUCAUAAAUGGUAGUAACGUUGUGUCAACAGCAGCUGGAUCGCCUUUAACCAUCGUUGGAUAGUUUGGUCCAAGGAAGAGCGAGUUUGCUCCAAGACUACCAAUACUGUACCAGGGAGAAGGUGUUGGCGCUAGCACACUAGUAUCCAUCCCGAAUACCCUACAACGGGUGUUCGAAUAGGUCCGGAGAGGGCGACCAUGGGAGACAACACCUGCUACCUCAGUAGCAACAAUCAUAGUGCACUGUAUACAGACAAGAAGAGGUGAUCCAUCGGAAUUAGUUGCCAGGCGCCACUGAGUAUAUAAGUUCUGCUCGUCCUCAUGCUCGUGAUCAUCACCAUCGUCAUCUCCCCCUUGGUUAUAAAAAAUUUCAAGUAUAGGUGGUGGAAUGUUCACAGGACCUUGGAAACACAAGAAGAAGGUUAAUUAGUAAAGGGAAACUUGCUAACCUGCAUGCAUGUGGCUGAAACAAUUAUAAUUACGGUGGAAGACAAACGUACCGAAACUACAAGGAUCCCAUGCAAAAACAGUGCCACGAGUGGUGGCAGCAAACACAAGAUCCUCGUAUUCAAUUGCAUCACAGUACUCAUCCGUGUACAGAAACUGAUUUUUGAGCAAUAUCCAUGGACGAACCGUGGAAUCAGUAACGACGGCAACAAGCUUGUCGAAGAUAGCAACAACUUGAUAGUUCUCGUAAUUCCAAGAGCGGUUGGGAACUCGAGAAAUUGCUAUCUUCCAUAGACGAUAGUCACCAUGAUCGUAUUUGAACGUACGUACAUCAUCUGUGUGCUCAACCUCAGGGCACUCGGAGAUUUUUGGAAGUGGAAUCCGCUGACGAGUGUACACAUUCACAAGUUCCCACUCGCAAUUGUACCCAAUAUAAACAACCCAAUCUCCAUUUGUGCUAGCCCAGGCCUUACCCUGAAGCGAUGGCAUCUUGACAUCACACGUAUCAUUAUCAAGCGGCAUCAACUUGCACAAGGCGAGGCCUCCGUCAUCCGCGCGCAAGCGAACAGACUUAUAGCGAAGAAGAUAAGGGAGAUCAAACCGCUCCUGGACCCUUGGGUUCCUUGUAAUGAUGUUAUUAGUCGAGUCGAGAAUGGUCUUGAACGAACCUUCAAUGCUAGCCGAGGUGAUGAUGUCGCACUGAUCAAUGAGUUCCCCCACCACGUCAUCUUUCAGAUCGGGGCAAGAAUAACGGGGUCGUUUCCGGAUUGUUCCCUCCAUGGAGAAGACGAUCGAACAAUGGCAGAAGGAAGGGUGAAGGCAAAUGGAGGAGGGAGGAAGAGCGUGCGAAAGCAGUUCCAAAUCGAGAGGGAAAGGCGAAGAGUCGGUGGACGGUUGCCAGUUUGCCACGGUACAUGAAGAGGCGUCCCGGCCUACACGUCCUUUCAGAAAUUGUACAAAAGGACUCGUCGUCGUCUCACUGACAUGUUGGAACGGGACCACAUGUCAACGAAACAUGGUGUGUAAUUUCUCGUGCAAAAUGCGAUCUGGCCGCGUUGGCCCGAGGUGCCGCAUUAGUUAUCAACCUUUAUUUUUUUAAUGGCAUGCCGUUCAGUUUUGAAGCACGACUAACUGGUACUGUUUGCAGAGAAAAUAUAAACUACUCUACCACUACUCCACCUCUAGUACUAGUAGUAUAAAAAAGAUAUAUAGGCUGGAGCUUCAGAGCUUUCUUGCUAAGGGCUGCCCACUUGCUUCUCACACUAUCACCCUCUCUCCAGAUCUAAAAAGACGGCCUCUCUCUCUCCCUCCUCAACGGUGGUCACAGAUCCGCCGGGGAACAAAAGGACGUGCAGCGUUGACGCACUCGUCGUCGGCGAGCGAGGUCACGCACUGACGACAAGGCCGUUCUCUCAGACCUAGCGCCCACGCAGGAUGGCCUCCGUCCCCAAGCUCGUUGUCGUAGUGCGUGCGGAGGACGACGACCAAGAGCGAAGCCACUUCCCGCCGACCCUCAGGUAUGCUACCUCCUUUCGAACCAUACCCUUGUUCUAUUCCCCCAUCUGCCACGUCGUUGCAUGUGGAUCUUUUUCCACUCCACCAUCUUCCCAAUUUGCUAUCCUAUGCUCUCCUGGUCACGCAGACGAAAACCUUAAUUUGAACUAUUAAAGGAAACCCUACUUCAUGCAGACUAAUCCAUGUCUGGGUUGAAUAAGGAAAGGAAGGGAGACUGUACUGUCCAAGAGAGUAGGCAUCGAACCCGCAUCUAGGUUGAAAAGGGGAAAAUCAGUAGCUAAGGAACGAGUCUCGUGUCUCUUGGUUGAAGAAGGGUAGAAAGGCAUGACAAUGCAAUAGAGAAUGACCAGGUCGGUCGGUUUGUUGUCCUCACAUAGGAAAAAGGUGGCUAAACAGAACAAAAAUGGGACGUAAUCCACAUAUGCUGCCUGGAUAUUUGUUGCUCUGGGCAACCAUACCUCCCUCACCACUCUAUGCGUCCGUGGAGUUACAUCGUACUGGUGCGCCCAUUGUCCGUAUGGCCUCCCAUACUCUUAUUGUCACUUUUUUGCUAUUAGUAUAACGCCAGUAGUCAAGUCAAGUAAUGCUACUACUAAAGUGAUGCCACAUUUAACUAAUGCCGCACUCAGUCUAAUGCCACCGAUAAAUUUAAGCAAUGCCAUUUAAUGUCACUGGAUUAUUUCAGGGUUAGCUGUUGAUUGUGGAUGUAUUAAAGAUUUUUCAGCUAAGGCAUCUAAUGUUGUUGCACAGCUAGUAUACCAACGAUGAAACUUGUUACUACCUUCAGAUUUUUGCACUGUUAAUGCUUAUAGAUUACAUACCUCACUUCCAUGAGAUAAGUUAAUUUUUUUGUACAGUGUCACCAAAAUGCCAAGGCGCUGAUGUCAUUUUAUUUUGGUUAAACUGCACAAAAAUUAUGAAGACAAGAGGAAAGGUCAAGAGUGGGCACCUCCUCCUCCGGCUGUUCUCUUGAUUCAUUCGAUCAAGUUUUUAUGUUUGAUCGAUUAUCAAGAUUGGGAUAGCAAUUUUUAAGGUCCCCCGAGUUCGAAAUGAUAUUUACCUUGGAGGUAGAUGGUUUGCAAAUUUUUUAUACUGUCAUUAGUUAAUAAUGCUAGUUACCUUCACACUUCUGUAUUUGGUUUAAUGCUCAUGCACAGCUAGUAUACCAAUGCUGAAACGUGUUACCUUUACAUUUUGUAUUGUUCAUUCUUAUAGAAAUCUUCUAGUGCUAGAGUUUAUUGAAAUAUGUUCAGUAAAACCAUUGUACUGUACCCUGUAAUAAAAUAACUACUCUACUGUUGCACUAGCCACUGGAUUAGUGUAUAUUUGUAGUAUUCGAAAUUUCGAAUGGUGUUGCAUUAGCGUAUGGACAUAAAUAAAGUGUGGCAAGCUUUCCCAGAUAUGUGCUCAAGAAAACUACUACCUGUUUUUCUAAAUACUAGACGUUUGGGUACUUUAAAUUGAACCGCGAAAACGUCUUAUAUUAAGGAACAGAGGGUGUAGAGUUCACUCAAAUUAUCCCGGUAAAGCUAGUCACACCUUUGUUAAAAUUAAUAUCAUUAUGUUAUCGGAGGAGGUCUGUAAGUUUGUCUCUAAUGCCUGUCGACUACACACCUGACAUCAUGAUGUAAUGUUAAGUCAUUUCCUUUUGUACAGUGUCACUGAAUUGUCAAGGCGGUGAUGGCAUUUUAUUUUAGUUGAACUGCACAAAAUAUGCUUAAAAGAAGAGGAAAGGUCAGGAAUCGAUCAUUCUUUCAGAAAGAACUAUAUAUGCCUUUCUGACAUCAGCCGUUGUUGCCUUAUUUAUUCCUUCAAACAGGUGGUUAGAAAGAGUCUUGCUACCUUUUCCCAUUAAGAAAUUGGAAUGCUUAUAUUUGUGAGUCUAUGCUUCAACUAGUGCCACUUUUAUAGUAAUCACACUUUCAAUAUCUAUGCAAACAGGGAUGCUCGAUUUUAGUGGAACUGCACAAAAAGUCCAACUGGUUCAACAUUAGGAGCAUGUUUUUUUCCAAACCUUUAUAUCCAAUUGGUGGCACUAUGAGCUGUUCAUUAUGAAGGUACAUGGUUUGCUACUAUCUUGCUACUCUUUUUGUACUGUCAUUAGAUAGUAAUACUAGUGGUUUGCAUGUAAAUUUAUUGGCAGGGUGGACCUACAUUGGAGGUGCAGGACAGGAUUCAAUGAUUGGAUGCUCAAUUUCGGUUGUAUCGAUUUCACCUCUUCCAUCACUACGAACAUGGAUAUCCAUGGUCUGAUGAAGAAUAGGCGCUAUAUUUCUGCUCUGAACUAGCAAAUCAAUUCAGUAUGAAAUUUUCCAGGGCAAAACAUGACUGUAUCAAAUUGUCCAGUGCAAAACAUGACAGAUGCUAAGCGGAAGAGACAUGUUUAAACCGAAAAUACAAGGUGGGCUAUAUGUUUACUAGCUGCUUGAUAUUUGUGCAGACAGAGAUGUCUGCCCGUUGCUAUUUGGCAAACACACGAAGUGACCGCGAUUUUGGUUAAACUGCACAAGAGAAUAGUAUAGUCACUGCAUGCAGUGCCAUUUGAAAAUAGACACAGAAAGAUUGGAUAGUCACUUCAUGGACUGCAGAAAAGUAGUACUGUACUAUUUAUUGGCCAACACUAGGUGCUUCAUUGCUUUGGUCUAAUUAUACAAUGGGCACCAUUUUGCCUAAGUUAAAGUUUGUAUUCUGAAAAUAGUCUCGCCGCGUGAUCGAUAGAAGACCAAAUCAUAUUGCAGUGGAUGUUCCUCCAUCAUGUGUGGUUCAUUCUCAUGGUUCCAGCUGUUGGUGAAACCACUUACGUUUGCAAGAGGAAUUGUAGACUUCACAAACAAAUUUGUCUUUCAGUCUGUACUGAAUGUGCCAAGAGAAGCAUCCAUGUUAGUAGGCAGAACAGAUGUUUUUUCUAGAUCUUUGCUUUUGGAGCCACAUAUUUGUAUAUGAUCUGUGAAUCAUUGAGAUGCAUUAACAUGUUGAUCUUAUGUAUGGGAAUCAUACUAGUUGGUUUUAGUUGCGACGCAAGAUCCGAAGUGGCUGAUCUUUGCUUUUGGAGCUACAUAUUUGUAUAUGAUCUGUGAAUCAUUGAGAUGCAUUAACAGUUCCUUAUUUCUGUUCGCUCAAUGUUUACAAGUUACUGAUCGAUCACUAGCUAGCCUACUAAUGCGCUCCUGGCAGUUUUAAUUGCGACGCAAGAUCCGAAGUGGCAGUUUUUUGAAUAAAAAUGCCUGCCUAUGAAGAAACUGACAAGCUGCUCUGAAGAAAAUGCCAUGGGAAUCUGAAGAAACUGCCAGCGAAAACAUUCGCAAAUGCCUUAUCUCCCAGCUAAAGUUCAUCAACUAAUGCCCUCGGCUGCGACUCGUUGCAUGCUGCUCCGCGUACUGGCUGCGAGCGAUUUUGAGUGCCUGCAUGCAGCCGGCCGUAAUUAAGGCAGCUAACUGAUGCGAAAAAAGAUGCGCUUUAAUUGUUGCGGGCCUUUUAAAUCCGUGGAAUCAUUAUUGACAAGGAGGGAGAUGAUUCGAGUGCACUCGUUUGACCGUCAUGCCGGCAUGCGACCCAGCACGGACGGGACGGGAAGGCACAGUCAUAAUUUCAGUUUCUCUAGUUUUCCACGGCAAGCUAGCGCGCUAAGCCAUGCCUGCUUAAUUAUGCAUUGAAUUCUGAUGACCGUCGCGCUACCUUCUGCCUAUAAGUACUGUUUCCCGGCCUUCUAUGGUGGCACCGUGACCCAACUCGCCCUAUCCUCAUAAGCCCCCACCGGCCCGACGUCGCUCGCCACUUAUCCCCGCUCUUGCCACGUCCGCCAUGCCCCAGCCCGUCCGCGAUACGCCAGGCCGGAGGCGGUCACCGCCGGAACUAGUGUUCGGUUUUUCACAGGAAGGCAGACGGAGGGAGGAGGCAUUCUAUUGGUCUUUAGAUGGCAAUGCGGAGAUCGAGGACUUGUUGGAGCGCGACCGCCUGACGGAGGAGCAGGAGUUGUUGGAGCGCGACCGCUUGGCGGAGGAGCAGCGUAUCGCCGAUUUGCGCCGCCAGCGGGACAUGGAGCAGCAGCGCACCGACGCUCUGAGUCGCGAGCAGAGCGCCCGCAACUGGGCCGACUACGCGGAGGUCGGCGCCCGGCAAAUAGACCUGGAGGCUGUCGGGCACGCACGCGUUUGCGACGCCGAUUUUUACUACCAGCUCGUCAAGUGGGUUUCCCGCUUAGAAGUCGAAGCUUCUGUGGACCACGCCGGCAUGGAAAGGGCCAACACGCACGAGCAACGCACCCUAUCACACCUCUGGCAAGUCCGAGGCGAGGCGGAGGACGUCGGUGUCGGCGUUUAGCGUGUACCACAGAUGGCGGCCGGCAUCGUCUAGUUAGCUAAGAGUAAGUUAGUACUUGUACGCUACUAGAGUAUUAGUGGGAGUAGAUAGUUAACUUGGCUAUGAUGGUUGUCAACGUGGAAGUUCAGUACUCUAUAUGUGGAUCAGACCUGUUACUUUGCUCUGAAUGUUGAACUUUCCGUUUGAACGUAUGAAAUGAGCUGUUAUUUUUUUAAAUGGGUUGUAUUUGUCCUCCACGGGUUUAGAGGCUGCCUUGUGGGCCUACCAAGUUGACGCGUACACAAUCAGGAGAUGAUUGUACGUGGAGAGGAUGACAACAGGGACCCGCCAAGGUCAUGGCAGUACGCAAGCAAGUGCCUCCUUAUUUCAAGCCAAUAAAAAAUGGCUCGUCCUAAUGGAUUUCUGACAUCUGGGUCCCAUGCCAUUGUCAAUGUAGUCAAUAAACGAGAGAAUUGCACAACAAGCGGCUGACACCAGGGACCCAGCAGCUCGCCCAGUUAUUUUUGUUUUGGGUUAAUUUGAUAAAUGCCACUCCAAAUCUGGUGUUUCUGAGAAAUACCACUGCAAUUUCCAAACUUUGAAAAAUGCCAUUUCAUGCCAUUUCCAGUGGCAUUUUUCAAAGUCUGGAGUGGCGUUUUUCAAAGUUUGCAAAUUGCAGUGGCAUUUUCCAAAGUUUGCAAAAAUUGCAGUGGCAUUUUUUAAAGUUUGGAAAUUACAAUGGCAUUUUUAUGAAUCGCCAUAAUUGGAGUGGCAUUUAUCUAAUUUGUUUUUGAGACGGAAGCAGGGUGUCAACUGGGCUGUGCGGGGCACUCUGGCCUGUCUAGACAGCCUUCUCUUUUAUGUUUACCACAGACCAGCCCAGUAGUUUUUUUUCUUUCUGAAAAUGGCUAGCCCAGUUUUUUAGUGAUUUGCCAAGUAAGUCGCUAGGCCUGUUGGGCUGCAAAUAUUUCAAGACGAGGAGAGCUUCAUUUGACUGGCCGAGAAAAUGGCCUAUCAGUAAUGAGAAAUGGGUUGUACAUUUUUAAAACACAUCAAACCGGCAAUUAGUUUCAAAUUUCUUUUUUUCAUUUUGAGAUUUUAAAUUGCAUUAAUUUUUAUGCGUUGACAAUUUUUCGGAUUUUAUAUUGAUAUACAUUUAUUUUUAAAAUCAGUUUGAAUGUGACUCAAAAUUUCAGGAUUAAAAACAGUUCGGACCGCACCGAAAUAUGCAAAAUUUCGUAUAAUUUUUUAACCGUGGCCACAAUAUGGGUUGUAAUGCUAACAAAAAGAAUAUGGGCUCCAAAAAAACCUUAAGAAUUAGCAAAUGGGCUGUAAAUUAUUAGAAAUAAUGGCAGAUGGGUUGUAUGCUGUUUUCCACAGAUUUGAGGCUUUCCUAAAAAAAAGGUUGGCGCACAAGCAGUGACUGUUGGAUGUCCAUCCAACGGCCGUCGUGCUUCUUCAAUCUCUGCUCUUCCUGCUCCAGCCGCUCAAACAAGUGCCGGCGGGACUGUCUGCUCCCUCCUCCCUGCGGCCGGCUGUGCUACCGCGCAGGUCUCACCGCCCCACCGUACUCCCAUCGCUGGCCUAGCCAUCCCUCUACUCACCCACACAUGCUGUUAUUCUCCGGCGACGGCAGACGAACCAGUAAACCCUCGUACAGUCGUACCCCCCUCCGCGUGGGAAACAACUGCCGAGUCUUCCCUACCUCUGUGUCGUUCCCUUCCUAGGCCUCGCCGUCGUCCACCGCCCUAGUGCUCUCGGCGCGGCUUGGUCAACAUGGUCAACGACCGACAUGCAUCUGAAGUGGACUGUACAUGGAGAGGCUGAUAGCUGGGUCCAUGGCCGCACGCAAGGAAAUGCCUCCUUAUUACGCGCAAAAUAAUGAUUCCUCCACCUGACAUCUGGGACCCACCAAAAGGGCCUCUGUAUUUCGUGAAAAAAUGUUACCGCCGCUGACAGCUCGGACCCACCAGCUAUAUCUUCGCAUGCAAGGAAGUGCCUCCUUAUUAUGCACAAAAAAAUGAAUACUCCCCUUGCUAGCUGGGACCCAGUAUAGUGGCAGGCUGACUUGUGGGCCUACUAAGUUGACGGGGACGGAGAGCUUUGUCAACUUAGUCAAUAUGAACGAUUCUAGCUCCCGUGACCGUACGAUGUCCAUCCAACUGCCGUAGUGCUUCUUCAACCUCUGGUCUUCUUGCUCCAGCCGCCCAAACCAGCGUCGGUGGUGCCUCGUGCUCCGGCCUCCCGUGGCCGGCUGUGAUGCGGCGGAGGCCACACCGCCCCCUACUACUCCCACCGCUGGCCAGGACAUCCCUCUACUCACCCACACCCCCUGUUAUUCUGCGGCGACAGCAGCCUCACACCGCAGCGAACCAGUGAACCCUCAUACUCCUCUACACGUGGGCAUCCACUGCCGCAUCUUCCCCGGCUCCGCUUCGUCCCCUUCCUAGGCCUCGCCGUCGUCCACCGCCCUGGUGCUCUCGGCGCGGCGUGGUCAACGUGGUCAAGGAACGACUUCCAUCGGAAGAGUACUGUACGUGGAGAGGCUGACAGCUGGGUCCACGGCAGCUGCAAGGAAGUGCCUCCUUAUUACGUGGAAAAUAAUUAUUCCUCCGACUGACAGCAGGGACCCACCGGACGGGCCAUCGUAUUUGGCGGAAAAAUACAUUUCCCCUCUGACUGCUGGGACCCACCGGACGGGCCACCGUAUUUCGCGAAAAAACGUUCCCCCCCGCUAUCAGCUCGGACCCACCGGAAGUGCCUCCUUAUUACGCACAAAAAAUGAAUACUCCCCCUGCUAAUUGGGACCCACCUUGGUGGGUGGUUGACUUGUGGGCCUACUAAGUUGACGGGGAUGGAGUGCUUUGUCAACUUAGUCAAUAUGAACGAUUCUAGCUCCAGUGACCGUACGAUAUCCAUCCAACGGCCGUAGUGCUUCUUCAACCUGUGGUCUUCUUGCUCCAGCCGCCCAAAGCAGCGCCGGUCGUGCCGCAUGCUCCUGCCUCCCAUGGCCGGCUAUGCUGCCGCGGAGGCCUCACCGCCCCCUACUAUUCCCACCGCUGGCCAGGCCCUGCAGCGAUGGCAGCCUCAGACCGCAGCCGAACCAGUGAACCCUUGUACUCCUCUCCGCGCGGGCUUCCACUGCCGCGUCUUCCCCGGCUCCGCAUCGUCCCCUUUCUAGGCCUCGCCGUCGUCCACCACCCUGGUGCUCUCGGCGCGGCGUGGUCAACAUGGUCAAGGAACGACUUCCAUCGAAAGAGUACUGUACGUGGAGAGGCUGACAGCUGGGUCCACGGCCGCAGCAAGGAAGUGCCUCCUUAUUACGCGCAAAAUAAUUAUUCCUCCACCUGACAGUGGGGACCCACCGGACGGGCCAUCGUAUUUAGCAAAAAAACAUUUCCCCCUGACUGCUAGGACCCACCAGCUACAUCUUCGCACGCAAGGAAGUGCCUGACAGUCGGGACCCACCUGGUCGAAGCGUACGUAGCAUUGUCAUUCUGGUCGCGAACAUGUACGUACAUACUGGUCGAUGUAGAGGCGCGCACGUGUCGUAGUAGAGGCGCACACGUAGCAUGUACAUGUACGUACAGCGGCCAGUGUGCAAGAAAGAAAAUACGGCCACAUACGUACAUACGGGCAGGGUCUCGAACGCCUACUCGCGCAUACGUACGGCCAGGGCUCGUGUACAUGGCUGGGUCGGAACGGAGAAACUGCGUCGUUGUCGUGUUCAUGGGGAGCCAACCGGCUGGGUCGGAACGGAAUGCAUCGUCGUGUUCAUCGGGAGGGCUUGGACGGAACAGCCGAUGGAAACGAGGCCUGGCGUACCGCAGAACGGAGGAAACGGCCUUGUGUUCGACCGGCCACGUUCAAAACGGGAUCCUGUUCAUUGGGAGGGGUCUGGCGUACCGCAAAACGGAGGAAACAGACCUCCUACGGUCGAAACGGGGGUCCUGUUGAUCGGGAGGGGUGUGGCGUACCGCAAAACGGAGAAAACGGACUUGUGUUGGAGCGCUACGGUCGAAACGGGGGUCAUGUUCAUCGGGAGGGGUGUGGCGUACCGCAAAACGGGACUCCACGGGAUACUGUUCAUCUCCACCGUCGACCCCCUCCAGCCUCCACGGGCUAUUGUUCAUCCACCGUCGACCUCCUCCAUCCUCCACCUGCGACUGUUCAUCCACGGGCUCCUGUUCAUCCAGCCUCCAUCGCCCGCUACUCCACCGGCUACUGUUCAACCAGCCCUCUCCACGGGUUCCUGUUCAACCACCCCUCCACGGGCUACUAUUCAUCCAGCCCUCCACCGUGUACUGUUCAUCCAGCCCUCCACGGGGUGGUCCUGUUCAUCCAGCCCUCCACGGGGUCCUUUUCAUCCAGCCCCAACCGGCUCGAUCGAUCGGGGUCCUGUUCAUCCAGAGGCAACACCACGGGGUCCUGUUCAUCCACCCCCACCGGGAACUGUUCAUCCAACCCCCCCCAGCAACGCUCACUGUUCAUCCAGAGGCAGCAUCGAUCGGCUUCAGUUAGCAGCAGUAGCGAAGGAAUCGCUCGAUCGGGUUCAGUUAACAGCCAUCGAUCGAUCGCUCGGGUUCAGUAACGCGUUGCCUGCAGUGCAAUCGCUCGGGUUUAGUUAGAGCCCAACGCCUCACUAGGGUUCAGUUAGAGCCCAGCGCCUCGCACCCACGCGCGUGCGUGUACGAGAGAAACGCGCAUCGCUCGGCCCCGACCACCCACCGUAACCGGGAACACCCCGAUAUUUUCCUCGCCCUCGCUUCUACCACGGUUUUUUCCGUCAUGGUCGGCCCAAAGAAUGUCAUGCAGCUGCGUCUCCGGCCCGCCCAGGACGAAAAGCCCAUUUUCUGUCAUGAUUUUUUGUCAUAGAAGUAGGACCCAACCACCUCUAUGAUGAUACCAGGCUUUGUCACAAUUAUCGUCAUAGAAGUGUCAUAAGUAUGACGAAAAAAAUCGUUCGGCCCAAAAUGUCACGGAUGUGUCUUUUUUUGUAGUGAUUCCUUUGGAGUAUGCCCCCCGGCUUACGAAACAGGGACACUGGCUGGUAUCUCUACUCGUCCUAGCCCUCAUCAAGCCAUGAGAUCUUCAAACAAUCAAGCAAGCUUGGAAGUGCAAGAAGAACUCCCACCAAGGAGGCCUUUACACAGGUUACAUCAUAACAAUUUUCACAACUUGAUUCACAAUUAUGGGUUCGAAAAUACUCCUCAUAUGCACAUACCAUCCAAUUGGGACAUAUCCCAUCCAAGAGAAAGUGAUUCAGGAGCAAGUUCUUGGGGGCCGGAGAAUAAGUAUAUCAUGGCUGAGGUGAGGAAAAAUGUUGAGUUGCUUCAUAAAGCUCUUCGUGAGAUUGAGGGCAUAAAGGAGACACUCAUGGAAAUAUUGGGAGUUGUAUCACCAUCACCUUGUUCUUCAUCACCAAAAGAAAAUUGAGUAUCGGGUAAGGGCACUCCCUUGGCUUCCGCCAAGCUUGGGGGAGGUGCCCCGGUAUCGUAUCACCCCACUAUCUUUUGCCUUUACUUAAUUUAGUUCGAUCUUUUUCUUUAGAUGAAUAAAAGUUUAGUUCGAUCCUUUCUUUUCGAGGGUUUGCUUAGUGAUUUAUCCUUGUAAUCGUGUGCAAGAUAUAUAAUAAAGUUUAGUUUGAGUUUUUGCUUUCUUUACUUUCAUGUUGCAAUAAAAAGAAAGGAAAUAAAUUAAAAAUAUCAUAUGUUAAUCUUAUGGUAGGUGAUGACACCACAUAAGGAAAAGUAUAAGUAGGAAAUUUUAUUAGAGAUUGACAAACAUAGCAUUGGUCAAUGAUGCAACUCAUGAAAGAAAUAAUAAGGGAAGAGAAGAUUCGCAUAUAAAUACACUAUCCUAGAGAUCUUUUGUGAUUGUGAGCCCCCAUCAAAAUAUUAUAUGCCAAAAUUGUUGACGUUGGACAAGGAAGACAACGUAAUGAUUUAUGUUUGUUCAUAUUCACAUAGAAGUUAUAUUGUCAUAGAUCCUUCAACAUGUGGUGCUUGCCCCCUAUCUUUGCUAGCCAAAAAUUCCGCACUAAGUAGAGAUACUACUUGUGCAUCCAAAAACCCUUCAACCCAAAUCUUAUUUUCAAGAGUCCACCAUACCUACCUAGGGAUUGAGCAAGAUCCCUCAAGUAAGUUGUCAUCGGUGCAAUAAGGCAAUAAAAAUUGCUUCUAAAAGUGUGAGAUCAUUUAGUGUAAGAGAAAAUUGAGCGUUGUACCAACUUGUGAUGGUGAAGAAUAAAAGCGACAGACUGCAUAAUAAAGGUUGCCAUCACAAGGGGCAAUACAAUGUGACUUUGUUUUGCACCUAGGGGUUGAGCAUACAAACAAAUAAACACAUGGCAACCUCCGCUUCCCUCUGCGAAGGGCCUAUCUUUUACUUUUAUGAAAAGAGUCAAAGUUUUUCUCUCUAUUCCUUUUUAUUUUUCUCCUUUGGCAAGCAUCAUGUGGUGAGGAAAGAUCUAGGCACAUAUGUCCAGUUGAAUAUGGGUGGCAUGAGUUAUUAUUGUUGACAUCACCCUUGAGGUGAAUACGUUGGGAGGCGAAACUAUAAGCCCCUAUCUUUCUAUGUGUCUGGUUGAAACGUUUUGCUCAUGUGUAUGCAGUGAGUGUUAGCAAUCAUAGAAGACUAUAUGAUGGUUGAGUAUGUGGACUUGCCUAAAGGCUCCGAUACGUGACCCUUCCUAAAAAUAUGAUGAAUUGUAGUUGCAAAGUUGACUGAGAACAUAGUUUGUUGGUUUCUAAUAGAGUAUAUGCUUUAUACUUCAAUUAUGUGAUGAAUUGUCACUUAUUCAUGGGAAGUCUAUGAUAAAAGUUCUAUGAUAAAAGUCUUAUGUUUAAAUUUGUUGCUGCUAUAAUAAUCUACAUGAUGCUUCUAUGUCCGUAUUUUGUUUUUAUCGACACCUCUCUCUCUCUAAGCAUGUGGACAUGUUUUUCGAUUUUGGUUUUCGCUUGAGGACAAGCGAGGUCUAAGCUUGGGGGAGUUGAUACGUCCAUUUUGCAUCAUGUUUUCCUACUGUUAUUUAUGAUGUUUUUAUGCAUAAUAAAGAUUUUUGGAGUAAUUCUAAUGCUUUUCUCUCAUAAUAUGCAAGGUACACUCAAAGAGGGAGAAUUCCGGCAGUUGGAAAUCUGGACCUGGAAAAGCUACGUCACGCCACCUAUUCUGCACAACUCCAAACAAGCUGAAACUUUACGGAGAUUUUUUAUGGAAUAUUUGAGGAAUAUUGGAGCCAAUAAGUACCAAAGGGGGCCCACCAGGUGGGCACAACCCACCUGGCAGCGCCAAGGAGCCCAGGCGCGCCCUGGUGGGUUGUGCUCACCCAGGCCCACCUCCGGUGCCCAUCUUCUGGUAUAUAAGUCAUUUUGACCUAGAAAAAAUAAGGGGAGUACUUUCGGGACGGAGCGCCACCGUCUCGAGGCGGAACUUGGGCAGGAGCACUUUUGCCCUCCGGCGGAGCAAUUCCGCCGGGGGAACUUCCCUCCCAGAGGGGGAAAUCAUCGUCAUCAUCAUCACCAACAACUCUCCCAUCUUGGGGAGGGCAAUCUCCAUCAACAUCUUCAAUAGCACCAUCUCCUCUCAAACCCUAGUUCAUCUCUUGUGUUCAAUCUUUGUACCGGAACUAUAGAAUGGUGCUUGUGGGUGACUAGUAGUGUUCAACUAUAUGGUUUAUUUGAUGGAAGAUUAUAUGUUCAGAUCCAAUAUGCUAUUUAAUAGCCCUAUGAUCUUGAGCAUGAUUAUCAUUUGUGAGUAGUUACUUUUGUUCUUGAGAUAUGUGUUCGAUAUUUUGAUAGUAUGUAUGUUGUGAUUCCCUUAGUGGUGUCAUGUGAACGUCAACUACAUGACACUUCACCAUAUUUGGGCCUAAGGGAAUGCAUUGUGGAGUAGUUAUUAGAUGAUGGGUUGCGAAGUGACUGAAGCUUAAACCCUAGUUUAUGCGCUAUUCCGUAAGGGGCCGGUUGGAUCCAAAAGUUUAAUGCUAUGGUUAGAAUUUAUUCUUAAUACUUUUCUCGUAGUUGCGGAUGCUUGCGAGGGGGUUAAUCAUAAGUAGGAGGUUUGUUCAAGUAAGAACAACACCUAAGCACCGGUCCACCCACAUAUCAAAUCAUCAAAGUAGCGAACACAAAUCGAAUCAACAUGGUGAAAGUGACUAGAUGAAAUUCCCGUGUACCCUCAAGAACGCUUUGCUUACUAUAAGAGACCGUUUUGGCCUGUCCUUUGCCUCAAAAGGAUUGGGCUACCUUGCUGCACUUUUGUUACUACUAUCAUUACUUGCUCGUUACAAAUUAUCUGGCUAUCAAACUACUCUGUUACCUACAAUUUCAACACUUGCAGACAUUACCUUGCUGAAAAUCGCUUGUCAUUUCCUUUUGCUCCUCAUUGGGUUCGACACUCUUACUUAUCGAAAAGAGCUACAAUUGAUCCCCUAUACUUGUGGGUCAUCAGACAGCAGCUUCAGCCUAGGAUAGAAAUUGAUGCAUACGGGAUUGAGGGGGGACCAAUAUAUCUUAAUGCUAUGGUUGGGUUUUACCUUAAUGAACGUUAGUAGUUGCGGAUGCUUGCUAAUAAUUCCAAUCAUAAGUGCAUAGAAUUUCAAGUAAGAGAUGACAUGUUAGCAGUGGCCUCUCCCACAUAAAAACUUGCUAUCGGUCUAGUAAUGUAGUCAAUUGCUUAGGGACAAUUUCGCAGCUCCUACCACCACUUUUCCACACUCGCUAUACUAACUUAAUUGUUUAUUUAUCUAAACAACCCCUAGUUUUUAUUUACGUGCUCUUUAUUAUCUUGCAAACAUAUCCCACAACACCUACAAAGUACUUCUAGUUUCAUACUUGUUCUAGGUAAAGCGAACGUCAAGCGUGCGUAGAGUUGUAUCGGUGGUCGAUAGAACUUGAGGGAAUAUUUGUUCUACCUUUAGCUCCUCGUUGCGUUUGACACUCUUAUCAAAAGAGGCUACAAGUGAUCCCCUAUACUUGUGGGUUAUCACUAGGCUAUCCCGUUGGUCCCAAUGGUUGACCACACCUACCCUAGGUUUGCGGUAGUCGUUCCGCCUCGUCAUGGAUGAGAAGCACCUCGUGGCAGAGGUGGAGCUUGAGGCAGAACGAGCAGGCGCUAUCGCUCUCACCAAGCUCUGCGUCGACCCGGUCUUCAUUGCGGAAAAUCGCGCCAUCUCGAGUCCAUUAAGGAUGAACAGGUGGUGUCAGGCUAUCAAUGAACCGCUGCACGAUCUUCAUCCAUGACGGAGAGCAAUAAGAGACCUUUGUGGAUGAGGAUGAGGACGACGAGGGAGAGCAGUUGCCUCCCACCACUGAGAAAUUAUGUAGGGCCUACUUUCUCUGCAUGUUCCCUAGUCCCUACCCUCCCCCACUGCCCAAGUACAACAUGCUAGCCAAUGAAUCUUGUUUGACGCCUUACAUGUGUGAUGUGUCAAAAAAAGAUUGUCGUGACGUGCACAAUGACUGAAUAAUGUCAAUAAACAUAAUGACAUGCCCCAUCUCUUGCCAAGCUGUUGUUGUGCCACUGGUAGUGUCAAUAAAUGCAUCUAGAAAGAAAAAUGCAGUUGCCCCCGUGUCGCCUCCCAGGGGCGACACGGCAGAUCCCCAGUCUCGCCGCCACCGACCCCUCCUCCUUCGCCCCUUCCCUCGCCACCGCCGGUAGUCCCUCCCGGACGAAGCCCUGACGUGGGUUGGCAGCGGUGAGGCCGCCCCACCUCUCCUUCCCCUUCCUCGCUCCCCAUGCUGCUCCUCUCGAACCCCAGCGCCUCAGACGCGCCAUCAUCAGUUAUCCCUGCUCUCCAUCGUCCAGCUCGGGUGGCCGGCCUGGAGUUUGCUGUUAGCGGCGAGGUAGGCUUGCAUCUGGCCACGCCCGUGGUGCGGGGUUACCAUCCCUCGAGAUCGUAUUUGCCCAUAUCCAACUGGAGGUCGGGUCAUUGAUCCAAAGAGGCUACGGCUAGGGGGUUGGCUGGUACUUCCCGUCCAGGGGGAUGGGCCUGGUUGUCGGGGGGAUGUCAUGUCUCCUAAUAUAAAUCGGCCAGGCGGUGGCCCUCGUGCUCUUCGCGUGAAGUCCCCAUUCUACAUGUGAUCAAUCCUCUUUGAUCUGGCCAUCAAUGAGUUCCGGACAUCUCCUUCGAAGGAAAACAAGGACUAGCAUAUAUGACACUUUUUUGGACAGCUUGAUUGGAUAAGGGCCCGUCGUGUGCACCCGCAAUAUCAGUAUAACCAACUUCACUAGGGUAUCACGAAGCUCUGUUUUUGUUGACACCUUGGGACAUGUCUUCUCCAAGAUUUCCAAGGGAUCGACACAUGAUGAGAAUGCCAUGGCGUGAUUGGAGGACCUGCAAGUUGCGAAGGCGGGAUCUUGGAUGCGAUGAAGACUUUGCUUCAUAGACAGUUGUUUAGAAUUGGCUUGCGGGGUAUGUUCUCACCCAUGCCGGGCACGAGUUUCUGUGAGCCCGGUGGUAAGUGACUUGUAGUAGUAGCCUCCGCGAGUGGGGGCGGCAACAUUGGAGGACUUCUUUGUUGGUGGUGCUCUUUUGAGUACCGAGUCAUGAUUUCCAGGGUGAAAACCCAAGGUCUAGCCUUUAUUAGUUGUGCCUGAUAGUGGCCUUGUUGAAGUCAUUGUUUUGGUAACGCGGUCUUUCUCCAGGGUGAAAACCUAUGAUCAUUGAUCGGGCAACGACAACACUUGUGCAUUGUUCCCUUCCUGGAGGCGUUGCUUUUGAAGAACCUUCUUUCUAGUUUGGGUGUUGUCUUUGGUGGUGUUAAGAGUGCUGCUACUGCGGGUGAUUGAUCACCAUGACAUGUUUUUUUCUCUUAUUAUUUUCUUUUUUGGCCGUGUGCAUCCUGGAUGUUCUUACGCGUCUUGUUGGUGCAUAGGCUGGGCGUAAUUGGUAUCUACUUGAUAUUAAUAUAUUCCUCUUUAAAAAAAUCUUUAUCCAUUAGGCUUAAUAAGCUAUAAUAACAUAUACAAGCAAAAUUAGUAACAACUAGGAACUAGUUGGGAGAUUAGCACAUCUGGAACUGUACAACUAGGAAGAAAUAGGCAAAGUGCCACAAUAUGAAAGUAAUACGAAUGUUACUUUAAUUCGUGCUUAUGUUUAAGAAAACAUACAUGUCCUUUCGGUGCAUGUUACAGGGCAAAAAUAGGAACAAAAAUACGAUUUCUUGCACCUGCCAUCUAAACACUUACAUGCAAUACAUAGAUCCUCAACUUUAAUUAAUUGGUCUCCUUGAUAAUAGUAUCUCCAUCCAGCUAUCUCUCACGUAGCCAUGCACAUGAAAGUUUUCAUAGUUUACUUAUUGUACUCUUUCCUCCAAACAUGUAUGUGUAGAGCCUUAGCUUCUUCACAAGGAUUAGUGUUGUUACUCGUUUGUUUAUCUCCUGAAAUAAAUGCACCAGUCUCUCUUUGACCCGCGCGCUUUGUAUUAUGAACAACAAAAACUAGCUGUUCAUCAUUGUAGCUUGGCCGCACGUACUCUAAUGUAUAUGCAGCAUAUUUUCGGACAACACCAACUUCAGGCGAAACAUUAACUUGACUGCCAUCCUCAUGUGAAGUCAAUUAAAAAGAUUCCUUCCAUUUUUUUCAGCCCAUGUGUAUUUUAUGUGAAUAACAAUUCCAUGUAGAAUCAAACUUAUUUAAUUCUGGAUAGGCAAACUAUUUUCAAUAGCACUGCCAAUGAUAUAAUUCACAUAUCUGAAUAGUCUGCACUAUCUUAGUUAACUGCUCCAAAUUCCGUGCAUUAGAAGAAUGGGAGAAUCCCUGACCAAACUGCGUGCAAGGGUGAACUGAUUGUUAUCUUCAGCGGAGCAUCCAGCAUCUUCACAAAUUGUGUGUGAUCAGUUUUGUUAAAUGAACAAACAAAAAGCAAUAAUAAUAAAGAAAAUAAGGACAUGUCCUGCAAUCUAGUAUUUGGCAGACGAAGUGACAAGAUUGUGACAAUGUGAUGAAUCUUUGCAACAAAAGGGAGUACUUAUAUAUGCAUUUGACAUUCAAGAAUAUGAGCUAUUAAACCAAAAAUGGAAUAGUAAAGUUAAAAGACUAAGGGCCAGUUCGCUGUGGAAAUAAGUUGCCCCCUCCUUACUUAUAGUAGGCUUAUAAAAUGAAAUUUUAGGUUAAGCUUCUAGAAUAGCUAGGAAAGGGGCAGCUUAUUUCCACACCCUGCCAUAGGCCAAAAAAAACUAGCCCUAAGCAUGUUCCCUGAGAAAUGCUUCAAUCGUCCACAUGGGUGUAAUAGAAUGGAUUAAAUCAGACUCAUCGUCUGUGAAAUAGCAGCAAAUUUAGAGAAGCUGAAAAUGACAAUAACUUUGCCAUCAGUUCUUGGAGCCAUGAUGUUCAUCAGUUAGUGUUUUAUUCAAACCGACCACCAUUGUUGAUCUCCUCCAAUUCAUUCCCAUGUCUAAGAUCAAAUUACCGCAUGGUGCUUAAGCAAUAAAAUCAAGAUCAGUUGUUUAACUGAGGCUCCAAUUCACUGGCAGCUACCAAUGCUGGAAGUGUCACUGCAGAGAAAAGGAGCUGCAUCACACUGCAAACAGAUAAAAUAACUGACAACAAAUGCAGGGCCAAAAGGCACAAUUCAGAGUACCUCAAAGAUAAUAGGUGCAUAAAAUUCAGUCACAAACACAUAUAAUCCUCACAUUACAUAAAACUCAGUCCUGGAACAUAGCCAGACUAGUAUUAAACAGCUAAACACAGGUAAAGCAACUUCCACAGCCACAACCGCAAAACAAAUCAGGAAUCACUCGGACAAUGCCAUCAUCCCUCAGAGUUCCGCUGCCUGGAUGUAAGAUGAUGCUUCCCCUCCCUCCAAGGCACCUACUUGGAUCGCUGCCUCAUCUUUCGGCGCUUCCUCUUGAGCCUCCUCAUCCUCUUCUUCUUCCACUGCACAUUAUCACAAAAAUGCAGAUCAUCAGUACAAAUUGCAUAGUGCUAGAUGCGCAGGAACAUGAGAUAAUUCCACAUGAAAAGAGAAAGUAGUAUGUGAUUUAGAAUCAGAAGAUUGAGUGUUUCACUGGAUAUCAUCACAUGAUUCUCAGAAACACGGACCAAUUGUUCUUCAUCAUGUUCCAAAACUGCCAAUUUGGCAUGGCGAAAAGAGAACUACUAAAGAAGGUCAUACCUAUCUACAAACUAGAUCUGCAGUCGGGUUGACAUUCAGAAUGAGUAGGAGGAUUUUAUCAUCAAAUAGAUCAGACGCCAUUUGUCUUCCUCAUCAUGGCAACCGACGCAACUGAUCUAAAGAAAGAACAAAUCUAGGAAAAACACUGGCAAAGAAAACACAGUUCUCUCAGACAAAUGCCUCGAUUGUCCACAUGGUGUAAUAGAAUGGAUUACAUCAGACUCGUCAUCUGUUUUCAUCAUCACAGAGAACUAUGCACAAAUGAAAACAGCAAAAAAAACGCAUAAAUCUGGCUAACAUAACUAGAAGCAGUAAUUAUAUAUCAUAGAGCAAGCAAAUCUGGUCGAAAUAGCAACGGUUCUCUCAGACAAAUGCCUCAUAUUGUCCCCACGGUUGAAUGGAAUGGAUUGAAUCGGACAUCUAAUCAGUGUUGAUCAUCACAGAGAACCACUACCUACGCAAGCGAGCGGCAGCAACAGCAAGAACGAACGCUCGGUAAGCACUAGCACAUGUCUAGAUCUACCACGGUCGGGACGCAGAUAACAGCAGGCGAGGUAGAAGACGGGCGGCAGUACGAACCUUGGCCCUCAUCGCGGCGGCGGUGUCGGCCUCGCUCUCCGGUUCGCGGGGAUGGCGGCGGCGGGAGUGUGUGGACGAACACCCUAGCGGCGGGGGCUCUCGUUAGAUUGUUGGCGGCGGGGGCUCUCGCCUCGUACUUAUACGGGCUGGGUGCUGAAGAGGGGGGAAACCCUAGCGGGGUUGGACGGGUGGACGGCUGGGAUCAGCCAAUGAACGGCGUUCUUAUCCGAUUAGUUGCUCUGGUAUGGGCCUGUUGGGCCUCCAAACAACGCCUAGGCCCACGCUAACAUUUGACUGGACUUGAUUUCCUAAAGGGAGGAAAAAGAAACUUGACCAGUCUUUACUUUAUUCUCUUGUUUUUUUAUUUUACUACUAGAACAAUGCCCGUGCGUUGCAACGGGAUAUAAAUAUUCUAGCACGUUAGCUUGUGAUUUACCUGUCAAUAAUAAUGUGAUUGUGUAAAUAAAUGUUCAUAAAAUUCUGACCAUGAAUUACCUUAUAUUUUGAUUAGAAGAUUGGUAAAUAAAUUAAAGUGGAGUUGAUUCAGAAGGUAAGUAAAUUAAGGUGAUUGAUUAUCAUAUACAUGGAAGACUGGACGAAGGGUUGGUGGAAAGAAAUAUGAAAUGUGAACCUUACGUUCUUUUUAAGUACUAGUAGAGAUUUAAAAAAAAAGAAUAGCAUUCCUUUUCCUGCCAGGCGGAGUGAUUCGUCCAACAUUCCCUUUUUCUAAUGAUCAUUCCUUGAAAACCGUCUUAAUCGUCUCAUCUUUUAUUGACUUGUCAAAUAAAUUUUAUUUUCUUUGGUAAGUCAAUAAGUGAUUACAAAAUAAAAUCACGGGCAAGAUUUGUUAAAUAUUUAUUUACACAAUCACAUAAUAUGAAGAUGUAAAUUAUGAGAUAAUGUAUUGUAAUAUAAUAUUUAUGCCCCGUAGCGACGCACGGGGAAAUAUCUAAUUUUACUAGAAAAAAGACUAAUACAUUGUGAUGGCGCUGGUGCGCAACUGUUGGUGCAGCACGAUUCAGGAUUAAUUAUACUAUUUUUAACACAAUAUAGACGCAAGCGCUCAUAUAUAUACGCGCAUAUACUCACCCCUAUGAAUGCACACACGUAUACCUUUUUUUUUGCGACAACAUAGAGCACCUCCGAAAGAUUGAGUCGGCAUACUAUCUACAUUUUACAAAGUCACCAUUGGCGCCUAUCCAGGAUAUAUAUGCGAGCAGCAAGACUUGAACCCUGCUGGGUUAGGGAUAUCACUGUCCUCCUAACCAUCCAACCACAUGUUGGUUCGCCACGACUAAUCAUACUGGUGUAGCCAAGUCUUAUUUAAAAACUAGGGAGGAAACUUUGUCCUAGUUGAACAACACGUUGCUGCGGUCUGAUGUAGUUGCUACUCGUUUGUUUCUAAAGUACCUUGUAAUCAAACUACUUGUGAUGAGAACAAAUCGAUAAAGUAUCUUGUAAUCAAACUACUGAGAUAAUUUGUACCUUCUCUCCAUACCCAUGUAUCAUCAAGUAGCCUCUUAAUGUAGUUUCCCUUUUCCCGCUUUGAAGCAAGUCUACGAAAAAAUGAUGUAUUCCGAUCUCCAUGAAGCAACCAAUUAGCUCGUCCUCUCUAUAACCAAAUCAAUUCUUCUUGGUACAGAAGAUUUUCAAUAUCUAGCCUACAAAAAAGAAGAUUCUCAAUAUUUGAAAAUCUUUUUUAUCCCUAAUCUCCCUGUCGAAUCACUUUGUCUCCAUUUUAAGGUCUUUUUUUAGCUUCGAUAUCCUCUUAUUUGGGCCUUUCAGAACCUCCCGAUCCCUCUGGUGUAGAUCUUUAUGAACAGCCUUGGUACGAUCAGACAAGGAUGGCCCCACACUAGCUAGCUUGCUCUCUCCCAAGCCAAUUGGACUACCGCAUUAACGGUUUCUUCACACAGCCAACGGGCUUCAAACUGUUUUCGGGCCUUCGGUUGUUGAGAAAAACAGAUUUAGAAUAAUUCUUAUGAAGGAGAAUAGGUCAAUGGUUUGAAUGGACAUGGUGCUCAUGAACCAAUGCAUAUGGCAAUUUAUCUGCACACGCCUCAUUACUUAGUGAUACCUUGGCUCCAGGUGAACUGGUCACCAAUAACAGUGGUCUAUUGAAGUCCACACAACCUCUGAAAUUAUGCAUCAACUGUUGAGGUCGAACAUUACCACCCUCCUUCUCACUUGCCACCAAUCUCUGAUUAAAAUCACAAAAACUAACCAUGGACCAGCCACAUUACAUUCCACAAGUAUGUCCAGGACAGGUGCUUCCGAUCCCAAGUUGGUUGUCCAUAAAAUCCUCAAGCGCCAUGAAGCAUUAUUUCCACCCAUAACAAUUCCAUCAAUAAAGUGUUUAGAAGAAUAAUUCAACAUCACUUCAUUAGACUGGUUAUAGAACAGGACAAGGUUCCCCGAGCAACCAUCACUCUCAACAAUAUGAGUAAAAUCAACCCUAGUUUAACUCUCAAAUCAAUUGCACUCGCUUUGUUCAUAUGUGAUUUAUAUAAGAAAAUCACAUAUGCUCUCACACUCCCUUGGAGGUCCAAGAGCUCUCAAACUGUCGUGGAUGAAAGCAUCCCACGACAGUUCCAAUCUAAGGUUUUCAUUGUGCCUGGCUGUCCUUCUCACCUGAGGCCACCAAUCCAUCAUUAGCAUUGCAGUCAAUUUCCGUCCAUCACUUCCCUUUAGUUUAAUUUUGUUUGCAUUUUUCCGAGGCCCACAAACCUUUUGUCUAGUACGUUUGAACCAAAAAAGAGUUAAAAUACAUGGUUUAGUCCACACUACGAGAAAGUGGCCGAACCAAAAUAAGCCACCUGAUUUUGAAAAUUCGACAAGUGCUUUAAGGUGACUUUGGUGUCCUUCCAACACCAUCCUUCGCGUCGUAUUGUCCAUGAAUCUUGCUUCCAUGAUGUACAUAUCCUCUUCUCCAAUCUCCACAACCUUCAGUCCUGUGGAUUUAAUUGUUGUGUACGAGCUUGCGUCAUUGAUCCUUGUGGGAUUACGGUCGUAGGUGUAGCAGGGGCUGUAAUGGUAGAAGAGGUGUCCCCAUCACUUAGUUUGGGGCAGGUGUUGGUGCUUUUUUAACACAGUACACAUGCAUGCGCUUAUAUAUAUACGCAUACACUCAUCCCUAUAAACAUAUACACGCAUACCUUACUCCUAUGAGCAUCUCGGAGAGACUAAGCCGGCAUAUCAUCUUGAGAUUGACGAAGUUACCAAAGGCGCCUCGUAGUUGACUGAAACGUCUCUUCCUACUGAAUGUGCAUCACCAAAAAUCCUGAAAUAAAUUCAAGAAUAAAUGCGAGCACCAGGACUUCAACCCUGCGGGCCUGGGGAUACCAUUGUUCACCUAACAAUCCAACCACAGGUAAUUGGUGUUACUAUGUACAGAUUUGGGGUCAUGAUGUCCGGAUAGCAGAUUGUGGAGCCUGUAUUUUUUGUUUCUAUAAUAGCCNNNNNNNNNNNNNNNNNNNNNNNNNNNNNNNNNNNNNNNNNNNNNNNNNNNNNNNNNNNNNNNNNNNNNNNNNNNNNNNNNNNNNNNNNNNNNNNNNNNNNNNNNNNNNNNNNNNNNNNNNNNNNNNNNNNNNNNNNNNNNNNNNNNNNNNNNNNNNNNNNNNNNNNNNNNNNNNNNNNNNNNNNNNNNNNNNNNNNNNNNNNNNNNNNNNNNNNNNNNNNNNNNNNNNNNNNNNNNNNNNNNNNNNNNNNNNNNNNNNNNNNNNNNNNNNNNNNNNNNNNNNNNNNNNNNNNNNNNNNNNNNNNNNNNNNNNNNNNNNNNNNNNNNNAUGAAUUGGUCACAGGUCAAUGGUUUUAACUUUCUACCUCAUGUUCAAAUAGGGGAAAUUCUUCACCCGGCCUAUCCAGCAUGUGGCAUCCGCCGCCUCUAGCGUGCGGACGCAUGUCAUGUGUGGACCCUCCACACCGCUCUGUCUUUUUUCUUAUUCCCACACAUGGUCGACCUUUGUUGAGAAAAAAAACUACAACAAGACCUCUGUUGCAAAAGUUUAUGCUCACGACCUCUAUUUUUGCAAAAAAAGAGCUUCUACAACAUGACCUAUGUUGCAAUGAUAGACAAUAGAAAAAAAGAAAAAUGAAGAGGCCAAGCACAACAAGGCUCAUGUUGCAUAGAUAGGAGGAAGAAAAACAUGGGUUGAGGCUUUUUGCAAUUAGUCCGUAGUUCGAGGCCUUUUGCAACAGGUCCUCUGUUCUAGAGAGACGGGUGCAACUACAUGCUUGUUGCAACUUCCUUUGCUCACGUGAAGAAGAUGUAGUGACUUUCUUUGUCUUAGUCCGACGGCUAUGGAUGUGGACAAUCUUUUCCAUUGCUUAAACCGGCCAACGCCUAGCAUGGCCCAUAAAAUAAUUCCCGGUGCCUUUCAAGCCUAUGCAACUCGUAUGGAACACACUUUCUACUCUUUUGACGUAUGGAUUGUCUCAUUGUUUCUAGAGGAAAUGAAUUUGGAAUUGAGAGGCAUGGAAGAGAUUGAUAUUUCUCAGUUGAGAAUUGAUGACAUGAAGGUACCCUGCUGCCCACCGCAUUGCAUGGUUUUGUGUGGGCCCAUAAUAUUUCAGCACCUAUAAAUGAGCUUAGUUUGGGCAUCAUGACAUUUAUGUGGGGCAAAACAACUUAUUUGUCGCGUCAUAGGCUCUCACCGGUUCCACGCCUCCCAACUAUAACCAUUCACAAAGAAUUAAGCAUACAACCAACCUAUUAUAUCAAGUUGUGCUGAGAGCAGAGCAUCUCCAAUAACUGCCCUAUAAUAGGGCACCAAAAUUUGCUUGAGGUGGGAUACAAAAAGGUGUAUUUUAGGGCACGAGAAAAUGAGUGUUUCCAAAAGUUACCCUAAAAUGGGGCACUAAAUAGGACACCAUUGCUCCAACAGCGGCCAUAAAAAUAGGGCAGCCGCACCACAUCUUUCUUCUCCACAUAUGGAUAGAAUUUAAACUUUGCAAGAUUUCCUUGAGUGUUUUCUCCACCAACAGCUGAUCACAAAAUUCAACUACUAAAUUUGAGUGUCUUCUCCACCAACGGCUGCUCACAAAAUUCCACUACUAAAUCCAAAUUUAAAGGGAUGACCGAUAAAAUCAAAGUAGAUACUAAAUUUGAAUGUCUUCUUUUAAUUUCUUUGUAUUGCACACAACUACACACCAAACUGACCUGGGAUACAAUCUCAGCGAAUAACAAACGAAAUUGACAAGUUCCUUUGUAACUUUCUUCAGAAAAAGGAACACUGAAAGUCUGAAGUUUCUGAAAACUAACACUGCAUCUUGGCCUCGUACACUUUCUUCACAAAAAGGAACGCUGAAAAACCGAACUUUACUGAUGAAUUCAAUCGGGGAAAGCAGCGGCGCAUUCCAGCAGCACCUCCACGACCCGUACAAACUCCAGCAACACAUUCUGCAGCACCACCACACAAACCACUAACUAGCCACCAGGCUUCCAUUUAGCUUUGUACUCCCUCUGUAAACUAAUACAAAAUCAUUUAGAUCACUAGAGGGAAUAUAUGCCAAAGGAGUUUGGAAGAGGGCUAACUUGUUUUUAUUUGGAAACGCAAAGGUGAAUCUAACUUCCUUUUUUUUUUGGCAAAACAAAAUAACUACACUAUCGUGCUGCAAUCAGCAACAAAAUUGGUCCUACACAGACAAUUCAGCUCAAUUCACUCCAUUAAAGAAUUUCAAGUCAUAGUACUGAGAAAUUUCCACUUUAAAGGAACCGAAACAUCCCCACCAUGCAACCCGGUAGAAAUGCAUUUCUACUACUCCCUCUGUUCCUAAAUAUAAGUCUUUUUAGAGAUUUCAAUGCAGACUAUAUACGGAGUAAAAUGAGUGAAUCUACAUUCUAAAAUAUGUCCAUAUACAUUUGUAUGUAGUUCGUAUUGGAAUCUCUAAAAGGACUUAUAUUUAGGAACGGAGGGAGUAUAUGAAACGAUCCUACAUGCUCAGCCCACAACAACGGGAAGCGCCGAUCCGCACUAGCCCGGGGUCACCACAAUUGCAUUCGAGAACUUAGCCUCUGGCCUCGACGACGAUAUUGGAGAAGGCGUCGGAGCGUAAGCCCUUUGUCUGGAUGUCCUGGCAAAGCUCCGCCACCACAUGGAGCUCGCUCAGCUUGGCCAUGGUGUGGCCGGAGCCGAAUCUUGCAGGGACAAAGACCAAAUCGGACUCAGGUAAGAGGGGACGGGAUGAGGGGCGUCAGAGUUGGGGAGGCAUCAGCCGGCGGUGAUGCUCGCAGGAGCAGAGGCAGGAAGGGCGCGUGGGAAACACCCAACCGACGGUUUUGCCACAGCAGCCCAAGUGUAGAGUUGGGGGAGGCAUCAGCCGGCGAUGAUGCUCGCAGGUACAGAGGCUGGAAGGGCGCAUGGGAAAUGCCCAUAGCAGCCCAAGUCUCAAAUCUGCAGUACUGUUUUAUAUUUUUGGGCAGCCCUGAAAAAUUUGGAGCAAAUUUUACAUUAAGGGCAGCUAUUGGAGCAUCCUUUUUUGCCUAAUGCUCCAAGUUGAUGGUGAGUAUAGGUGUUUACACAAAUCAUCGUUUCAAUACGGAUGCAAGUCUUACAACAAUAGUUUCAAGCACAAUUGAAAAAUCUGUCAGGCAGAUUAACUGUCCUACACAAUCAGAAGCAAUUUGCUUGGCUUUAUCAUUUCUAAUACAUGCAUUGUAAUAUUUCAACCAUUCAGAAGGCAUAACAGAUAUUAAUCAUCUAAAAUUUUAGAAACAUAUAGCAUCAUCGCAUCACAAAAAAGAUGAGACGCCGCAAAAUUAAUAGGUGCAUAAAAUUCAGUCACAAACACAUAUAAUCCCCACAUUACAUAAAACUCUGUCUUGGAACAUAACCAGACUAGAAUUAAACAGCUAAAUUGGACAUAACACAGGUUAAACAGCUUCCACAGCCAUAGCAGCAAACACGCCAGGAAUCACUAGACCAUGCCGUCAUCCCUCGGUGCCUGGCAGCCUGGAUGUAGGAUGAUGCUUCCGCUGCUCCAAGGCGCCUACUUGGAUCGCUGCCUCAUCUUUCGGCGCUUCCUCUUGAGCCUCCUCAUCCUCUUCUUCUUCCACUGCAAAUUACAGUAACCAUGCCGAUCAUGAGCAUAAAUUGCAUAGGUGCUCUAUAGGAGAUGCAAAAGGAACACAGAAAGUACAACUUGUUCUGGAAUCAGAAGAUUGAGUGUUUCAUUGGAUAUCAUCACGUGAUUUUCAGAAACACGGACCAAUUGCUCUUCAUCAUUUCCCAAACUGAAGUCAAUUUCAAAGGCAAACAGGAAAAAAACGAUGAUAAGAUAUCUAAAGAACUAGCUAAGCAAAGUAUAGAUCUGCAGUGGGUUUGACAUUCAGAAUGAGUAGGAGGAUUUUAUCAUCAAAUAGAUCAGACGCCAAUUGUCUUCCUCAUCACGCCAACCGACGCAGUUGAACGAAAGAAAGAACAAAUCUAGGAAAAACACUGGCAAAGAAAACACUGUUCUCUCAGACAAAUGCCUCGAUUGUCCACAUGGUUUUAUAGAAUGGAUUACAUCGGACUCGUCAUCUGUUUUCAUCAUCACAGAGAACCACAAACAAACACGCGCAAAAAAUAUCAAUUCAGUCAACAGAAACUACAUCCUAGUAUCUCUCAGAAUAAGCAAAUCGAACUAGAAUAGCAGGUUCUCUCGGACAAAUUUGCCUCAUUUUUGUCCCCACGGUUGAAUGGAAUGGAUUGGAUCGGACAUCUAAUCAGUGUUAAUCAUCACCGAGAACCACUAAUUACGCGAGCGAGCGGCAGAAACAGCAGGAACGAACGCUCGAUAAACACUAGCACAUGCCCAGAUCUACCGCAGUCGCGAAGCAGCUAACAUCAGGGGAGGUGGACGAGAGGCAGUACGAACCUUGGCCCUCAUCGCGGCGGCGGAGUCGGCCUCGCUCUCCUUUUCGCGUCGUCGGCGGCGGCGGCGGAAGUGUGUGGACGAACCCGAUCUCCGUAGAUUGUUGGCGGCGGGGGCUCUCACCUCCUACUUUAUAGGGGGGUAGGGUGCUGGGAAGGGGAAACCCUAGCGGGUGGACGGCUCGGAUCAGCCACGGGACGGCGUUCUGAUCCGAUUCGGUUGGGCUCUGGUUCGUAGGCAUAAUUGGGCCUCCAAACCAACGCCUCGGCCCACGCUCACGUACAAAGAUGAUGAGUCUU